This 89893-nucleotide long non-coding RNA is filed under the name Linum usitatissimum (flax). RNAcentral's name for it is "long non-coding RNA (LUSI_LNC003657)". The record is from RNAcentral. Lineage: Eukaryota; Viridiplantae; Streptophyta; Magnoliopsida; Malpighiales; Linaceae.
UAAAGAGCUGCAUCAUGCAACAGAUGCUUAGAAGCAAACAAGCAUAUUAUGUGGGUGGAUAGAUUUUCAUGCAAAGAUUUUAUUUUCGUCACUAAAAUAAUGACUUUGCUCUGAUCACCCGGUAUCUAUCUGACUUCCCAUUUAUUUGAGUGUAUGUUUUUGCUUCUACGUCAGAUCCUGUUUCACUUUUAGCGUAGGAAAAGCUAUAGAUCUUAUAUCUAAAGAGCGGAAACGACCUUCGUUAUGUCGAUAUCAGUGUCUUGUAUUGGGAGCCUCCUUAAAAUAAAUCAUAGUUAUCAAGUCUGCUUCAAAAUUUCCAACUCUUUUCAUCUUACCAUUUAGUCGAAGUCGACCUUUCAUAGAUUAUACUAAUGUCCCUUGUUUACUUGUCUAAAUGUAAAGUAAAUUAAAAGAAUGAACCCUUUUUUCAGUGACAAACAUCAUUAACUGACUAAUUAGUUCCGUUGUCAAAUAAGCCAAAUAGAUAUCGAUUUAUUAUCGAAGAAUCUCGGUAAAAUUUACAAAUGUGCCGUAGACGUUUCUCUAGUUCGUCAAUCAAAAGCAACAUAAAGCUUUUCUGUGGAUUCUGCUGUCGAGACACUAUGACAAGUAAUGCAUGCCUCUCACCAUCCUAUGUUAGUCCUUAGGGUCCCUCCUAAUUCAACUGGAACCAACGGAAUCAAAGAGUGAACGAUAUCUAUCAUGAGCGGUCGGUAAGAAGGUUCUGGCUGUACACAUAGUAUGGCCACAGCAGCAACCUACAUAAAAAAGAGUCGGCAGACUUAAUAAGGUGCCUCGUGCUUUCUUAAGGAGCAGCGAUCUUCCAAGGUGGUAACAUACCUGAAACAGGUACUUCUCAUCGAUUGUGUCUCUAAUGACGGGAUCCACUAUGUUUGGGAGCAUGUCUCGAUUAGUGAGCUGUGACAUGGCCUACAUUUAUUUUGGAAAAAUACACAGCAUCUGCUCAGGGUAAGGAUUUUAAUAAUAGUCAAAUAAAGUUAAAAAGCAUUUUUUUCAACACUAACAUAACAACGAGUAAAUUUUGGAUUUUUAACUUCAUUUAAUAUUUAUAAAGAUACCAUAAUGAAACUUGAUUUUUUAGCAAUCUCAAACAUACAUGUAAAAUAUUAGUUGAUUUGAAAAUGUUUAUGUCCAUGACCCAUUUUCAUUCAACCCCUUUGGAAAUUAACCAUUUUGACAUGAAAAUUGAAAAUUUUCAAAUGGGCUAAUAUUUUUUUUCCUAUUAUGGGUGCUAUCAGCGACGGCUAGACCAAAAUCUGAGAGCUGGACACUUGAAAUGUUGAAAGGAUGGUAGUAGUGGCGUUUUUAUUAGAAACGAAUAGCGAGACCCCUAAAUUAUUACCUUAGCAUGGAAGUUUGAAUCCAAAAGGAUAUUGGACGAUUUCAGAUCUCUAUGGAUCACUAGUGGCUUGCAGAACUCAUGCAAAUAUUCUAAUCCUCUUGAGUCAACAAUUGGUUAGGUGUCAGAAACAAAAACAACCAAGGAAAAUAGGAAUAACAGUUGGACCGACAAAGCAGUACCUCUAACCUGGCUGUAUCAAAGAGCAAUCUUCAGCCUCAUAUGCCAAGUUAAUUUCGACCCACGAGAAGGUCCUGAGUUUGACAAAAGAGAUAAAACCGCCCAGGAAAGUCAAUUAUUGGCCUAUCUUUAACCACUGACUACUUGCUCUCACUUUACUUUAGUGGGUGCUGGAACAAAAAGAAGAGACUUGAGAUGGAAACAUUUACCAUGCAAAAGAUCUUCAAGUGAGCCGUUAGGCAUCAACUCAUAUACAAUGAAUCCCAUAUCCUCAUGAACACCAUAACCGACCAAGGAAAUUAUGUUCGGAUGACGAAAUUUGCUCAAGAAGUUCAACUCAGUCUGCAAUAUAUACAUACUGCAGAUGAACACAACUAGUCUAAAACAGAAGAAAGAAAAAAAAUACUAAAAAAAAUUCCAGAAACUAUCCCCCAACCUGAAAUCCCCUUUUUGCAUCCUCAGUUGCACAAUCGAGUUUCUUGACUGUGACUUCCGAGUUAUCAUCCAUGGUGGCUUUGUAAACAUAUCCGAAUCCUCCCCUGCCCAACAAAUUAUCGUCUACAAAGUUUUGGGUUCCUUUCUCUAGCGUCCUAUAUUCGAUCAAUGGAACAGAUCCCUUGUUGCUCAAGGAACCGAAUUUGCUGAACAAGGCUCCUUUCUCCAUAUCUGCACACCCAUAAAUGUUAAAAAUUCAAAUACUCACAGUCCGAUCCAAAAAGAAUCGACUUUUUUAUACCUGGGCUUUGGGCAUUUUUCUUCUUCCGGGUGAAAUGAAUGCAGCAAGCAGAUGAAAAGAGAAAGAUAAUGACAGCCAUGGCAAUGCAAGCAACAGCAAGUAUGCGGUGGGUUUUCUUAUCCAAUUCCAUAAGUUUGCCGCCUGCUUCAACUCCCAAUUGCAACUGGAUUCCUGCUCAAAUUCAUAUAUAUGUAGUUGCCAUGGAAAGAAAAAAAAAGAGUAUCCAGCUCACAGAGCUAAGGCUUGAAGAACUGAUUAUUGUAAGAAAUGAGGGAGAGAAGACCACCCAAUUCCGCCAAUGAAAAUGAUGGAAGAAAUCAUUUUUUUAAUUUCCACAUUUAAUCAUUUAUGGCCGACACUUCCACUCAAAUUAUNNNNNNNNNNNNNNNNNNNNNNNNNNNNNNNNNNNNNNNNNNNNNNNNNNNNNNNNNNNNNNNNNNNNNNNNNNNNNNNNNNNNNNNNNNNNNNNNNNNNNNNNNNNNNNNNNNNNNNNNNNNNNNNNNNNNNNNNNNNNNNNNNNNNNNNNNNNNNNNNNNNNNNNNNNNNNNNNNNNNNNNNNNNNNNNNAAUUGUAUAAGAGUUUAACAUAUUGGGCUGUAUAUAAAAAUAAAUUAAUAAAUUAAAAAAUAUAAAAAAUUUACAUAACACUGAAUUUUAAAAUUCAAAAAUAAUUGAAUCGAAGAUUGAGAGACUCCCUGAAUUUGUCAAUGAAAAAGAGAAUGGUUACUUCUGCUUCAUUGUUAUAGGGAAUCACAAGAUGUGACAUUGUUAAUUAUUCAUCUUGUCUCUUAAUCAUGAGGUCAGAAAUUUGAUGUUUAUCUAUAAAAAUGAAGUACACCUUAUGGUCAGAUAUUCAUCGUCUUGUAAACAGUCGCAACGAAAAAAUCAAUUAUUACCAUUAACAAUUAACACCAAAAUUAAAAAAAAAAUUGUUGUCGGUUACUUUCUUUUUGAGCACAUGGAUGCGCCUCGACCCGACCCAACCACAAUCCUACUUAUGCAAACAAAGGAUUUGAUUAAUGUACCGAUGAAAUGACGGUUUCACUGUUUGCUGAAGACUGCCUGCGUAUAAGGCCCAAAUGGUAAAAUAAAGGGGGAGGAAGAGGACUGGGAACAAACUGGGCAGCUGACGCAGAGCAGUCUAAAGUCUAAACAUGUGGAUCGGAUCUGUCUGAGAGCCCAAAUAACAAAUUCAGUUUUUUUACCAGUCCAACUUGCAUUAGGGACGAUUAUGGGAUGAUCCAUGGGGUAGAUUAUAUCCCCAAUCCGCACGAGCCUUAAACCUCCCCUUACAAGUCGACCCACCACAGUCCUUUUAUUUUAUUUUUGGAUUAUUGCCGCCUGUUUCCUUUGACCGUCCAUUCAGACUUUAUUCAUAUUCAUGGUCAACACCAGCGCUGGGAUUUAAUACCCAUUUCCACGAAGUUGGCCUGGUCAUCACCAUUCACCAGAUGAAACUCAAACGAGAGAGACGUGGUUGUUAAGCGUAGCUGGGUGCGCGUGGCGGUAACCCUAAUUAUAUAUUUAUAUAAUCCUUCGUCUUCCACCUUCCUCUCCACUAGUACAAACAAAACAAGGAAUACCCAAGCCCUCCCUUCUCUCUCUCUAUCUCAUUUCUUUUUAUUCAUUGAAUAUAUCUCCCUCUCAAAAGCAGCAGCUCACCCCCAUGGCCAUCGCCCUUCUCAGCCCUCAAGACUGCCUCCGGGAUCCCAUCUCCUCCCGCGGCGGCCUUCUCUCCACCCCUCCUCGCACCAAAAUCCACCGCAACUCUGACCCUAGCCCCCCAUCUUCCAAAUCCAACUCGAGGCACGGUCGUGCUCAAUCAAUCCGCAGAAAGCGGAUUUCUAACUCAUCCCCUCAACUAACUGAUGCGUCGCUCUCUCCCCAGGCUGCAUCCAAGAGCCUCAUGAUGGGCGGUGUGGUCAAGAUCCUCAAGCGCGGCGAGCAGAUACCGAUGAAAAAAAACCAGGAUCAGAUCGAGAUAUUCUCCGUCGACUCCAAGAAAGUUUCAGUGAACAAAUCUGUUGAUGGUUUCUAUGCUGGAUCUGGAUUUUUCACCUCGCCACCCCCGAGCUCGCUGCCCCUGCCGGCCUUCAUUAAAAAGCCUAGUAACCUGGAAGCCACUACCAGUCUGUGUAGGCUUCUGAAUUUGAGUUUGUAGGAUUGGGUUCAUAUUUAUGUUAUCCGAUUCUAGGAUCGUUGUCUCUUUCUUGUUUGAGUUUGGCGUCUCGAUUUCCCUUAUUUUUUCAAGGGGAAGUAAAAGUCGAUUCGGCCAAACUCAGACUAGGCAUCCAUAUUCUCCUCCAUAGGGGGGGAUAGGUUGGGAAAGAGAUCUUACUGCAUGAAUCCGUCAGCAAUCAUAGGUCUUAGUAUUGUAGAUUGGGUUGAUGGUAAAAAAGAGUUGUUCAAUUUGGAAGUCAGGGUCAGUUGUGGAGAUGGGGUAGAUAAAAGAAAUUAGGCGCUUUAUUAGUUGAAGUUGGUAUCCUGUACUAGUUGUUCUUGUUUUUCCCUUUGUUCAUUUGGUUAUUUCAAAGGUGUCAUCUUUGGAUGUAGAGAGCUCUGUUUAAGUUGUUUUCUGUCAGGUGAAAUGGGAUUUAAUUUCUGUGUUUUGGUCGAUAUUGGCUGGCGAUUGUUAGUGGGAGCUCUUUUUGUUAGCAAGUAAUGAAAUCAAAGGCACAAGCUUUUUGCAAAACCAGGACAAACCUUGUUUAAACUUACAGCUGUUGACGCUCUCAAGAACGCAGAGAGCAGCAAAAACCAAGUAGCUGUCCUCUGACUCCUACACAGCCAAAUAGUUGGGGACAUUUUCCUCUGAAACUGGAGGAAACACACCGAACAACUGCUGCUGCUGCUACGCCUUCAUGGUUUUGUUGGUUUAAAAACUGAUACACCUCCUUCCCGCUGAAUUCCCACCGCAUACAGAAUCCAAACAUUUUACAUGGCACCACCAACCCAGUACGUAGCCUUGCUAUUUCGGUAGAAAGGGACGAGGGCAUGAUGACUAUCUGAUUUUUUAACAAGGGUGGGAUCAAAAUCGUGUUCACAAAACUUAUGUCCGUCGAUUGGAUAACAGACCGUGAAAUACUAAUCUACAUUGUUUUCCAGUCUCACAAAAAAACUGAGAAUUGGGAUUGAAUUCUCCUACCACCAGAACUUAUACACCAAUGUUGACUGAUUUUAGACACUAAGGCUAACGCUCCAAUCAAGUUAACAUUGACAGAAACAUGCAUCACGUUUAUGGAGCUGCACAAUUUAUAGCACUGUAUCAUCAAUCAAGUUCAUGUAUCACUUUUAUGUCCCUGCCUAAUUGAUAACGCCAGUGCUGUGCUGCUAAAUUUUAUACAGAGUUUGUCGAUAUUUUAUCAUAGUAUCUUUUUUAAUACGUCAUUUGAUUUAUAAUUUGGAUUGUGCCAUGGAUGAAAUUAGAAUCCUAGAGUAAUUUAGACGAGGUGGAAUGAUGAAAAGAAAACUAAACUACAUUCACGGUGCCUUGGUAAGGUUGUAGCAGGCAGCCCGGGUUGACUUUAGAAGUUGGAAAGUUAUAUGAUUCCCUAAUUUUAGCAAAAGAGAGUCAUAUCAUAUCAUGCUGCAAGUGUUCCCAUUUGUACAAUAUGUAGUAUAUGAAUAUAAAUGAAAGGGAGAUGGGAAGCUUUGGUUGUGGUCUUGUGGAAUGCAAAGUCUCAUUUUUGGGAACUCGGAAACGACCUUGGCUGCUUAAACUAGUUUGAAUAUGCUUCUCCACUGCUUCCUUGUUAUCCUCGUGUAAGCAGUUUUCCAAACUCGGUUGGUUGCUUGCUUGUAUGCUUCGGGUAGGCCUUAAUUCCGGGGAAUCUGUCUUAUCGUCUAUCAAAAGAAGGAGGUUCACGACUCCAGGACAAACUAACUGGAUAACAGAGCGGCGGAAGGGGAUCUGCUGCAACCCUUACCGCAACCGGGAAAGUUUAGGCUCAUCUUAAAAAUAUAGAUUGAAUCUUUCACCAAAGAAGAAGCAGUAUCAAAAGCUACCAGGGAGGCGGGCACCAACACCAAAGGGGUCUGAAAAUACAUAUGGGUACCGCUUACCUGAGCUGGCAGUCGGCAGAGUAGAUUCACUUUCACUUUGGGACUAGGAAGAGUUUCAAGUAAAAAAUAAUAGAGAGGAUCAUUCCGCUCCAGUUGGUGUGUAAAAUUACUACUAACUAAUAGUAAUGCAGUGGUGGAGUCACUUAAUGCUUCAUGUUUGGACCAACCCGUGAACUUUGAUUCCGUCUCACGACCAAGGUUUGGAUUCCCCUAAAAGUAUAUCCAUCAACAUCUGAUAAUCCGACGUAAUAAAAAAAAAUCUGACAAUCCGAAAACAAGAGAAAUGGUCCGCCGUGUUGUAUAGCAUACUCAAUCGCUACCUGAAUUGCAUUUACCUCUGCCACAACUAGAGAAAAUCGAUCAACAGACCCACUGUACUGUCGUAAACAACACCAUAGACAUUCGAUAUAAUGAUGCCAUAAACCGCCAAUCUGGAAUCAUGUUGAAAUGCUCAAUCACAAUAAAUCACCCUCUGAUCAUUACAGGACGCCUUCUUCCAUUAUCUCCAUUUAGCUAAGUGCCCCCCUUUAACUCUUCUCAUUCCCCAACCCCACAGAUCAAACAAACAUGAUUAUUGAUCCUCAUGUCAACAUUUUCUUUUCUAUUGUGUUAAGGCAUGGUAAUAACAUAAACAGGCUAGAAAAUUCAUAUUAUUAAUAUGAGGUUGAUGGCAUCCAUCGUUUGAUCAGUCGUGGCCUUGUUUGCACGUCGGGCCAACAAAGUGGACCCCAUGAACACAAUCUUGGGUAUUCGAGGAGGAAGGCUCGGCUAGGGAUGCAAAGCACUCAUUGGAGAGGCUCCAAGCGGCCGCCUAAGUCGACUGUGCCAUAAGAAAGUCGAAGACAAAGCCUCAUCUCACGUUGGAGUGACAGUUGCGUAUUGAAUGUUUAAUAAAACAGGUUACUAACUCCGGCCCGCGUUAUUUGUAUAAAUCAAGGGCAAAAUAACCCGUAAAUGUCAUUCAUACAUUCCUCAACCAACUUCUAUUUAGAUUACUUCUCUUACUAUCUCUUUUAAUCAUAUCAUACAUUUUUUUUGGAGAUUUUAUUAAACUCGAACUGAAUUGAGACUUCUCAUAAUUUGAUUAUUAAGUCAUUCUUUGCAUUAAUUAAGGGGAGAGUCAUUGUGGCCAACAUAUCUAACUCAUGAAUUAGUUUGUUAUCAUGACCAUCCUCAAGUUGCUUUGAAGAUUUUGAUUUUUUUUUUUAAACAUCUAAUUUAUAGACCUUAGAUAUUUGUCCACUCUUUUUUCAGCUAUGGGUUUCCCCAUUAAGUAUGUAUAAUGGAUUGAGAGGGUUCAUGUCUAGUCAUGAUCAUUGUCAGCAUAAAUAGAAGUAUGGUGAGUUUCAAUGUUGUUUUAUAAUAAAAAUGCAAAUUGAGUUUGUUUUCGAUUAAUUUUAGCCAAAUUUUAUUAAUUCAAAUUUGAUAUUUAUGUAAUGUUUCCAAUAACAUAAAAAAUUUAUCAAAAUCAAUUCUUCAUGAUUUCAAGCAAUUGAGUGAUAUAUACAAAAUUUAAGAGUAUCACAAUGCCCCCAAUUAAUAUAAACUCUAAAGUAUUUAACCUAUUUGUUUUGGGAUGAAUUUAAUUUGAUCCAAACUUAAAUAUAUAGUUUGCAAGAGUAUGGAAAAAGGUCAAACCCACUUCUCCACGCCCCCUCCCCCAACCCUAACAACGAAACAGGAAAAUAAAUUCAGAAAAAGGAAAUGUGUUGGAAUUAAUAAUUCAUUUAAUCUAUUCAUCAUAAAAAUAAUUAAUUUAAUCAGAAAAACAGUCACAUAGGAAAAAUGAAAAGGAAAAUAAAAUCGAAUAACUCAACCAAAAGCACGCAUUAAAGCCACAAACCCACCCUCUCCUCCCACCCUUCUCCCCCCUCUCCUCCUCCCUUUUCCCCCAUCUCCUCCUCACAUAUAAAUUUAUGUAUAUAUAUAAUCCUCCGCCCUUUCCCCUAACCUCCUUUUUUGUUAUUUCUCUCAUUCUUCUUCCUCCUCAAUCCUCACCCAAACCUUCUCUGCUCCUCUUUUCAUUCUUCCCCACUUCCGCCUCUUACUCUCUUUUUUUCUCAUUAAUCUACCUCCUCCUCUCUUUACUUCCAGCUUCGUUAGCGGUGUUGGCAACGAUGUGGAAAGACGAGUGGGUGUCGGCUGCCAUGGUGGACGACACGGGGGGGGGGGGGGCUUUUUUGGGGCGUGAGCAAGGCCAAGCGAUUGGAGCANNNNNNNNNNNNNNNNNNNNNNNNNNNNNNNNNGGUGAUCUGGGGGCCGUCGUUUCGUGCCGUCCCACCAGUGGGCGUCUCCGCCUCCCUAGGUCGAAGCCGGCGGCGGCCACGUCAGCUGGCUCCUUGAGAUGCGACGUAGUUUCUAGAAGGAAGGAAGGCGAUUCCUCUACCAGAUGCAGUCCCACGACGCCGCUUUCCUGGAGCGGUGGAGGCGGCGCAGAAUCUCCCUCCGCCGCCGCCGAUGGUUACGAUGAGACCAGUCAUCGUUCUCCUUCUGGUUCCAGAUCCAAGGUAUUUCACCCUCCUAGCAACUCCUCCUUCCCAUAAUCUGUUUUUGUUCUGCACUUCCUUCAUCAGAUUCCGCUUGAGUGGAUCUAUUUGUUUGGGCUGCGAUAUAUAUUCUAUGAUUUGACUGGACUCCCCCCCCCCCUCUCUGGACUUUUAAACCUGUAAUUACAGUAUCAGCGUGGGAGGUUAAGUCGACGGAUACAUUCUUGUCACCGGACGAUUCAACCAACCGCUGCUCCUUUUUUCGAGUUCUUCCUUCGUCUUUUUUAGUCGGCUGAUUAAAUUGACCUUGCUCAGUUGCCUUAAAUAUCCAUCACCAGCCUGCCGAUUUCCUAGUUUACAGAUCGGCUUCUCCCGUCAGAGGAGUCGAAUAUCUGAAUAUUUAUUUCUCCGAUCAAAGGUGGAAAAACCGUCGAUUGUACCUAUCUAGUUUGUUUUCCCCUUUUCUCGCGGAUCCCAUAUUUUUAAAAUUUUGAAGUUAUUUUAAGAAAUUAAAUCGGGACUGGUGGGUGGCAGGACCGCAAUGCCCUCAAAUGUACUUCCUCCGUUUCUCCAAUAUUUUGUUUUAAGUCGAGCUCAGCAUUUCAGCAGAAUCAAAUAGAACAAGGCCGAUUGGUGGGGGGUAAAAGAAAGGGUCAGGUGAGGAAACUGUGAAGGGUGGCUCACGUUUUAUUUUCUCGCCUCUUUUGUGAGUGGGUUUUGGUUCAUCAUCAUCUCGCUGUUAAUAAUAAUAAUAUGGGGGAGGGGUCGUUUUAAUUCCAUAUAUAUUUAAUUUGUAUUGAAUGGACGAAAGCACCCUUGGCCUUUUAUUAGUGUUAGAAUCGGAGUGGUGAUAUGUACGCUUCACUAGUAAAAGGACAAGUUUGUCAGAUGGGAGAUGUAGAUUCGAUUUAAUUUUAAUUUUGUUCUUCCUUCUUCUCCUUUCUCUACCCAUAUAGUAAACCACGAAGUUUCGAGCAUUGGAUGUUUCUUUUUGAAAAAUCGAUGUUUUAUUGGGUGAAGUGGAGCCCAGUUGGUGGGUUUUGCUUCGCCGGGUGGUUAAUAAUUUGUUUUGUGCUGGAGGGGGGGAUAGGUGUUGUUGUGGGUUCUCAUCUCAGAGUGGGAUGCGAAUGGGGCAUUUUAUUCUUUUUGUUAAUAUUAUUAUUUUUUUAAUUUGAUUGGAUUUUUUGGUGGAUCUGUAUGAGCAUUUAUUUAUUAGAAAUAGAAAGACAGAGGAAGGGUUAUUAUGAAUUUACUUUACUUAUUUAUUUAUGGAUAUUAAGAAGUAGUACAACAAUUGUGUAUUCCAGUAUUUUCGUUUUUUUUUUGUUAUAAAGCAAAAAGGGGUGGGAUGGGAAAUGAAGUGUGCCUCCAAAUCCACGCUGCCGGCCUGGAUAGGCACUGCAGGGAUGGUGUGUCACGUGCUGCUGGGGGCUCACGUGACCGACGAUAGUAAACUGGAGCGGAGGGGCUUUUGUUUGAAUUAUAUGAAAAUGCGUCAACGCACACGGUUUAUAGUACCUGCUGACGGGUUUUCUGUCCUUCGUCCCCAUCGUCGUCUUGAUCACCAUCUAUAUUUCACCAUCGUCAGAUUCAUUGAACGCUCGGUUGGAUGAAAAUAUCGGGAGGUAAAAAUGGGAGGAAAGCGAAAUCUGCCCACCUUGAUCCUCCCUAAAUUCCAGCUGUCCUAAUGACGGGAAGCUAGCUAGCUGUAGCUCUCUUAGUCCUUUUCCUCUCCUUUUAUUUUAUAUAUAUAUAUAUACACACACACAUACACACAUGCAUAUGUAUAUCCUCCCGUGUCUCCCUUUCCCAAACGUUUGUUUAAAUUAAUUAAUCAUUUAUUAUUUUGAUUUGGAUACUUGGUAUUUAGUUUAUGGUCUUUAAAUGAUCCGCGGAGUCGGAGUUACAAUUUGUUAUUGGAGGACCAUGAGGAGCUUGAUCAAGAAGCUGAUCUCCCAUGGAUAUUUAAUGCUUCCGUUAAAUUCCUUCCUCCUUUCAUUGUUACCCUUUCAUUCAACAAGUGUAAGAUAUAACGGUAGCUCCACGGGAUUGGUGACACCCCUGUUUCUGGCAUCUUUUAUUUGGGUUUGGAUGUCCUUUGGGUUUUGGGUUUAGACCUCCUUUUUAUCUGUUAUUUUGUUUUUCAGUCUAUUUCCUGCGUGGUGGACAAUUUUGGUUUAUGAAGUUUCCUUGCGUUGUUUCUCAUUUUGGCUUACAUUUGUUAGCUUGAACUGUUCUGAUCGUCUUUUUUUUUUUUGGUUUGCGACGACCGUAGGGUGGUAACGCAACUGCUGCCGAAAUAACUAGCACUGGCACCACAAGCACCAAACGAACCCGAAGAAAGAAGGUUGCUUACUGAUUUCCAUCUUUUUUAUUCCACUUAUCGUUUCUUUUUGUCAUCUUCAAAUUCAAUCAGCUUGUGAGAUAGGUACCCUCUCGUUUGCUUACUAACUUUGGUCAUCUGUUUCAAUUAUUGUUCCCUUGUGGUUUGUCUGCAGACAUUAGCUGAACUUAGGGAGGAGGAAUGCUUUCUUUGGAAGGAAAGGAUGCACCUCAAAAAGGUAUUUUACCACUAGCUGCUGGCUAGUUGGCUCUCGUCAUUCCCAGCCUCCAUUUCUAGUAAUAUUCUUUCUUUGUUUAUUAUUUAUGAUUCUUUCCUCAACUAAAGUAGAUGUCUUUUUCAUACGUGCAUCACUCUCCCUCAGGAGAUACAAACUCUGCAUGCUACAUUUGAGGAUGAGAAAUCCAUAAACCAGAAGUUGAAGAGAAUUAAGGUAUGUUCCUCGUUUGUUAGAUCCUCCUUUUGGCCUAUCUGUCUAUCUUAAUGUUCUGAUUACCGUCUCAAACAGAUUUUUAAAAAAAACUUAGAUCUCUUUUUAUGUAUUUGAGCAGAUGGAUCUGGGGUUGAAUUGUUCAAUCAACUCAAACUACAGUCUAGCUUCUUUGGGGGGAAGGGAUAAAGGAAUAGUGAAAGUUGAAGAGCCGACCCCAAGAAUGGAGUCGUCUUCUUUGGGGCAUAUUCCUUCGCCAACUCUCCUUCGUCCUGAGUCAGAGUCUUGUAGCCGAACAGAUGAUACAUGUUUCAGCGGCAGCUAUCCCUUCUUGUUGCCCGACUUAAACAUGAUGCCCUCCGAAGAAGAUCCCACCACUUUAUAGUACGGUGGAUGCUUCUGGUGAGAUACAUUAGGAUAAUUAACACGAGAAAAAAAUACAGUUUGUUUUAUUUUUUCUUGGUUGUUUCGUUCUCCUUGCUUCCCAGACAGCAUCACCAGUCGGUAUGUUGGGAAAUGAUUGAACACAACCCUUGUAGCAUAACGGAAAAGAUGCUGUUAGCUGCUGCAUCAGUGAAGUUUUCCAUAAACUGAGUGGAAGAAGAUGCUGGUGCUGAUGCUGAUGAAGGAGAGGGUAGGUGCAUUGCUAGUAGAAGAGACGAACAACCCCGAUCCUAGAUGUGCAGCGAGGGAUAUAUAUAUAUAUAACAAACAGACUGAGUGUAUUUGUUCUGUAGCAGUUUAGUUCCUUUAGUGAAUCCUGAAUAAAAUGUUUCGGGAUGAACUCCUUAUUAUGUCCUUUCUUCUUCGUAUCUUGCAAUCUUUUCUUAAAUCAGGAGCUGUAGAAAUUGUUCUUCAAAUUUAUUUUGUAGACCAAGGAACAAGUGCUCAGCUAUUUGGCUCUACUGAAAACUUUGAUUGAUUUAUUUAUUUCCUUGUUUGAACAGUUAGGUUAUUGAUCACUUUGGAUGAGUAAGUUUGAUGUGGCCAGAAUCACGAAUUUUGUGAGUCUGAGUUCAAGGGCAGUUUAUUAAUUGGAGGGAAGAACCCAGAAAAGAUAUCAUCUAUAAAGUUACAGAUCCACAACAAUGUUCCUUGCAAAUAGAUCCCACAAUCUAUACCCAAACUCUUCUCGCCCAUAGCCGAUGAUCAUGGCUUUACUUUAUCAUCAAGCUUCACCCUCUCAUUUCUUGUAACAUGAGCAUAGCCUUUACAACUGAACACUCUUAAGUGUUCGUAUGAGACAUCUUCGUCAAUUCAUGUUCACUGAGGAGGUUCCUCACCCUCCAAAGGAAUCGAGGUUGAGAGAUUAAUUAACAUUAUCCUUUCUUGACAACACUAAGAUAUAUGGAACUUGCAGGUUUGAAUCUAUGUUAGAGCGGCUAAAAGAAUCGAGUCCCUAAGACGCUCUUCAUUUCUGUGUCUGCCAACCAUCAUUGAAGACCAGUGAACGAUGGAUAAAACUCAAACACACUUGUGUGCUUGAUUGAUCAGUUGCGGUAGUGUUGAUAAGUACUUUAAAGAGAAGUGAAAUUUAUCCUGGAAAGUCUUUUGCUUAUUUAAAAACUCUAUCAGAAGUUUGGCUCUAGUUGGAUCCCUACUUGUUAUAGGUGUAAUAAUACCAAUGAGUGCCUACUGUCUAAUAUGAAUAUGUGCCUAUUGUCUAAUAUGAAUAUGUGCCCUAAACUUAGAACUGAGAUCAGUCUUACUACUUCAUGAAUGAACCGUAAGGUAGAACACUUGUGCUUGGUUUUCAAUGAGGAUUCAAAACAUUAAUAAAAUAUUAUCUUAAAUUUUCGAGAGAUAAAUUCUUUGUGCUUUAACAAUAGCAGAAGACAAAUUCUCUAAUUUACAAUGCAGAAAUCGUUGGUUAUUGUUAGGCUAACGACAUUUCUCGAUUUCUCGUAGACCUAUACCAACUUUUAUAGAUUCUAAAUUAACUACAUACUACAAAAAGCCAAAUAAACCCGAGAAGAGGCUAAUCACAAAAAAAAUCACCAAUUAGGACACUGUAGCUAUCUUUCGAGUAAAUUAUCUUUGGGAAUAACUUCAAUCAAUCACACUCAAACCAGCAACAUUGAAAUGCAAAGAGAGGAAGAUGUUGCCGCUUACGUCCCAUAAAACUUACGAAGUUUGAAAAACAAAAAAUCAAAACCGCAGAAACCUUCUAUACGUGCCGAAACGUUUCGUAUUUGCGGGAUUAAUAUCGAAACGCCAGGGCGGACAACGCAGGUAAGCUGGAAAUCCUAGGAAAAUAAUAAAAUUACCUACAAAACGCGAAACGUUUCGUGUUUCUCAAACCAAAUUCGAAACGCGGUAAAUUGACGUUAAAGAGAAAUUGGCGAUACGUAUCAUGCAGCGGCAUACCGUGAUAUUUAGGUGGUAUUUUGACUUUUUUACUAUACAUUGACAUAAUUUUAUUAAUUUUUAAAUGGGAUUACUUACUUUUCGUCUGUGUUGCGGGCCUGGCCCAAGAUUUCUCCCCGCAAGUUCCAACCAAAGCAGGCCUAUCAUGUGUCCAAAGUAUUUUGGAUCUGCUAUUCCUUUUUCUAUGUUUUGAACCCAGGAUCUGCUAUUUAUCAACUGAAGCUCCAGGUCCUGUUGCUGGGCCGCAUUAAUACAAUUUCGCCUUUAUGUUUUUAUUUAUUAUCAAAGCGCCUUUAUGAUUUUAAGUAACGUUUAUUUAAUUUCUUAUGAAAUUCAUUAUUGUAGGGUUAUAUAUCAAGGCCAACAAGAGAAGAGCAUACUCUUAUAUUGGAGAUUACUGUUUGUUGGCUGGAUCAACAGUUGAUGCUAGUGCUCAUUAUUCUACUGCAUGCAUUAGAGCUUGUUCUGGUACGCUAGCUGGUGCCCUUGAGGGCAGCGUUUGUGCUUUACUACUGGUAUAUAUAUAUUCUCACAGUAUUCCUGAUAUUUUCUGCGAUGCCUAGCUACUUGAUGUAUGAUGAUGCAUCGUCUCUGUUUUUAUCAAAUAUAAUGGUGGAUGCCUAUGAUGAAAUUAAUUUUGUUACCGUACGUGGUCAACUUUGAGUCAACAAAUGAGCAACAUGCACGUUUUAGAGAAAAAGGCGUGAAAGGCUCCUUGCGAGAAAGAAAGAUAGUCUUCAAGGUGAAGAAAUAAAAAAGAAAUUUAACAGAUGCAUGUAUAUGUGAAAGGUUGAUUUAAAGAAAUAAUGUGUCUCUAUAAGUUAUUUUCCGAGACAUUAAUAUCAUCGAUGGAGAGAGACGAGAAAGAGAGAGGAGCCAAAAUAAAAUGUGGCCUCUCUAUCUUAUCUAUCUCAUUCCUUUUAAUUUAAUUAUUUAAACAACCAAAUAGUAUUUGACAUAUAACAUCGAUCGAAGGCCUACUGUAUAUAAUAAUAACACAUGCAUGCCCAGCAGCAACAUCAUCAUCAUCUUAAAACAACAAUUCACAAAUGUCCCUUUUGGCUGGACUCGGUCAGUGUCCGCUUCUCUCUCUUUUCUUUUUUUUUAUCAAUAUAUAUAAUUUCUUCUUCUUCUUUUUUCAAUUAUUCCGAACUUGGAAAUCAGUUCAUUAUUAUACUGAUUAUCAUCGAUACGAUAUAGUUGUUGCUGUGUGGGUCUUUGAACUGGAUUUUGUAUCAAAACUACUCCUCGUUAAAAUUAACACAAUCUCAUACAUAGUUUGUCUUUAAUUAGUUCCGUGAAGAAGUAAAGAUUCAAGAUGAUCUCCAACUCUCACCUUAAUUAAUGACGAUCACAACCCUUAAAAAACAUUAAUACUUUUUAUAAUAUAUUUAGCCAUAUAUAGUAAUUGAUGAUUGAGGAGGAGGUGCUGUACAAGUAGAAAUAUGUGUGUGUGUGUGUGUCCAAAUGAAAUAAUCCUUGGUUAAUUAAUGUACUUGACAUUUUUCUCAAAUAGUAUGCUAUAUAUAGUGGAGUGGCGCCUUCAAAAGCGCAUAAAUUGACCAUGAAUAGAGGAAGCAAUAUAUAUAAUUGCAUACAGUGGUCACGUUAAUAUAUAUAUACAUAUAUUGUAUUUUCACCAGACUUUUUUUUAUCAUUUUUAAAUUCCUACAUAUAUAGUUAGUGAUCUUGUCGAUGAUGUCAUUGCGAUCAUUUGUGUAGCAAGUAUAUUCUGGCAGAUCUUUUUCACUUCUUCUAUAGUUCUCGUGAUAAAUUCACCGCGCAUAGUUCCGCUCACGAUCAUUUCAGGUAGGGUGACCACUGGCUAGUAAAAAUGUUUACAAAAGGCCGGGAAGAUUCGGUGACGUACAAACAUCAAAUGAGAAGACUUAAUGAAAUAUUCUGAGCUAGCCUAUUGAGAGUAAGCUAAGUGAUACAAAACCUAAUUAAUUUAUAUCAGUAUCUUCUGCUACGGAUGGAUAAGAGCUAGCUAGCUAGCAUGCAAAAUUGCGAAGCUGAUAAUAAAAAAUAAAAAAAAGAAGAUCAGUGCAAGUGCAAGCCAAGUGGGCUAACCUGCUGUGGGCCAUGUAUGUGGUCCAUGCAUGGAAAAUUGGGUAAAGUUUUUGAAUAAUAACUUUUUAAGUGUUUCAGUUGUCCAUCAACAUUACAUAUAUUGAAUCAUCAUCAUCAUUAUGUAUAUCGUGAACAAGAUGUAUAGAUGAUAAAAUAAUUUCCCAAAGAAUAUUGCAAUUAUAUGCCCCUAUAGUCUAAAUAGAGUUGGGUGCAGGUACAUGAAUACACACCAAUAUGAUGUUUACUUUUCUUUUUUAUUGAUUGAAAAGUUUAGUCCAAAAAAUUAAUAUAUAACCGUUAAGAAUAAAUAUUACGUGAAAUCAAAUAUGUAUUCAUUGAAUAGGUACAUGUCCCCUAUUUCCAUCUUUUAGAGAUAACUUUGAACUCCUAUAUAAAUUAAAUUUAGAUGUACCACAACUAUAUGGAUACGUCCCUUCAUUUCUCCUUUAAAUUAUUAUUAUUAUUAUUAUUAUUAUUAUNNNNNNNNNNNNNNNUUACUAUUGUGCUAGCUAGGUCCUUGGAAAGUUAGUAUAUAUGGAUGAGGUCCGUACGAAGAAACAAGUGGAAACGUCAACUUAAUUAUUAUCGUGCUGUGCUCCUUGGUAAGUAACGUCAACUUAUACUUUUAUAAUUUGAUGGUAUAUAUAUUAUUAAUCAUCACGGACGACUUUGAUAAAAUGGCAAUCACAUCCACCGCCUACUUUCUCUCUUCUUUUUACUUGUGAUAUAUAUAUUAUAUUGGUGAAACAUAAUAACCAAUUAAUUGUUUCGCUUCAUUGGACUUUCUUUCUGCACAAUAAUUGUUUGGAUAUGGAACACCCUGUGGACUGGCUCGCUAAAUGACAAGUUUAAUUUGUGUGUGGGAUAAAAAGAUAAAUAGAAUGAAUUAAUUCCUAUUGGGGACUUGACUUUAAGUUGAUGCCAUGGCCCAUGGUAUAGUGGCACCUUAUAAUAGCAGCGUGCUGGUUGAUAGUUGUACUGCUGCUGCUGGUCCCAACACCCAAAUGAAGCUUACCUAGCGCCCAGACGACCCGUGUCAGUACUGGGAACCCGACCCCGGUUCUGGCUCAGAGACGUGCGACGUUAUCCAAUAACUUACCCCCGCCCCAAUUAUUUUUGAUGAUAAAUUUAUGUUAUUAUUUAGUAUCGGCGAGGUAGUUAAUAUAAGUGGAAUGAAUGGAGGAGGAGGAAAGCGGAAGAUAGAUAUGAAUAUGACAUAAAUAAAUAAUAUAAUAUAAUUACAAGUUAAAUCUGUGAUAUGCAUGGUUCGUUGGGACUGGUAGAGACAACGUGUAGAACAAGGAUGAUGUGAUGUGGGGAGCACGCCUACGCCAAACCCAAUCCUAUUUAUAUUUCACUGAAAUUGAAAAGGUUGCUUAAUUAGCUUGACGGUGAAUGCUGCGGAUGUUAUAUCUGCCUGCCUCUUCUGGAGACUCAGAUCAUAACCAGCUAGCUAGCUGCUGAUCAUGGUCAUUGAUUAAUUAAUUAAUUAAUUAGUAAGUCAAUUUAGAGUUGAGGCUAAUUAAUGAAUGCAACUUAACUUUAUUAUUCUCUUUUCUGAACUAGUAGUCUAGUCUCUUUUUCUGAACUAGUAGUCUAGUCAUAGUGGAGACUUAAUUUCCCUCUUCAAUUAAAUAAUCCUAUCCUCUCUUUAUCAUGGGAUCUCUUUUCUUUUGUCCUUUUCUUAAUUUGUUAAUCUCGCCGUUCCCACAUAGUACACAAUUUUAUUUAUUGUUCAAAUAAAUAAAUCAAUAUUGCUUAUUAUUAUUUAUACCCCGAUGCCAUCUCCUUCCUCCUCCUCCUCCUUUCAUCUCAAGUAACCCAAUCUAGCUACCUUUGCCCUUUGCUUUCUUCUUAUUUAUCUAAUCCAAAACUCCUCUCAUCUCUUUUUUUUUCAGAAUAAAGAAACUUGUGCUUCAGUGAAUUAUUAUUGUUAUUAUUUUAUAUGCAGUAGAGCAGCAACAACAACAACAACAACAAAAGUGUGAUACGUACGUACGUGUUUGUCCAAAGAAACAUGGAAUUCCACCACCAUAGUGAAGAAGUUCCUGAUCUCCAUAACUUCCCCUCCGACCAAACCCAACAACAACAACAACAAGUCCCCACGGCAUCCUCACAGUCACCACCCAAUAAUUGGCUCAACUCUGCUCUCCUCCUCCGCGGCCCCCAACACCCGCCCGCCGCCGACACCAAUUUUCUCAACCUCGCGGCCUCUUCCGACAUCAUCCACAACACUACUACUCCAUCUGACUCCAUAUUAAACCAGAGCCACAACAACUUGAAGCAGAAUAGUAAUACUCCUAGCGAAUCAGAAAGCGGUGGAGGAGAUUCGAGCGGGAGGUACAAGGGAGAGAUACUUGCUCACCCGCUGUACGAGCAGCUUUUGUCGGCACACGUGGCGUGCCUGAGAAUAGCGACGCCGGUGGAUCAGCUUCCGAGGAUUGAUGCACAAUUGGCCCAGUCUCAUAAUAUCGUCUCCAAAUAUCCUCAUCAUCAUCAUCUUCAUCUCCCUGCAUCGCCCGAUCACAAAGAACUUGACCAGUUCAUGGUAACCUACCUAUCCUCCAUCGAUCCAUCUCCAUUUUCCAGUACUCGAUCGUCAAAAAUAUUAAUGUGUGAAUAAAAUUUUGGACUAUCAAUCUGUUCGUAUAAUUAUAAUAAUAAUAAUAUCUAGCUUACAGGCACCGACGACCGACAUAGCUGGGCAUUUAGCUAGUGUGUUUACUUGUUUGUGUGGCUUCAAAUUCUUUUGGGUUACAGAAAAAAAGGCUAAGGAUGCUGGAUCCCUUCUUCUGUGGCUGUCCAUUGUUUAAACUUUUUGUCUUACGUAUCCUCUCAUUCAUAUUUCAGUCGGCAUUCUUUUCUUUCCUAAGGAAGGAGGAUGGAAUUAUUAAUUAAUUAAUUAAUUAAGCUCUUCUAUAUAUCUGUUAGCCAGCAUAAAGGAUUUAUUCGCCCUUCAAUUAAUAGCCCGAUAUGUAGCACAACUAAAUUAUUCCUUAUUGUUUGGAAUGGGCGGCCCCAAAUGUAACUUUGGGAUUAAUUAAUUGGAUGGAAAUUGAGAACAUCUGUUGAUUGUUGUUUUACGCUUAAAAAGUAAGUUUUGAACGUCAUGCGCGCUAAGUGACAAAGUAGCCUCUCGAUCGGUUUACCCGAACGGUGGAUAUAAUAUAUAUUUAUAAAUUUUAAGUAAAUUUCAAUGGAAUUUCAGGAUUCCUUUAUUCUUCACUUUCUUGAUAAUAUAUUAAUUGCUCAACAUUCUACCAUUCUAUGUUGCUUUAUCAUAUCUCUAGCUUUAUUUCGCCCAAUUACAUAUCAUUUUCUACUUCACCUAGCUAAUUAUAUGAUUUUUUCAAUUCUUUUUUUUUUAUAAAUUCUAUAACAAUAUAAAAACGUGAAGCCAAAUAUUUUUCUGAUUGAUGAAGACAUGCAUGGUGGAGUUAAUAACCUCUAAAUUAUGACAAUAUUUUACGGCGAUCUUAUAAGUUUUCAAUUGUUCGUUUAUAACAAUAAUAAUUAAGGGGAUUUAUAUAUAAUAUUUAAUGGGGAUGAUGGAUGGUUUUAUGCAGAGUCAUUACUUUCUGCUGCUAUGUUCGUUCAAAGAACAACUACAAGAACACGUAAGAGUUCAUGCAAUGGAGGCAGUAAUGGCUUGCUGGGAGAUUGAGCAGUCUUUGCAAAGUUUAACAGGGGUGUCACCAGGUGAAGGGACCGGUGCCACUAUGUCGGACGAGGAUGAUGACGGCCAUGUAGUAGUAGUAGAAAGCGAAUUAGGCGCCGUCACUACUUCGUUUGAUGAUUCGAUGGGAUUUGGUCCUCUUGUCCCAAGCGAGACGGAGAGGUCUUUAAUGGAACGAGUGAGGGCCGAGUUGAAACAUGAACUUAAGCAGGGUUACAAAGACAAGAUUGCGGACAUUAGGGAAGAGAUACUGAGGAAGAGAAGAGCGGGAAAGCUGCCUGGAGACACUACCUCUGUCCUCAAAUCUUGGUGGCAAUCUCAUUCCAAGUGGCCUUAUCCCACCGUAAGUAUUCUAUUAUAUUAUAAUUCACACUCAUCAUUAUAUACCUAGCUAGGUUAAUAUCAAUUACAUAAUAUUUACAGAAUAUUAAAGUCAUGAAAAAUGUUACACCGUUGCUUGCUGUAGUUUCUCUCAUCUAACUGUUGGGCUAAUUUUAUUGGAUGAUUGAAAGUUUUUUAAUUUUAUUUAGAUUAUUAUUUGAAAAUUUUAACACGGUGAAAUUUUAAUUUUUAAAUAUUUCUAAUGUACAUGUUAAAUAUUAAUUAAUUUAAUUUUUUUUAAUUUUCAUGUUAAAAUGGUUAAUUUUCAAAAGGGUUAACCUAUGGAAAUUGACCAUUUUCACAAAAAAAAUUCAAAAAUUUCAAAUCGACUAAUAUGUGACAUGCAUAUUUGAAAUGACUAAAAAAUCAAGUUUCAUUAUGAUAAUCCUAUAAAUAAUGGUCAAACGAAGUCAAAAAUCAAUUUUACUCGGUGUUGUUUUAGCAUGUUGAAAAAUGUUUUUAACUUCAUUUGGAUAUUAUUUGAAGGGGUUAACAUGGUGAAACCUCAUUUUUUAAUCAUUCUCAACAUGCAUGUCAAAUAUUAACCAGUUUGAAAAUUUUCACGUCAAAAUUGUUAAUUUUCACAAGAAAAUUUCACAAUUUUCAAAUCGACUAAUAUUUGACUUGCAUGUUGAAAAUGACUAUUAAUGUAAAUUUCACCAUGAUGACCCUUGUAAAUAAUGGUCAAAUGAAGUUAAAAAUAAAUUUUACUUGGUGUUAUGUUAGUGUUGAAAAUUUUCAAAUUGGCAAAUUUCCUGCAUGUUAAGCGUCGUUACAUGAAUUGCAUUAAUUUUGAUCAUGCACAAUUAUGUGGAAACCAAAUCAUUUUACCAUACAUAAUAACACAUACAAAAAAUAAUAAAACACACGGAUCGAUACGUUGUUUAAUCAACUGAGCGCGGACCAACAACCUAAUAGUUGUAUAAAGUGAUAGGAAUUUCUGAGCUGAUAAAAGAUGAUGAUGAAUUGAUAAGGUGAUGCAUGCAUAUGCAGGAGGAAGAUAAGGCGAGGUUGGUAGAGGAAACAGGGUUACAGCUGAAGCAGAUAAACAACUGGUUCAUCAACCAGAGGAAGAGAAACUGGCAUACCAACCCUUCCAGUACUUCAACCUCUACUUCCUCCAAAACUAAACGCAAGAGGUACUUACGUUACUUUGUCAUAAUUAUUAAGUAUAUAUACAUAUUGUUUAACAUGCACAUAUGUUAAACUAAAUAUAUCACCUCUUAACUGCCCCCGAUCGACAGGUCUCAAGUAGAUCUCAAGUAAGGUGUAUAGAUAUCAAUAUCAUGCGCAGGUGACGUUCAUAUCUUACACAAGCAGCAGCAGCAGCUGGUUGGUCGCUUUGUAACGUACCAUACAUACAUCGUUGUCUCUCGUUGAUCGGUUACCAAUAGGAAAACAAUCACCAAAAUUAACACAUACAUAGUGCAAAUUAAUCGAGGUGACCCAGCUGGCCUCAUGUAGGAUAUGUACGUACGUAAUAAUAUUAUUGAUUUCAUAGAUAGACGGCCGCAUACGACUUUAAUUUUAUGAAAUAAAUGAAAGCUGUUUGAAUUUUUGGGAGAUAGCAUGUGUAGUAAUGUAUUUUUUAAAUGGGCUGGCUGGGUUGUAUACAACAUAUAUAUGGAGUACGUACAGUAUAAUUAAUUCUUCUCCUCCAUAUAUUAUAUGUACCUCUCUAUACUCAAAUUUUCGGAACACUAUGUGUACGUACGGACGUGUGCAUGACAAAACCAUUUUUAAGUAUUCGGCAGAGUCGUGGAUAUCUCCUGGUUCACGUGCAAGGUGUGUUCUUCCUUUGCGUCUAUCUGAUGUUUAGUUUUCUCUCCUGGAACGUCCGUGGUUUGGGUCUAGAGGAGAAGAGGUUUAGAUAAAAGACAGAGUUACAAGUGCUGGGCCUGAAAUUGUGUGUUUUCAAGAAUCUAAAUUGGUGAAUGCUGAUGCUGGGAUAAUUAGGAGUCUUGUUGGUGGGUCGGACUGGGGAUGGACCUUUAAACCUUCUGUCGGGGCCUUUGGUGGUAUCAUUACUUGUUGGGAUGAGAUGUGUUUCGAAAUUGUUGCUGAUUGGAUAGGAGAAAAUGUGGUUGUGGUGCUUCUUCAAAACAAGGUGGAUGAUUUCAAAUGGAUGUUGUUAAAUGUUUAUGGCCCUUGCGUCCAUACUCAGAAACUUCAAUUCUUGGAAGAGAUUAGAAGUGUUGUGGAGUGGUGGGAUCUCCCUGUUUGUGUGGUAGGUGAUUUAACCUUUUGAGAAGCCCAGAUCAAGCUAUUGGAGCAAGUAGAAACGGUUUGGAGAUGGAAACUUUGCUUUGAUUGAGUUGCCGUUGGGUGGUGCUCAAUUUACCCAGACAAAUUUUCGGGCAAAUGUUUCUCUAUCUAGAUUUGAUCGUGCUCUUGUUUUUAGCGAGUGGGAACAACACUUCCUUGGCUGCACUCUAAGGGCGCUUAUGAAAGUUUGUUCGGAUCAUUGUCCCAUUUUGGUGGAGUGUCGAAAUGAGAAGCGGAUUGAUAGACCGUGACGUUUUAAAAAUAUGUGGAUGAGAGCUCUAUCCCCCGAUUGGCGGGUUGUUCUUUCUGGCCAAAAAGCUGGAGUUAAUCAAAGAAAAACUAAAGGUUUGGAACAUUGAUGUUUUUAAAAGGGUAAAUAAAGAAAUUGAAAGAGGGUUUGGUGACAUUAACGUGCUUAAUAAGAAAGAGGAAAGGGGCGUGCUCACUGAGGAGGAUAGAGUUCAGAGAAUUUCUGUUAAAUGUAACUUGGACAUAUUAUGGAGAUGGAAAGAGAUUUUCUCAAAGCAAAAAGCCAAUUUGUAUUGGUUUAGGGUGGGUGAUCGUAAUACUAAAUAUUUUUAUUAUAUGGUUAAUAGUAAAAAAAGGAGAAAUUUAGUUUAAUUUAUUGCUGUGAAUGGUGAUCUUGUCAAGGGUCAAAGCAACAUAACAAAAAAGACAGUUAAGUUCUAUUAAACUUUGUAUAAGGAAUUUAAAUUUGUAAGAUCGAUAGCCUCCAAUCUUACUCUAAGGAAGAUUUCUAAGGAGGAGGCUAUGGGAAUGGUUGUUCCGCUUUCGGAGGAGGACGUGGAGAGAGUGGUUCAUAAAUGUGGUGGGGACAAAGCUCUAGAUCGUGAUGGUUUUUCCAUGAUGUUCUUUAAGAGGAAUUGAGAGAUUGUAAAGGAAGAUAUGUGUAAAGCGAUGACGUCUUUCUUUGAUUAUUCGUUGAUCCCUAAUAGUGUAAAUAACACCUUCACUAUUAUGAUUCCUAAGAAGAAUGUGAUGGAGGAAUUUAAGAAUUUUCGCCCUAUUAACCUUGUGGGGAGCAUUUAUAAGAUUAUCUCCGAGAUUCUUAUGUUUAGGUUGAAAUAUCGUUUGACUAGUCUUAUUUCUCCACAACAAUGUGCCUUUGUGAGGGAUCGACAGAUUUUUGGCGCAGCCCUUAUUGCUAAAGAGAUUAUUGAUUCUAGAUAGAAAAGUGGCAAAUCGGGGCUUGUUCGCAAACUGGACAUUAAAAAGGCGUAUGACCAUGUAAACUGGGAGUGUCUUUUCAACCGUCUAUAUCUGAUGGAUUUUGAGGAAAAGUGAAUUGUGUGGAUAAUAAGUUAAUUGACAACAACUCAUUUUUCGAUCUUAGUCAACGGUGAGGCGUCCGGUUAUUUCAAGAGUAGCAGAGGCUUGAGGCAAGGAGAUUCCUUAUCUCUCUUCCUGUUUAUCAUUGUUAUGGAGAUUUUAUCUGUUAUCCUUGACAAAGUGCAAACUGUUAUCUUAGUCUCGAGUUUCUACAUGGACGAGGAUCACCGUGAAGGACUCGUAAACCACAUUUUGUAUGCAGAUGAUGCUUUGCUUUUUUGCGACGCAUCAGAAUCUUAGGUUCGUUUUCUGGCUGCAACUCUCAUUUAUUUUGAGUGUGUUAUUGGUUUGAAGGUGAACUGGCACAAGUCCACAUUAAUCCCUGUUGGAGAAGUCCCUAAUGUGGGUGGUUAUGCUAAUAUCCUUAGUUGUGAGAUUGAGGCUCUCCUUGCUUCUUGUCUUGGUCUUCCUCUUGGGAUAAGAGGUUGUUUCACGACGAUCUGGGAGCUGGUUAUUCGUAACGUGGAGAGGAAAAUGGAAUCUGGAAAGCCAAACUUUUGUCCUUCGGUGGUAGGGUGGUCAUGCUUAAAAGUGUGUUUUCUAGCCUUCUUGUCUACUAUCUUUCCAUCCUCAAGGCUCCCGUUACUGUGAUUGAGCUGAUUGAAGGUUUAGAAAAACGUUUUCUGUGGGCUGGCAGUGUAGAUAAAGAUAAGAUUCAUCGGGUAGUUUGGGAUCUUAUUAAGACUCCUAAGUGUGUUGGCGGCCUUGGUGUGUAGAUCUAAGGAUUCUUAAUGUGGCACUUUUGAGUAAAUGGAUGUGGAGGUUUGCGGUUGAGAGAAAUGCUUGGUGGCAAAUUCUACUCACUACCAAAUGCGGGGUUGGAUGCUCUGAGUGGCUUCCCUCACCAGCGGGUUGUUUUUUAUGGAGAUGGAAAACUGAUCUUUAUUCUGGGCGUACAGCUAUCUCGAUCCUUGGGGGGGGGGGGGGAAGUUUGUGUUUGUUUUGGUUUUAUUACUAGGUUGGGGGUGUGAGAUUGUGUGAGGCCUAUCCAAGGAUUGUGGCAGCUGCACAGUCUGCGGAUAGUUAUGUUUUUUACCUGUAGUCUAUGGGCGACAGGAGGACUUAGAGCAUUCCCUUGUCUACUUCUUUGAGACGGGGGGCUUUGGUGGAGUUUCAAUUUCUUCAAGCUCAUUUGGAGGCUGUUCCUUCUAACCUGAUUACUGAGGGUCCAACCUCGAUUGUUUGGCCGCUAGAAUGGUCUCAUGUUUUUUCAGUCGAUCACUUCGAGUUCAGAGUACUACAGACAAGUUUCCAUUUUUCCCUUUCGACUUUGUUUGGUCGACAAGCGCUCCAUCAAAGGUUCAAUGUUUAUGUUGGUUGGUCUUCUUCAAGAAAAUUGCAACGAUCGACAAUCUUCAAUGGAGAGGUAUGCAAAUGGUGAACCGUUGUGCCCUAUGUUGUUGCGACCUCGAAUCGGUCGAUCAUUUGUUCUUGCACAAUAGUUUCUCUUCUUCGGUUUGGGCACAGAUUAGUUGAAUACUUUCCAUGUACGGCCUACUACGUUUGAUUGUCUGGGUUUCAUUGAGACAUUAAAAGAGAUGAACUGUCUUCCGAUAUUUGAUGUCACCAAGAAAGUGAUUUUACAUGUCUAUUUCUGGAUUUUAUGGGAGAAAACAAUAAUCGUAUAUUUAGGGAUGGGAGGAGAAGUAGUUCUCAAUUGUUCUACAAGAUUAUGGUGAGUGUGGGGAAGUGGCCUGUUGCUGCAGGCUUCUUCUCGGUUGCUCAACAUCAGGUGUGGUCAGAGUUUGUCAUCAAUCCUAAUUAAUUUCCGGUUAUUUUUUGGGCGUGGGUUGGAUGUAUGGGGCAUUUCUUUUGAGUUGAGAUAUAAUUUUUUUUGCUAUAAGUUAAGUUGGGGUUUUUUCUUUUUUCUCAUUGCAGUUAGUUUGUAAGUGGUUCUAUGUACAUUUUUUUUAUAAGGACCCAUUACUUUGAUGUAAUUCUCUUUCAUAAUUUAAAUCCACAACUUGAUAAAAACACCGCAUCUUUAAUAUAUAGAUGAUGGUUUGGAUUUCUCUCAUCUCUACUCUAUUCUUGAAGUAGCUUCAAAAAAGUGUUCUAUCAUGAUUUGGCCAAGUCCAUCAACAGGUCGUCAAGAGUACACAAGCCAACCAGUCGAGAUAUAUUUCGUAUCUCAAUAUUCCUUUGUGCCUAGUCUUUAGCAUGUCUAUUAUAUAUCAGGGCAAGAUUCAUCCAAAUUCAUUCGUCCAGCUCAAGAUUCAUCCAAACUCUCCAUUAUGAACUAUUUUGUUGCUCACCUGAAGUUUUGGGAGAGAAUAGUUGGCGUGCUAGAUAGAGACUAAUUUACAUAUGAGGAUAUAUCACGGUAACGUGCACUUCAGUUUCCAUUUGAAACCACAUUAUUAUUAAUACAUAGUAAUGAACUGAUUAAAUACAUAGAAAACCAAUUGGGCCUUGGGGCCCGGGAUCACCUACUCUAAUCUAAGGCAAUUAUCCAAUUGAUUAGUUAUCUAGUAGAUACUUUUGAAUAGAUAUUGAAUCCAACAUCAAGUCAGCAACUGCUCAUAAUUUGUUUCCUUAUUGGCUGUCCUGGCCGAUGAACUAACUGUACAUAUAUUCUAUUAAUUAGAUAACCCAAAAGAUAUUGACAAUUUAUAUAUUCCAUCUCUUUGCUUUUCCAGCUAUUUUUUUCAUCACUAAAAUUAUAUUGAUACGCGUUUCCUAAAUCCUAAUCAACACAGCUCAUGAUUUUAAUUUUAGGUGAGAUUAAUUAGCUACUUGGAUAAUAAUUAUAAUUGGGUAAGGUUUCCAUUCUUAAAGAGAAAUUGCCAAAGGUAAUUUGUUUACUUCUUUUAAGGUGAUAUUUCCGAAUUUUAGAGCCACGAAUAACAAAUCAAUCACUUUGACAACAACCCAAUUCAAAGAAUGAGUAUUGGAGAUUCAUGCAUGUUCAUCAAACUUCAAUUCUAAUUAUAGACAAUAUAAUUACAGCUCAAUAGAAAAGAAUAAUGGUAAACAGAUACACAGGUUUCAAGACUGCCUAGGAGCGGCGAAUCUGGCCGAGAAAUCCGGGUAUCCGCAGUCGUCGGUGGCAUCGCCGUCAUCGAAGUUAAGCGCGUAGCUCUGAGGGUCGUAUUGAAACUUGGUCCUCUUCUUAGAAUUCGAAGACCCAAAGGCUGGUCUGCUAAAUCUUCGAAUGAAAUUUUUCCACUUGGGGCCUGCAACCAACUCGGAUAUUUCUCUCGCCUUCUUCAGCUUCUCCACCACCCACCGCCGCCCGCCGGAAUACCAACGCAGUCCAUCUUGAUCUUCUUCGGAACAAUCUUCUUGAUCGGUUUGCAAAAAAUAAGUACGGGAGCCGGAUUUGGUGGUUCGUCGGCGGCUGAAGCAGUGGGCUGGGAAGCAGAGACAGAAGGAGGGGGAGAAGGGGACACCGAGUUCGUCAUCUAGACCGUCGACGACGUCGUAGUCUUUGGAGGGAAGGUGAUCGUGUGGUCGGGAACUGGGGACGAAGGAUGCAGCAGCUUGAUCUUGCUGUGGAUUUACAGCCAUUGUGGUGGGAGCUAGCUAGACGAGAGAGAGAGAGAGAGAUCGAAGAGAGUUGAGAAAGAUAGGAUUUAUAAUUAAGGAGGAGCAGAGACAGGGAGCACCGUCUAAUAGCAGGCCGCUCUUGAUUCGAUUAAGGAUUAACUGAUUAUUAAUGACCAAUAAUUGCCUUGUUUUGUUUUGUUUUGUCCUGGAUUACCGCCUUCAAUUUGUAUUAUUUUCCACUUACGGACUCCAAAUUGUUCGUUUUUAAUUCCCGUUACUUUGCCGCUUAAGCUUUCUCACAUACAUAGGGUAAUUUACAUCCCAUGCCAUUUGACUAUUAUUUUGCUGCGCAUUAGUCACUUACUGUUUUUAAUUUGCGCCGGAUACCACUCACUCGACUGUCAAAUUCGUUUGCCGUCUAUUUAACUAACAGAUUUAUUAUUCUAAGUAAUAUUUUAUUUUAUGAUUACUUGAAUGCCAACUCACCUCAACCUAAAGCUCAAUUGUUGAUUGGCAGGCUUAAGAAGUUAGGUGUCCUUAAAUUAUUACAUUAAAAUCCACCUACUUAAUUACCCAAUUUGCAGUCAUUUCAUUCAACUUCUCGAUAUGAGAUCAAGCUGUAGGUUGAAGUGAGUUGGCAUCAAGUUGUCCCCACAAAAUGUUAGUAGCUAGAGAUUGGCCUUGUUAUAUCCAAGAUUCCAAGUGGUUUGAUGGAGCAGUGACCCAAGUCAGCACAAAGGCUUAUCCACAGAAACCCAAAAAUACCCCAGUUCUGCAGCAUUAUAGAUGAUUUGAUUUUGCUAAAAACACACACAAAGGCCAAAGCUUUAGACUAGUGGGAGUGGAGCAAAAGAGAAUCAAGAAUCACCCGUUGGUCUUCAACAUGAACUCCUCAAUCUUAACUUGAAAUCCUUGCUUCCACUUGUAGCUAUGCUCCGGGUCAAUCUCUAAGCUUCCUAUCUUCACCAACUUGAUGUCAAAAUACCUCUAAAUGUGCUUCCAAGAUGCAAAGCAAAAUGGAAUGGAGGAAGUUUGAUAAAAGCUAGCUGGGGCAGAUCCUGGAAAAGUUCAAAGUUGUGUUCUUUUAUUAUAUGCCCUGUUGCCACUCGGAAACAGAGGAAGAGGAAUUUCCCUUAAUAAUGCAGAAGAUUGUAGAACCCCCAAUUGUUGAUGUAUUUCUUUACACAAAGUACCCAAGAGGCAAGACAGAGCAGCAAAUCAACUGUAAUUAGCUGCAUUUAAAAAAGAAAGAAGAAAAAUCUCACUAGUCACAACCUUUUUUUACGAUAGAUACAUCACAAUAUAUUUAGUUUUGAAUUUCUCAAUUUGAGCUUCAGUUUCAACUCCAUCCAGAGAUCUCCGUCCUGCUCACCCUCCCUUGCAUAGACGGAGCCUCUGCCCAAGUCUCAAUACGGGUAAACCUUUCUGGAGUUGCCGGAAGUCUGGCUGCGAAGCUACUAAACGGUAGUUGAUCAUCCUCUCGAUUGGCACCGUCCUCCUCGAAAUUGAGAGAGUAGCUCUCUGGAUCGUAUCUGAAAUAAUCGGAUCUGUGUCCUCUCUUGUUCCGGCCUCCUCCUGCGGAUCUCCUACCGAUGAUGAACCCCCUGCACCUGUCCUUGAUCUCAAGAUGAUAUUGGCUAGAUCUGGCAGGAGGCGGCUUGGUGUUGCUGGGGUCGAAAUCGUAGUCAGGGUGGAGGAUGUGGUGGUGGCGGAUGGGAGUGAAGCAGCAGAUGGAUAACUUGAGCUUGUCCUUGAAGGAGGUGGGAGAGUAGUACUCUUCGUCGUCGCUAAUAAUCGGCAUCGCCAUUUCUGGUGGUUGAUCUGGUUGUGUUAGUUUGCAGUGCAGUUUAAAUACAAGGGAUAGAAAACGGACGGCAGUUGUUGAAGGGAAAGAUGAAAACAAAGAUACAUAAAUAAAUAAAUAAAGGACGCGGAAAUGCAGUGUGUUUUGUAGCGGACGAAACCGUGGGAAGGUCGCGGCCUUCCGUUAAGGGAUGAUUGAACCCGCGGAGGGAUUACUGAUUGAUAUUAUUAUUUAUUUGAUUUUGAACUGUGGACGGCUCGAUAUUGUAAUUAAUUUAUUAAAGAUCCAAUGGUCGAUCUAAAUUUAGUAGGCCCAUAAGUCUAUAUUCAUAUCUGUUGAUGGCCCGCCUUAUCAAGCCCAAUUUUCAUCCGCACUGGACCCGGGUCCAGCCACAGAACCCGAAAUUUUCAAGAGAAGGCCCGAAAAGGAUACGGAACAAAAUAAAGAGAGAUUAAAAAUUAAUUUAAAGCGAGAACCUGAGAGCCGGAGAAUCGACGUAGUGCUAUACGGAUCUCUUUCUCUGCCACCUCCUUCCAAGAAAGAAUUCGUUAGCUAGUAGCUAUUACAUGCGAAAAAAAGAUGAAUGCAAUUUCCUUGAAAUUUCCCGUUCUACUACUUAAUUUAUUCUGCCUUGCGACAUACGGUAUGUUUUUAUAUGUAAAAGGGAAGAAGAUCCAUUUGGCUUUUGUUGAUUUAAUAGCAUUUGACUUCACAAUGAAAAUGGCGUCAUUCUUUAGGGAAGUUUUGGAUUUAAUUAAGCCAUUUGAAUACAAACAUGAUGAGGGUGGGUUGUUUGAGAAUUGAAUUCAUCUUCAAAAAAAAUUCCGAAUCAAUUAGAUGUGAUUUUAAAACAAUGACAUUAUUAAUGAUAAUGAUUAGUCUUAAUUAGUUGAGUUGUGCAUGCCACAACGUUAGCAUGGAGAGGCCGAUAGCUACAAACAGACCAAACCCAUUAUCACUUAGGGUUAUGUGAAGUAUAUUUUCGGCCUUCAUCCGUUAACGGUACAUGGAAAUCCAUUUGUAAAUGUGUUACCAACUAUAGGGCGAAGCAUCUUCGGAAACCAAAAAUAUAUGGCUUGAUGGGAUAUUACAAUAUAUGCAUCCGACCCCACCAACACAUAAUACACGAGGGAAAAAAGAACACUUAUUGGAACCAAGUAUUAGUGCAGCAGUACUGCUAUUAUUCCCUAAUCCAUUAUUUGAUGGCAUUGAUGCAGGUUCCAUUCAUUAUUUAACCUUCCUUUCGAAAUAAAUCAUCACAGCUUAUUUCAAUUUCUAUCCAAGUUGUGUAUCUGAGUUUUAUUUUUUUAAAAGAAGAUUCUUAUUGUAAUUUUCAUAUAUGUGAAUCGAGAAAUAUAUAAAAUGUCUUACAGGAUAACUGUUGCCACAAUUAAAACUGUAUGGAUCGCAGAUUUAUACUUUUUCAGAAAGAUCUCAGUUCUUUCUCUCCGUAUCAAAAAUAUUAUGGCAAAAAAACAUGAAACUCGAAAAAAAGUUCCAGACAUAGAAAUCAACAAAUUGAAACUAAAACGAAACAAAAGAUUAAGACUACCAACUAAAACAAAACCCUAGCUUGCCUGGAUGUGCACACAUCUUUAUUCGAUUCAAACUGCCAAAGGGUUUAAGGCCUUAGCUGUCCGACACGCUCUAGUCAAUGUGGCUGACCGGUCACCUUCGGCUGGAGGCACAGAGGUGGAGCUCUGGCCGAGUUUCUCUGGGCCUGGUGGUUGGGUGACUAGAUCCAUUAGCGACAGAGCUUCUAGCCUUGAUCAUGGUCGCCGUGUCUGAAGGUGAUACCGGUGUCGACGUCGGCGGAGAAGUCUGCUGUGCGGUGUUUCCAGAACUGGGUGUUUUGGCUAUAGCGUUUAUAGUUAGGGUUUGCGGUGACGGCGGGUUCAACAGCUGGAGGAUUGGUAAGGGUGGUUGUUUGCAUCUUGGUGUUGCGGUGUAGGGUACGAUACGCCGGUCGUGAUGAAAGUUGUGGUGAUUGGCUCACGAUGGUUGGAUGAAGCGAUGGUUGGGAUUGAUGGUGUACAGCAGGAAGCGCCGGCGGCAUGGUUGUUUUACGAAGCUCUCAUACGAGAGACAUCUUAGCAGCUAGGGCAACUCUUACCCUCUAUUAUUAUUAUUAUUAUUAUUUACUUAAUUAGUAAUUACCGACUGAUUACCGUACAUUAUUCGCUUUUCACAGUCUUGUUUUAGUUAGAAAUCCGAAUAGCACCAUAAUCCCACGAUCAGAGGCGUGGGCAAAAUAACCCCUCCCCGCCUUCUAUAUAUUGCCCGCUUACUUUCACUAAUUCCUUACCCCACACCCACACCCACACCCACACCCAGAGCAUAGUUGGCGUGUCGAGGAGUUGUACACGAAGCAGGAAAAAGCAGAGGCAAAGCUAUACAAGAAAGAGAAGGCAGCGGAGGGACAUAUGGCAGCGGUCAGAGCAUCGUUCUACAACAACCAACAAAUGGCCGAGGCUAGGCUUUUUGGUAAGCUGAAGGAGGCUGAAGGACUUGUAGCCAUCGCCAAAGCACAAGGGACUUAUUUGAAGACACUCCUCGACACGCUUGGUGGGAACUGCACUUCCUUGAGGGAUUACUUGAUGAUCAACGGCGACAUGUACCAAUCAUUGGCACAGAUCAAUGCCGACGUGCUGCGUGGGAUGCAACCAAAGCUUAGCAUAUAGAACAAUACUAGCGACGAGGGUGGUAAUGGGAGUGACGCCAUUAGUGGUGGGGCAAUGAAGGACAUUGCGGGGAUUUAUAAGAUGUUACCGUCGUUGCUUCAAACUGUUGAGGAACAAACUUGGAUGCGCCCUCCUGCUUGGCUUGCUUCCUUGCCGCCUCAUUCUAAGUCGUCGUCUAAGUGAUCAAUUAAUUAUCUACCUCAUUGGCUUAAUUAUAUCACUAGAAAUAACCAGCACUUUCUCACGAAAAAUAAUAUGAUGCUAAUUGUUGUGAAAAGUUCAAAAACUAAGCCAACGAGGUAGAUUUAUCGAGUUACAAUUUAUUGAAUUAUGAGUUGAACGGUUGCGAGUUUAUGAUCGCAAAAGUACGACGGCCGCUUCCUCUAUCAUAUAAGACCAAAUAUAUUGUCAAUUGGAGAGGCUAGCCUAAAUGAAGAGUAUUAAAAAACUUAAAUAAUUUUAUAAACAAAAACCAUAGGUAUCCGAGAAAUAUGACUAUAAUGAGAUCUACAUGAAAAUGGUACACAAAAAAUAAUGUGAAAUUCUUUAUAGAAAAUUUUACCAUUUUGAAAUAAUAAUAACUUUCAUUCUACUCUACUAUUAUAUAUAGAAUAUAGAAUAUACGGAAUGAGUUAGGUUGUUUUUUAUGCAAAAUAAUGGUUAAUGUAUGAGAAAUUUUUUAUAUAGGUGUCCAUAUGUGUAGUAAGAAAUAAACAUACUUUUUAUGCGAAAUACUUGUUAAUGGGUUAUGUUAAUGUUUAAUGUGAAGGGAAUUGGGCUAUGGUAAAAAAAAGGUGCAAAAGUCUCAUUUUCUUGGGGUUAGGAUCAGUAUUUUACAUCAUUAUUAUUGGUGCAGAAGUCUCAUUUCUUUUGGCAUCAUUAUUUUACGCCCAACUUAAUAACAAACAAAUACUAAAAUGCAGGUUAAUGGCCGAACUAGCUCCUCUUUUACAUGCAUAUAUCUUUAUAAGAAACUAGUGUAACAUAAGUAAGCAUUUAAACACAGUGUUAAACUCUAAUGAAUGUUUGGUUAAAGAGGUAGCUAGCGUUAUAAAGUAAGUUGUCACAUUUAUCCCAAAAGCCUCCAAAUAAAGUCCCCGUUUGGUUUACAGUGUGAAAACAGAGUUGCUAACGGCUCUGUUCCCUUUUCGUUUUCUUCCCCACUGCAACAGUUAUCACUUCCAUUCACUGCUACACACUACAAUCUCAGUUUCCAGUUGUUAUUUUCACUUCCACACACUCAAAAAAGUGUUCUGGAAAAAAAGCCAGCGAAAAUGAUGUUCAGUGAAACCCAUUUACUGAAGCUCACACCUCUGUUCUUUGCGUUCUUUGUUUUCCCAAUAUUGUUCCUCCCAAGCUUCUCUCAUGCCUCUUUUCCUCCAGCUGGUCUGUGUUCUUUUCCCCUACUUUUCGUCCUUUAAUUUCUUGGAUGCCCAGAACGAAAGAUGACAGGAUUAGAUAAAUGCAUUGUCAGAAGAUGCAGUAAAUUAGAAAAAAGAAGUUAACUUUCCCUUGUUGAGAUCCCAGUUACAGUCUUUCAUCCCCUUUUUAGUUUAGUGUUUUAUUUUCUGUGUAAACGUGUUUAAAUGUAUGUUCUGUUUCAGGGUCGCCGGCGGCGGCGGAGCUCCCAUGGAGGAGGUCAGCAGUAGAGAUACCCAGCGAACCACCAAUGGAAGUUUCUUCAUCAUCACCACUUGUAGCUUUAGCAGCUGAACGGACUUACAGGAAAGACCCUCUUGCUGGCUUCAAACGUUACGAUGGUGGCUGGAAUAUCAGCGACCGCCAUUAUUGGGCUGUAAGUUUUUUUUAUUUUCAUUGUUUCCUCCCCUUGGUAACUUAAUGCUAGUUGUAAAGAAGUGGGUUUGUUGGAAAUCAGUCUGCAGGAUUCACAGCAGCUCCACUUUUCCUGGUAGCCUUAAUCUGGUUUCUAGGGUUUGGAAUCUGUUUACUGCUUGGAUGCCUAUGUCAUUACUGCUUCAAGAAGCAGCUCCAUGGCUAUUCUCGAAUAGCCUAUGCACUCUCCCUCGUUUUCCUUGUCCUCUUCAGCAUUGCUGCUAUGUAAGUAGUAGUACUAACACUUCUUACAUUUCCCCUCAUGUCCACAAAUAUAUUGGAAUCGUCAUUGCUGAUAAGACAUACUCUGCUGUCACUUGCAGAAUUGGUUGUAUUGUGCUGUAUAAUGGUCAGGGCAAGUUCCAUAGAAGCACAACACGAACAUUGGAGUAUGUUGUGAGUCAGGCCGAUUCGACAGCCGAAAAUCUGAAGAAUGUGGAUGAUUAUCUUGCCUCUGCCAAGCUACUUGGAGUUGAUCAGGUGUUCCUUCCUGCCGAUGUGCAAACUGACAUUGACCAGAUUGGUGGCAGAAUCAACUCUUCUGCUAGCUUACUUUCCGAGAAAUCGUCUGAGAACUCUGCUGACAUCCAAGAUCUUCUUGAUUCUAUGUAAGUCCACUUAUUGGCGUCCCAAACUUUCCUAGUUCCAUUUCAUGGCUCUUAUUGUUUGCUCAUAAAAGGAGGCUGGCUCUGAUCGUUGUAGCUGCCGUAAUGCUUGUCCUGACAUUCCUUGGAUUGUGUAAGCCACAUUACAAUACAAACUAUACUGUUGAUUUGAAUUGCAUAACGUUAUUAAUUCGAAUGCGGAAUUUGCUAACGUUUGUUUUGGUGUGUCCAGUGUUCUCCAUCUUUGGCAUGCAGUCGCUAGUAUCCAUGUAAGUGCCCUUCUGUUGUAUGUUGAUAUUCAAAGUUCCAGUUUUUUUGCGUAAUACUCAACAAAAGAACCCUUCUGUUGUAUUUUGAUGUUCAACGUUCCAGUCUUUUUGCUUAAUGCUCAACAAAAAUGACCCUUCUGUUGUAUUUUGAUCUUCAAAGUUCCAGUCUUUUUGCUUAAUACUCAAACAAAAAAACCUUCUGUUGUAACUUGAUUAUCAAAGUUCCAGUCUUUUUGCUGUAUACUCAACAAAAAACCCCUUAUGCUGUAUUUUGUUCCUCAAAGUUCCAGUCUUUUUGCUUAAUACUCAACUAAAAACCCUUCUAUUGUAUUUUGAUCUUCAAAGUUCCAGUCUUUUUGCUUCACUCAACAAAAAAAAACCACUAUGGAUGCAGCCUAGUUGUUCUAGGAUGGAUACUUGUUGCAGGCACAUUCAUUCUUUGUGGCAUAUUCCUCCUUCUUCACAAGUAAGCCUUCUCUUCCAAGUCCGAUUUUACAAUCCAUUGAUUAGAGUUCUUGAAUCAAUGGCGUAUACUAACUUAGAGUUGUUGCAUUGGUCGUAGUGUGGCGGGUGAUGCUUGUGUUGCAAUGGAUCAAUGGGUACAAAAUCCAUCUGCACACACAGCAUUAGACGAGAUCCUGCCAUGCGUAGACAGCUCAACCGCACAAGAAACUCUGUCGAAAAGCAAGGAAGUGACAUCCCAGCUUGCCGAGGUAGUGAACCAGGUGAUCACCAACAUGUCGAACAUCAACUUCUCCCCCAACUUCAAGCCAUUGUACAUCAACCAAUCCGGUCCGUUAGUCCCGAUUCUCUGCAACCCGUUUCACGCUGACUUGACUGACCGCCCCUGCAGCCCUGGUGAAGUGGACCUCAAUAAUGCCACACAGGUAAUCAAUUCCCACCAAAUUGGAAAGCGAUCAAAGCUGCAUGUCGAUGGUAACACGAUUUCAUUUGUUAAAACGUUGCGUUUUUUAGGCGUGGAGCAGCUAUGUAUGUCAGGUUUCGCCAUCGGGAAUAUGUGAAACAACAGGGAGAUUGACACCGACUAUAUACAGCCAAAUGGCGGCUACAGUCAAUGUUAGCUACGGAUUGAUAAACUACGCACCGUUCUUGGUUGAAUUAGAAGACUGCACAUUUGCAAGGCAGACAUUUGGUGAGAUAUACAGGGAACACUGUCCAGGUCUGAGGAAGUACAGCAGGGAGACAUAUAUAGGGCUGGUGAUAGUCUCCACUGCAGUUAUGCUGUCCUUGAUAUUCUGGCUCAUUUACGGGCGGGAAAGGCGACACAGCGCUGGUAGUAGAAAUACCAAGCAGCAGCAUCGAGGUGAUGAAUCCGCAGGUCACCAGGAGAUGGAAGUUAUACCAGAGAACAAGGAGCAGCACGGAGUUUGAUCGAGUGUGAGGUUUAGUUUUACCUUUCUUUGUCAUGGGUGAUGUGCAGCAUUUGUAGAUGUGCUCGAGUAACUUAUGGUUGGGGUGGAUUUGUUUGUUUGCAUUGUUAGAACUGUGAAAGAAUGAUUCUUUCCACGUAUUUUUGUGGUACAAUCAGAACUUUAAAAGCUUCAGUUGAUGCAGUGGCGGAUAACUAGUUAUUCUGAAUUCAAGGCCAACUUGAGAAUUUGCUAUGAGUAGACGUUUUUGGUAUAGCCUUAUAUGUAGGUAUUCACGGUCAGAUGAUUGUAAUAACCACCGAACAGACUACCGGCUAUAUUGAUCUUGUUCAAAAAAAUUAUUUUCUUUAUGACGAAAUCACAAAGAUUAAUCAAAGUAAACAGUGCGAAGUUGAUCAUAAGCUUCCCAGCGACUAACAAACUCUCCUUCAUGUCCUCCAAAACCCUACUCAAGAAAGUGUCAAUGUCUGAACCGGGCCAUCGAAUCAGCAAAGCAAUUUGCUUUGAUUGAAAGAAUAUAUGAUAAAGAGGAAUCAUCACUGCUGUUGUUGCUGCUGAAUGAUGAAUGUAUUUGAGAAGAAAGGAGAACAUCGUUUGGAUUAAUCAAUUAGCUUUUUGUCAAAACUUGUCAUAUUAUUGUUAUAUUUAUUUAUUUCUUCGUAGAGCUGUCAUACUUUAUUGACUGAACUUUGUAUAUAUAUUUACAGCUAUCAUACUUUAUUGACUGAACUUUGUAUAUAUAUUUAUGUUUCAAUAAUAAGAAUCUCAAUAAGCAUUUUCUCCAAACAGCAGUGUUUUUCCAUAACAUGCUUAUGCUUCUGGCUCUUCAUCUUCCUUAACUUCCUUCAAUCAAAAUUCAUAUGGUAUCAGAGCUCUAGCUGAUAUAAUUUAGGAUAUAUCGAUCCAAUCAUGAAUGACAGGUGAAACAGAUCCUCCGAAAGCCAUCAACAAUCUUUCAAAUUCUGGAACGAAGUAUGAAAAUCCAUACGGUAAUCCUUAUUUCUUAGCUUUAGGAGACAACUCAUUCCUUCCUGUUAUCAACUUCAAACUCAAUGAUGACAAUUAUUUGCUAUGGAGUGAAUAUAUAGAAAUGGCUCUCAAAACAAAGAAUAAAUGGAUGUUCGUCAAUGGAGCUUUGUCUUGUCCUGUCAAAAAUGAACCAUCUCGUAGUACGUGGGAAAGAAUCAACGGAACAGUUGUUUGCUGGAUCAGAAACUUUGUUUUUGAUAAUAUUGUUCCUAGUCUCUUGAGUAUCAGAUCGGCUAGUGAGGUUUGAGCAUUUCUCAAGUCGAAGUUUGGACAGGGAGACUCAGUUCGAAUCGCAAAUAUACAAGAGAAGAUUGAUGGUGCUAAGCAGGAAACCAAUCUGUCAGGCAGUACUAUACUAAUCUGAAGAUCCUUUAGGAUGAACAUCAGUCAUAUCGACCAAUCCCUUUUUGUGAAUGCACUGUUGGAACUUAUGCUAAUGUUUUGAAAUAUCAGGAAAAUGACCGAGUUAUACAUUUUCUUCUUGGUCUAAGUGACAAAUACCAGUAGGUUUAGGGUGAUGUGCAGCAUUUGUAGAUGUGCUCGAGUAACUUAUGGUUGGGGUGGAUUUGUUUGUUUGCAUUGUUAGAACUGUGAAAGAAUGCUCAUGUUGGAUCCAUUACAUGACCGAUAUAUUGUGUAAAAGUCUGCCAUUCAGUUGGAAAGACAAAUGUCAGGGAAUGCUAGUGGUGUGCAGAAUGAAACCAUCGCCCUUGCUGCAGCUGCUACCGCAACUUCAUCAAACUUCUAGAGAUUCAAGUCUCAACCUUCUAAAUAUAAUGGUGAGGAGGGUUAUAAAGAUAAAAAAAUUUGUUUUGUAGGUAUUGCAAGAAGGAAAAUCACAUAAUUGAAGAUUGUAUCAAGCUGAAAAUCAAGCGUAUUAAAGACGACUUACCUCCCGACGUCAAUGUAGGCAGAAGGGGGUUUGCAGGUUCUGUAGAUGGAACUAUCAUCAAUCAAUCUGAGAACAUUGUUGGAAAUAGAACUCAUAAAAAUAAGAAUGAGGCACAAUCAGCUAUUUCAAAUCUGACAACAGCUAUGGAGGAGCUCGUGAAACUGAAACAUCUCUUCCAAACACCGAAUUCACAGCCUGCUACAACUUUUUCUUCACUGUCACAUCACGCCAACUCAGUUCAUACUCAUGUACAAUCCUCUACAAAUAACUCUUCCAUGACAGGUAGUGUCAUUCUCUUAGCACUUCCUACAUUGAAUCAUUCAUCUCUUUGGAUCCUUGACACUGGUGCAUUUGAUCACAUAAUUUACCGCUUGCAUCAUCUCAUUCAUCUUAAACCAUUACCAAAUACUUUUGUCAUUCUUCCUAAUCAAACACUGGUCAAAGGUACCCAUAGGUUCCGUGAAACUAUCACGUGGUCUUUAGUUGGUUAAUGUUCUUCUAGUACCAUACUUUACAUUCAACCUUGUCUCAAUUAGUAAACUCACUACUCAUUCUCUAGUAUCCUUACUCUUUCAUUCUAAUAUGUGUGUCAAUCAGGACCUUAUUACUCAACGAAAGAUUGGUUUAGUCCAAGAAGAUAAGAGUCUUUAUUUGCUCAAUCAAGAUUCAACCUCAAAUCUAUCCAACAAUUCCUUUACGACAGCCAUUCCAUCUCGCUUUUGGCAUUCCAGACUAGGACACCCAUCUUUUCCCAGACUUCAAAAAAUUCACAAAUCCUACCCUGAUGUUAUUCCGCUUGAAUCCAGCCAUUGUGAAGUGUGUCAUCUAUCCAAACAGAAGCGUCUUCCCUUUCCAAGAAGUGAAUCACAGAUCUUAUUUAGUUUUGAACUUAUUCAUGUAGACAUUUGGGGCCAGUUGAUGCAAUUUCUUUGGACGGUUUUAGUUAUUUUCUUACCAUUGUUGACGAUUUCUCCCGAACUGUUUGGUUUUUUAUGAUGAAAGCUAAAUCUGAAGCCAUGUAUUUGCUUCAAUCUUUCUGUCACAUGGUUCAUAACCAAUUCCAAAAGAAUGUUAAGGUCAUUCGAUCUGAUCAAAGAGCUGAUUUCACAUGAAAGAUUUCUAUUCUCAGCAUGGCAUCCUGCAUGAAAUGAGUUGUGUCAUAACUGCUCAACAAAAUGGCAGAGUUGAAAGAAAGCAUCAACACCUCUUAAACGUAGUUCGCUCUCUCAAAUACCAAUCUGAUUUAUCAAAUACUGUCUGGAGUUACUUUGUUUGUUUUACAUGCAGCCUACUUGAUUAAUCGAAUUCUUACAACAAUCCUUCAUCAUAAAAGCCCCUUUGAGACCCUUCAUAAUGUUCCAUCCGAUUAUUCCGACCUUAAAGUUUUCAAAUGCUUGGCCUAUGCCACCUCAUUGGAUACUCAUAGACCUAAAUUUUUUUCUAGAGACCGCAAAUGCAUUUUCCUCGAAUACACCACUGGUAUCACAGGCUAUAAACUAUACGACUUAGACAUCCACCAAAUCUUUGUCUCUAGAGAUGUCAUUUUUCAUGAAUCCAUUUCUCUCACUAUCUUCUCAGUCUUCUUCACCAGCCAUUCCUCCUUCCUCAUCUACUCUUACUGGGUUUUUAAUUAAUAUUUCUUCAGAUGCCAAUUACCAACUACCUACUCAUAUUUUUCAUGAUAUCUUUGAUGAUGACACCAAUUCUAAUGCUACUGUCACUGAUUUUUCAACCUCUCCUCUUUCUCCUCCUCCACAACCAAUCUUACCUACACAAUCAUCCUCCUCUAUUCGUACUUCUAGACAACCUCAAUACUUACAAAAUUGUCAUGUUCAAUUGCAUAAUGUUCAUACUCCUAUUCAUGUGCAUUCUAACCAUCACUCGCUUUCAUCAUGCAUCUCUUAUGAUAAUCUUUUUCCUGCAUUCAAACACUACAUUCUCAGCAUUUUUUCCCACAUUAACCCAAUCACAUAUGCACAAGCUGUAGAAGAGAAAGAUUGGAGGGCCAUGUAUGAAAAAUUUGCUGCUCUAUUAGUUGCUCGGACUUGGAUUAUAGUUGACAAACCUUUAGGCAUAACUCUUAUUGGCUGUAAGUGGGUGUAUCAAACCAAAUAUACUGCUACAUGUGAGGUCGAUCAGCUCAAAGCCAGAUUAGUUGCUAAAGGAUAUACAUAAGUUUAUGAAGUUGAUUUUACGGAGACCUUUUCACUUGUUGCAAAGUUGAACUCAGUGAAAGUCUUGCUAGGUGUUGCAGCCAUAAAAAACUGGCACCUCCAUCAAAUGGACGUUAAUAAUGCAUUUUUACAUGGUAACCUCGAUGAGAAAAGUGUAUACGAAACUGCCUCCUGAAUUAUAUUACGGGGUCUGAAAGAAUAUAUGAUAAAAAGGAAUCAUCGCUUAUGCUGCUGUUGAAUGAUAAAUAUGUUUGAAAAGAAAGGAGAACACAGCGUUUGGAUUAAUCAAUUAGCCCUUUGCCGAGAUGUUGUCGUGUUAUUGUUGUAUUAUUUAUUUCUCUAUAUAUGUGUUAUAAUUUAUUAACUGAACUUUAUACAUAUAUUUAUAUUUCAAUAAUGAAAAUUUCAAUAAAUAUUUUCUCCAAACAACAAUGUUCUUCUAGAAUAUAUUUCUGCUUCUAUCUCUUUGUCUUCCUUAACUUCGUUUAAUCAUUUAACUUCCUUCAAUCAAAAUUCAUAUUGAUCUAACUAUCAAAUAAGUCGGAUCUCUCGGUCUCUGGCCGGAGUCUCUGAAAUUUCAAAAUUUUCCUUUGAAUUAUUUUAAAAUGCUUAUUUUGGACGCAAUAAUUUGGACCCACCUGUGAAUUUCUUAGGUGACCGUUUCUUUGGAAAGCUGAAAAGUAUACACGCGGCAGCUCAUCAGAGGUGGCCGGGAAACCGGUUAGGGAUUCUUCUUUAUUUCGGCGCUUUUGGGCGGUACCUACUCCUCAUCGCUGAAUUAUCAACCGUUUGAUCAGAGAGAGUCCCAUCCCUUCUUUUCCCAAAGUCGCCUCUCCUCCACUAACUACAGUUAAACUAACCAUAGCUGGGAAAGACACAAAUAGCCUUGCUAUUUCCGCUAAACUUCACGCCCGCCAUUAUUUCUCCAAUCUAUAAAUCCGUCUCCUGAAACUAGCCAUGUUUGCCGAACCAAACAGCCUAAGGGCAUCUUAAGGAAAAUUCCCCCCAAAAGCCCCUCCUCUUCUCUUCCUUUUCCCCUUACCACCUUCUUCUUCUUCUCCGAUGGGGAUGGAUUCAAAUUCUAAGAAACCUAGCGGUCCGGUGCUCCGGUCACUAUCACCUUCCGCACGGUUUCCGUCAUACGGAUCCCGUUCUCACCUGUCUUCUUCCUCGUCAGCCUUCGCUUCUUCCACGAGCUCCGGUUUUUAUUCGUCGCCGUCAGCCUUCUUCCGCAGCUCAGCUCCUCUUCAGAGAUCCACCUCUCCGACGCGCGUCAAUCUCUAUUCCUCGAGUCCUCCAUCACCCACCUUCCGUUUCUCCAUCGAUCGAUCCACUUCUCCUAGCCGAUCGAUUACGGUCGCCACCAAGCACAUCAAUCACAUCUCCAGCCUCCCUAAGAAGAAGACGUGUAUGUGCUCUCCGACGUCGCAUCCGGGAUCGUUCCGGUGUAGCCUCCACAAGAACAGCAAUCAAAGCAGCCACGGUGGUAAUAGCAGCUCGUAUACGCCCAACAGGUUGAACAUGAGGAGAUCCGCCAUGGCGAACUCGGUGGUGAGAAUCGGCGGUGUUGAGGGAGACUGGGUCAAGAGAGCACUGUCCGCCUUGAUCCGGCCGUCUUCACAUCAGCAGAGGAGGCGUGGGAACUUUCAGCAACGACCAAGCAGGCUCUCCGUCAUGUCUAGAGCCGAUGAGGGUUCUUAACAAAUGGUAUUUAUGAAGGUUUAAAUAUCGUUUUUCUUCAUUUCUGAUCUCCGAUCCCGGCGAUUCCCGGCGGAGGGUAUGAAGUGUGGUUUGCAACAAGGGACGACGCCGAGCACUGCCUUCGGGAACGAUCAAACAUGGCGGGGCGAGCUUUGUAGGCGGAGAGAUCUGGGAUUCUCUGCUAGAAAAAAAAUUCUUUUGUAUAUGUCAACGAUUGGAGUGGAAGGAGAUUUCAGGAUCUAAGAGAUAAAUUUUCCAAAACCAGAAACUGAUGAAAGUUGAGAAUCGGAAUAAUUAUGGACAGAACGAGUUUAAUCAAUUAGCCAAACAGAACAUCAUGAUCACAAUUGGUUUCCAUUGAAGUCGAACCCCGUGAGACGUCCUCUGUCUUCUGGCCAUCAGUUCUCCGUUCACCGUUAUUCGUCUCUUCCGUCAUCGUCCGUCCCGUGCGUGCCGUCGGAAUUCCCGUCAGCCGUCGUCGUCGUCGUCGUCAUUUUGAAAGGUAAUAUUUAUUAUUAUGUAUUUAUUUGUUGUUUUCAAUUCAUGCGUUUUGCAUUGUUCCUUGUUUACGUUUUGUUUGUUUUUGGGUGUGACAGGUGGUACCAGCUUUGGAGGAAAAACUUGUUUAUGGACGGACUUUAAUUAAUUGAAUUUGCCUUUGCUAUCAAAAUGGAGAAAGAUGGAAACACGUCUUGCAGCAGCAAGCUGGCGAUGACUAUUUCCUUUGGAAAAGAAGGAAACUUAACUUAAUCGUGACGAAUAAAUAAUGUGAAAACUAAUUAAAGAAUUAAAAGGUGGAGUUUACGUGAAUUACGGUUGGGAAAAAAGUAUAAUAUUGCAUAAAACAUACCAAUAAAAAUUGGAAAUUCAAUCUUUGGGGUGGUUGGGUUGGGUUGGGGUCGAUUUGAUUAUUUAAACUUUAAACAAACUGAAAAAUAUGAAAUUUAAUUAUAAGUGGAGGGGACGGGGGAGAUGGUAUAAAGACAUGUGAAGGGGUGGGCAUUUGAUAAUGGAUAAUAUGGAUUGAUGGCUAAUCGUGACCCUCUGUGUAUAAUAGAAGGCGACUAAAUAUGAUUUUAAUAUUUUAGUCAUUUUGAAAAUUACAAUGGCUCCAACCAUAAGACUAGCUAAACUCAUAAAUCUAUGCCGGAGGGUUGGAGACAGCCUAACAAGUGCCGGGAAAUAAGGUUUUAGGAUGGUGGGUAACUCAUAUAACAUGGUUGGGAAAUAAUAAGGUUAUCUAUAAUAUGUGUUUGUGGACUAUUGUGGGAUGGUGAUAUAAGUGGAUUGGUGGUCCGAGAUGGAAUUGUGGUAUCGGAUCGAGAAAGAAGAAAAGGGUUUAAAUUUUGAUAUAAUAAGAGGACAUUGAAGGAAUGAAUGAACUUAUAAAUUUGGAUACGGUAAACUGGGAAAUUGGGUCAAAGAAGUGACCAGAUGUUAUGAUGAUAUAUACUAAUACAAGAGGUUUGUGAAGAAGACGAAGGAAGAAAACCAGUUAGUUGUAUGACAAACACAUGUGUGGGGGUUAUGCACUUAGAGUUUGGUUGGGUUGAAUUACUUUCAGAUUUUUACCAACUCUACAUACAGUUCCAACAUCCAACAAAGACCGGUGCUAUAUUUGAGUCUAACUGGUUUUUUAUCCUAUUUUGAGUCAAAGAACGUUUUGGUUCAGAUAUUAGAGUGACUCUUGUUGCUUAUUGCUUAGGUUGAUUACUUGAAUCAUGAGUAAAUAAGGAGUAGGUUAGUUUAAAAUUUAAGAAGAAAAUACACAACUUUGUAUGUUACAAAUACUCUUCAUUUAAUAAAAUAAGUAAUACAUGAUUAGUUGUCGUUUUUUACUCGAUUCACUAUCAAUCACGAUAACCAUUUGCUACUCUAUUGGAUUAUAGUAAAUUUAUACUUAAUUCAUAGUUUUGGAAUGUAACUCGGUAAGGUAUUUUACUAAUAUUAUGAAUUUUUACCUUGGAAAAAAUAAUUUAUCUGCAGUAAUUUUGUUUCACGCAGCAAUUAAUGUUAGGAAAAAAUGAAUACAGAUAUGUCAAGGAUGUAACCGUCGAACAAAAUAAAUAUAACGGCGGCAGGACGGUGGCGGGUAGGGUAAACGUUGACCUGGAUUUGUCAAUUGGCGCGGCGGACGAAAUUCACGAAACCCUAGAAGGAGGAAGAGAAGCUCCCACGACCAAACAUUUAAAAGAAAAAAGAAGAAAAAAGGGAAACAGAUGAGAAAUUGAAUGAAUGAAUGAUUGUCUUCUUCCUUUUUCCUCUCUUCAUCUAUCUGGAUCAGCUCUGUCAAUCUCUGUCAUCCACUAUUUUGUUUCAGAGGCGUUCAUAACAUUUCUUUUGCCUCUCUGGUUUUUCUCCAUUCCUUCCUUGCGUUUUGUUCAAAUUCGUAACCGUCCAACGAAAUGGGAAAGCCAACGGGGAAGAAGACUUCAAAUCCUCAAUCGCCGAAAACUCCGAGAACCCCUAAAACCGACGGUAACGCUAAGCACCAGCAGAGCAAGCUAGCAUCCGACAAAUCUUCCAAAGCCUUUGAUGAAGACACCGCAAUCUUCAUCACCAUGGCGCAGGAGCUUAAAGAAGAAGGAAACAAGCUCUUCCAGAAGCGUGACCACGAGGGCGCGAUGUUGAAGUACGAAAAGGCCGUCAAGCUACUCCCCAACAAUCACAUCGAUGUCGCAUCUCUCCGCACCAGCAUGGCCGGUUGCUAUAUGCAGAUGGGACUCGGUGAGUGUCCUCGAGCUAUUAACCAGUGUAAUUUGGCGCUGGAGGUUUCUCCAAAAUAUAGCAAGGCUCUGUUGAAGAGAGCUAUCUGUUAUGAGUCCUUGAAUCGAUUGGAUUUAGCUUGGAGAGAUGUUAAUCGUGUUUUGUCCAUGGAACCUAGUAAUUCAUCCGCUCUUGAGGUUUUGGCUAGUGUUAAGAAGUCUAUGGCGGAUCAGGGGUUGAGUUUUGAUGAAAAUUCCAUUGGUUUGGAUGAUGAGGUUGAGAAGAAGAGUGGUAUUGGUGCAUCUCGUUUGCGCAAGGUGGUGAAAGAGAAGAUCAAGAAUAAGAAGAAGAAAGCUGAUAAAGCUGAGGUUGUGGAGAAGAAGAUAGAUGAUAAAGAAAAGGUACCGGUUGUUGAGGUGAAGAAAGCAACUCCUAUCAUUAACAAAAAGGAUGUGGUUGUGAAGACCAUUGAUGUGAAGAAAGUGACUGGUAAGAAAGGUAUUAAGGAAGAGAAAGCAAUUGCUAAGACUGUGAAGUUGGUAUUGGGGGAAGAUAUAAGGUGGGCGCAAUUGCCUGCGAAUUGUACUGUGGGAUUGCUGAGGGAUAUUGUUGGUGAUAGGUUUCCUGGCUUGAGAGGUGCUCUAAUUAAAUAUAAAGAUCAAGAAGGUGAUUUGGUUACUAUAACUACGACGGAUGAGUUGAGGUUAGCUGAGGCAUCCUGUGGUUCUCAAGGAUCAUCACUCAAGUUCCACAUUGUUGAAGUUAGUUUGGAUCUGGAGCCGAGUUACGAGCGACCAAAAGCUGAUGAAAACGCAGUACUGAUACACGAAAAGCAGAGUCAUGAUGUGGGAAGAAGCAAUGAUGUUGAAAAGGAGUCUGCUUCGGUUGAUGAUUGGAUUAUCCAGUUUGCAAGGCUGUUCAAGAACCAUGUCGGGUUUGAUUCCGAUUCUUAUUUGGAUAUUCAUGAACUGGGGAUGAAAUUCUACUCGGAGGCAAUGGAGGAUACUGUUACGAGCGAAGAAGCAGUAGAGUUGUUUGAUAUUGCUGCGGACAGGUUCCAGGAGAUGGCAGCUUUGGCUUUGUUUAAUUGGGGGAAUGUUCACAUGUCAAGGGCAAGGAAGAGAGUUUCUUUUCCAGAAGAUGGAUCCCGGGAGACCUUACUGGAACUGAUGAAGAGUGCAUAUGAAUGGUCAAAGACUGAAUAUAGAAAGGCUGGAGAGAGAUAUCACUUGGCCCUUAAACUAAAGCCGGAUUUUUAUGAAAGUCUUUUGGCACUUGGUCAGCAGCAGUUUGAGCAAGCUAAGCUUUGUUGGUACCAUGCCACUGGAAGCAAGCUUGAUUUAGAGAGUGGGCCGUCCGAGGAGGUGCUGGAUCUUUACAAUAGGGCCGAGGACUGCAUGGAGAGAGGUAUGCAGAUGUGGGAGGAGAUGGAGGAGCAGCGCCAAAAUGGGAUCUCUAAGUUUGACAAGUAUAAAUCCCAGCUUACGAAAUUGGGAUUGGAUGGUCUGUUGAAAGAUGUGUCGGAAGAAGCUACGGAGCAGGCAUCGAAUAUGAGCGCACAGAUAAACCUCUUGUGGGGGACUAUGUUGUAUGAACGUUCUGUUGUGGAGUACAGGUUGGAGUUACCGACUUGGGAAGAAUGUCUGGAAGUUGCCGUUGAAAAGUUUGAACUUGCUGGAGCUUCUCCGACAGAUAUAGCAGUUAUGAUCAAGAACCACUGUUCCAAUGUUACAGCAUUUGACGGUAAAGCAUAUAAUACUUCUGACUCACAAUCUAGUUCUGUAAUUUUCGACUUACUUUUUUCAGACUAUUGGAACUUUACCGCUUUUGCAGGUUUGAGCUUCAAAAUCGAUGAGAUAGUGCAAGCAUGGAAUGAAAUGUACGACGCUAAGAGGUGGGAGAUAGGUGUUCCAUCUUUUAGGUUGGAACCUUUGUUUCGUCGGCGAGCUCCAAAGCUUCAUUAUAUGCUGGAGUCAUAUUGAAAUUUUUAUUGGUAGUCAANNNNNNNNNNNNNNNNNNNNNNNNNNNNNNNNNNNNNNNNNNNNNNNNNNNNNNNNNNNNNNNNNNNNNNNNNNNNNNNNNNNNNNNNNNNNNNNNNNNNNNNNNNNNNNNNNNNNNNNNNNNNNNNNNNNNNNNNNNNNNNNNNNNNNNNNNNNNNNNNNNNNNNNNNNNNNNNNNNNNNNNNNNNNNNNNNNNNNNNNNNNNNNNNNNNNNNNNNNNNNNNNNNNNNNNNNNNNNNNNNNNNNNNNNNNNNNNNNNNNNNNNNNNNNNNNNNNNNNNNNNNNNNNNNNNNNNNNNNNNNNNNNNNNNNNNNNNNNNNNNNNNNNNNNNNNNNNNNNNNNNNNNNNNNNNNNNNNNNNNNNNNNNNNNNNNNNNNNNNNNNNNNNNNNNNNNNNNNNNNNNNNNNNNNNNNNNNNNNNNNNNNNNNNNNNNNNNNNNNNNNNNNNNNNNNNNNNNNNNNNNNNNNNNNNNNNNNNNNNNNNNNNNNNNNNNNNNNNNNNNNNNNNNNNNNNNNNNNNNNNNNNNNNNNNNNNNNNNNNNNNNNNNNNNNNNNNNNNNNNNNNNNNNNNNNNNNNNNNNNNNNNNNNNNNNNNNNNNNNNNNNNNNNNNNNNNNNNNNNNNNNNNNNNNNNNNNNNNNNNNNNNNNNNNNNNNNNNNNNNNNNNNNNNNNNNNNNNNNNNNNNNNNNNNNNNNNNNNNNNNNNNNNNNNNNNNNNNNNNNNNNNNNNNNNNNNNNNNNNNNNNNNNNNNNNNNNNNNNNNNNNNNNNNNNNNNNNNNNNNNNNNNNNNNNNNNNNNNNNNNNNNNNNNNNNNNNNNNNNNNNNNNNNNNNNNNNNNNNNNNNNNNNNNNNNNNNNNNNNNNNNNNNNNNNNNNNNNNNNNNNNNNNNNNNNNNNNNNNNNNNNNNNNNNNNNNNNNNNNNNNNNNNNNNNNNNNNNNNNNNNNNNNNNNNNNNNNNNNNNNNNNNNNNNNNNNNNNNNNNNNNNNNNNNNNNNNNNNNNNNNNNNNNNNNNNNNNNNNNNNNNNNNNNNNNNNNNNNNNNNNNNNNNNNNNNNNNNNNNNNNNNNNNNNNNNNNNNNNNNNNNNNNNNNNNNNNNNNNNNNNNNNNNNNNNNNNNNNNNNNNNNNNNNNNNNNNNNNNNNNNNNNNNNNNNNNNNNNNNNNNNNNNNNNNNNNNNNNNNNNNNNNNNNNNNNNNNNNNNNNNNNNNNNNNNNNNNNNNNNNNNNNNNNNNNNNNNNNNNNNNNNNNNNNNNNNNNNNNNNNNNNNNNNNNNNNNNNNNNNNNNNNNNNNNNNNNNNNNNNNNNNNNNNNNNNNNNNNNNNNNNNNAUUUAGACGUCGAACAAAACAAAUAUAACGGCGGCAGGACGGUGGCGGGUAGGGUAAACGUUGACCUGGAUUUGUCAAUUGGCGCGGCGGACGAAAUUCACGAAACCCUAGAAGGAGGAAGAGAAGCUCCCACGACCAAACAUUUAAAAGAAAAAAGAAGAAAAAAGGGAAACAGAUGAGAAAUUGAAUGAAUGAAUGAUUGUCUUCUUCCUUUUUCCUCUCUUCAUCUAUCUGGAUCUGCUCUGUCAAUCUCUGUCAUCCACUAUUUGGCUUCAGAGGCAUUCAUAACAUUUCUUUUGUCUCUCUGGUUUUUCCUCCGUUCUUCCCUUCCGUUUAGUUCAAAUUUGUAACCGUCCAACGAAAUGGGAAAGCCAACGGGGAAGAAGACUUCAAAUCCUCAAUCGCCGAAAACUCCGAGAACCCCUAAAACCGACGGUAACGCUAAGCACCAGCAGAGCAAGCUAGCAUCCGACAAAUCUUCCAAAGCCUUUGAUGAAGACACCGCAAUCUUCAUCACCAUGGCGCAGGAGCUUAAAGAAGAAGGAAACAAGCUCUUCCAGAAGCGUGACCACGAGGGCGCGAUGUUGAAGUACGAAAAGGCCGUCAAGCUACUCCCCAACAAUCACAUCGAUGUCGCAUCUCUCCACACCAGCAUGGCCGGUUGCUAUAUGCAGAUGGGACUCGGUGAGUGUCCUCGAGCUAUUAACCAGUGUAAUUUGGCGCUGGAGGUUUCUCCAAAAUAUAGCAAGGCUCUGUUGAAGAGAGCUAUCUGUUAUGAGUCCUUGAAUCGAUUGGAUUUAGCUUGGAGAGAUGUUAAUCGUGUUUUGUCCAUGGAACCUAGUAAUUCAUCCGCUCUUGAGGUUUUGGCUAGUGUUAAGAAGUCUAUGGCGGAUCAGGGGUUGAGUUUUGAUGAAAAUUCCAUUGGUUUGGAUGAUGAGGUUGAGAAGAAGAGUGGUAUUGGUGCAUCUCGUUUGCGCAAGGUGGUGAAAGAGAAGAUCAAGAAUAAGAAGAAGAAAGCUGAUAAAGCUGAGGUUGUGGAGAAGAAGAUAGAUGAUAAAGAAAAGGUACCGGUUGUUGAGGUGAAGAAAGCAACUCCUAUCAUUAACAAAAAGGAUGUGGUUGUGAAGACCAUUGAUGUGAAGAAAGUGACUGGUAAGAAAGGUAUUAAGGAAGAGAAAGCAAUUGCCAAGACUGUGAAGUUGGUAUUGGGGGAAGAUAUAAGGUGGGCGCAAUUGCCUGCGAAUUGUACUGUGGGAUUGCUGAGGGAUAUUGUUGGUGAUAGGUUUCCUGGCUUGAGAGGUGCUCUAAUUAAAUAUAAAGAUCAAGAAGGUGAUUUGGUUACUAUAACUACGACGGAUGAGUUGAGGUUAGCUGAGGCAUCCUGUGGUUCUCAAGGAUCAUCACUCAAGUUCCACAUUGUUGAAGUUAGUUUGGAUCUCGAGCCGAGUUACGAGCGACCGAAAGCUGAUGAAAAUGUAGUACUGAAAGACGAAAAGCCGAGUCAUGAUGUUGGAAGAAGCAGUGAUGUUGAAAAGGGGUCUGCUUCAGUUGAUGAUUGGAUUAUCCAGUUUGCAAGGCUGUUCAAGAACCAUGUCGGGUUUGAUUCCGAUUCUUAUUUGGAUAUUCAUGAACUGGGGAUGAAAUUCUACUCGGAGGCAAUGGAGGAUACUGUUACGAGCGAAGAAGCAGUAGAGUUGUUUGAUAUUGCCGUGGACAGGUUCCAGGAGAUGGCUGCUUUGGCUUUGUUUAAUUGGGGGAAUGUUCACAUGUCAAGGGCAAGGAAGAGAGUUUCUUUUCCAGAAGAUGGAUCCCGGGAGACCUUACUGGAACUGAUGAAGAGUGCAUAUGAAUGGUCAAAGACUGAAUAUAGAAAGGCUGGAGAGAGAUAUCACUUGGCCCUUAAACUAAAGCCGGAUUUUUAUGAAAGUCUUUUGGCACUUGGUCAGCAGCAGUUUGAGCAAGCUAAGCUUUGUUGGUACCAUGCCACUGGAAGCAAGCUUGAUUUAGAGAGUGGGCCGUCCGAGGAGGUGCUGGAUCUUUACAAUAGGGCCGAGGACUGCAUGGAGAGAGGUAUGCAGAUGUGGGAGGAGAUGGAGGAGCAGCGCCAAAAUGGGAUCUCUAAGUUUGACAAGUAUAAAUCCCAGCUUACGAAAUUGGGAUUGGAUGGUCUGUUGAAAGAUGUGUCGGAAGAAGCUACGGAGCAGGCAUCGAAUAUGAGCGCACAGAUAAACCUCUUGUGGGGGACUAUGUUGUAUGAACGUUCUGUUGUGGAGUACAGGUUGGAGCUACCAACUUGGGAAGAAUGUCUGGAAGUUGCCGUUGAAAAGUUUGAACUUGCUGGAGCUUCUCCGACGGAUAUAGCAGUUAUGAUCAAGAACCACUGUUCCAAUGUUACAGCAUUUGACGGUAAAGCAUAUAAUUCUUCAGACUCACAAUCUAGUUCUGCAAUUUCCGACGUACUUUUUUCAGACUAUUGGAACUUUACCGCUUUUGCAGGUUUGAGCUUCAAAAUCGAUGAGAUAGUGCAAGCAUGGAAUGAAAUGUACGACGCUAAGAGGUGGGAGAUAGGUGUUCCAUCUUUUAGGUUGGAACCUUUGUUUCGUCGGCGAGCUCCAAAGCUUCAUUAUAUGCUGGAGUCAUAUUGAAAUUUUUAUUGGUAGUCAAGUCAAGCAUUCUCGGAGUGUCAUGCCGAUUCUUCAAAUCAUUUGUGGUCCAAUUUGCAGCAGGUUACGGUUCUACCAGUCAAUAUAGGCAAGUGUUUCAUUGAGUGAAUUGAACAAUCUGAUUCCAGCCGUGAUUUCCUCUUCAGUUGAUGGAUUGCAUAGUAAUUUUAUGGCUCUACUUUGAAAAGUGAUUUCCCAUAGUAUGCUUCUACUUGGAUAUCUUGAAGCUAUACUCUGGAUUGUCAUAGAAACUUAGUGAUAGCCUUUUGAAGGAAUUAAAUAACAACAGUAUGUUUUCAGACUAACGCUUGGGUUGGUUGCUUGUGAUUGCAGGUUGUUUCUUUUGUUUCGAUUUUGGAACUGUGGAUGUUUCAAAGUUAGCUCCAUUGUUUGCUUCUGCAGAGUAAACGAGGAAUUUGGUGUUUUUUGGGCGUAUUGCAUGUGUUUGUGGGUUUGAGAAUCUGAGGCUAUUGGAUUUUGGGAUUUGGGUUUGGUAAGAAGGUCAAGUUACUUCCAUUUUUUGGUCAUUAUUAUUGUGGUUUGGUUACUUUUUGUGAGAUUGGGGUCAAGUUGAAAGGGUGCAAAUAUAGAGAAGCAAAAAGAAGGUAUAGUACAUGAUUUUGUUUGUUUAUUCAACAGAAACAAUAAGAGGUGGGUUUGCUUGUAAAAGAAGAAAAAUCAAUGCCUUGUGUUCUUCUUGUGUCAUAUUAUGAGUUUUGAUGCUUGCAACCUUUCUUGGAAAAGUUGGAUAGAUAUAGGUAUACACAGAAACCUUGUGUUCAGUAUUCGAAAGUGUACAUUUUGAUAUUUUGUUUAUCGUUUGUAACAAAAUACUACUAGCCUAUAAUAUUGUGACUUUGUGGUAUCACCAUUCAAUUUUCGUCCACUUUUUACUUUAAAUGCGGACCCAUCUUACACGGUCGUGUAAGACUCAUUCGUGUAAGAUCCGUUUUACACGGUCAUGUAACUCAACAUACACGGCCGUGUAAGACCCAUCUCAAACAACCGUAUAACUCAACAUACACGGCCUAUCAUACACGGCCGUGUAAGAUAAGACUUACACGACCUUGUAAGUUCUAUCUUAUACGGCCGUGUAUGACUCAUCUUACACGACCGUGUAACACAACUUACUCCGCCGUGUACGUCUUAUCUUACACGGUCGUUUAAGACCCAUCUUAAAAUCCAUUUUACAUGACGGUGUAAGAUAACCAUGUAACUUAACUUACACGGCCAUGUAAGACUCAUCUUACACAGUCGUGUAACUCAACACGAUCAUGUAACUAAUCUUACACUGUCGUGCAACUACCGUGUAAGCCCUACAUACACGUAAAAGUAAUCACGGAAAUAACAAAUGCCGUUGAAAGAGUGCAAACUUUCAGGAAUUUAGUACGUAAAAGUAAUGAUAAUGCAAAAAUCUCUCUAUAGAAUCUCGUGCUACAAAAGGAAGCAGAGGUGUCCAACUCAAUAUAUACUAUCAUCCUUUUCUCUAUUCAAACUCUCGUCGUUCCUUUCCAUUUGGUUACAUUUACAUUACAAAGCCUCCUUCAACCGAAAGGUCUUCGCGACGCCUCGGGCAUUGUCGUAGUCGUUGAGCUCAACCAGCAGCUUCUUCAACCGUCUCGCAAGUCCAUUACUCUCCCCCUCGCUCAGUCCAGACGCCGCCUGCUUCUUCUCCAACGCCCUUCUUAGGGACACCACAAAGUCCACCACUGACUGCAACUUGCCACUGCGAUCCCCAGUGACGUUUGGACCUGCCCACACUCCAGUCAGAGAAGCAACGAUCCUCUCCGUUCUGGCAACGGCAUCAUGAACAUCCGACGAAAUGCUUUGAACAUGGGGUAGCACCUUCCUCCGUAAAAGCUCAUUAAGCGCGAGCUCCUCGAGAACCGGCAAAGCAAGAAUAUCCUUCCACAAGCAGAUGUUCCUUAUCAAACGGACAGACACUCCAAAACGAUAGGCUGCAACUUGUGCAGCACUUGGCACUGCCUUAAGGACAAGCGAGUCCCAGUUUGGAACCAUGAUGUCAGCUACAGCAUCAGCGAGACGGGUACGGAUUGCAACUAAUAGCUCUGCUAGAGCCUGACUUGAGGCUGGAACGUAAUCGAUGACCAAGCUUGUGGCAGCAACGGCAUUCUCCGUUUCAAGUGUACUAAGUGUGUCCCAACAGUGGACGAUUUGGUGAUGCAAUUUGGGAAGAGCUACUUUUUCUACCAGUUGUGGUACGAGAUUACUGUCAGCAUCGUCGGGAUUCAAAUCAGAUGCACCCUCUGGUACACCAUAGUCGAAUAACAGAGAAUGCCUGGACAACAUUUUUUUUGAGAAUGAUUAGUGCAAAACAAACAAGCGCCAAAUACAAUUCACAAAAAGAUAGUAGAAGGAAAUCAAAAGUCGAUACCAUUUCAUGUGUGAGAAAUCAGCCUUGUCCAAUGGAUCCCACUGUAGAAGCUCCAGCCUCACAUAAGGAGAGAAGAGUGCUGGUAUACUGAGUGACAUGUAAGCAUCUCUGUAGCUAGCUGCAUACUUAAUUUUCCAAUUCUCUAAUCUUUCUUUCACCAAUUGCAACUGGGAAAAUUCUUCGGAAGCAUCACUUAAAAUUUGACCAGCAGUUUGUAGGCACAUAUCGCGACUAGACCGGUAAGCUUCACUUUCACUCUCGCUCUCGUCAGUGCUUGAUUCUCCUUCUAUUUUCUGAUCAGAGUUGUCAACUUCCAUGCAUGAAAAUCUCUUUGAAUCAAACUUGGAUCUUCUUCGUUGUCGUGCUUCAGCCCUCCGUUUCAUCUCCAUAUUCUUUUGUCUACUCAUAUCCCUACCCAGUUCAUCUAAUUCUGGUUGAGUAGCUUGCUCUUUCACAGAAGCUGAAGCUGUCUGGGCUGCACUUGCAGCAGCAGCGAUCAUCAUUGCAGUAUUUCCACGUUCCCUGAAGACUGACAUUGCUGCUUUAACAGCAGCAUCUACCCCCACCAUUUCAUCAUCAUUAUCAGCACUUCUUCUUUCCAAAACGGCUGCUGCCCGUUUCUGUUGAACCUUCUGCAUUCGCUCUUCAAGCUCCUCUAUGAAUGGGGCUUUAUGCUGGAAAGAGUAAACACAACUAAUCAACACAUAUACUGUAUAGAGAAAACUGAGCAUUCUAGUAGCAAAAUAUUCCAGAGGCAAAAGCAUAUACUGUUAAGCUCUACCCACAGGGAUUUAUCAGAACUCAAAGGUUUUCACCAUUUGCUAAGCAAUAUAAACUUUCUACUAAUACUCAAGCAGUGAUAAUUGGUCAAACUUUUACUAACCACCAGAAGAGAAACAAGGAACCACUUCUACCAGAAUUACUGCCUAAAUAUGUACCUAAGAUGCAUUAUUACCGAUAUGAUAAAGGGACAAGUGGUGCAGUAACAUAUAGAACUAUGCUUGACAAAAUCAGAUUGAAAAUUCGCAAGUAUAUUCAGCAGGCAUGAAGACUAAGAGAGCUCAUACCUGCAAAAAUUCACAUAAAACAGAAACAAAGUCACGGAGACUUUGCAUAAAGAUGAACUUCUCACCAGCAGCAGACAACGAGGCUUCAAGAGAAGUAAUAUUAUCCAGCGAGGCAGAUAAGUUCUCGUCAGUUUUUGCCAGUGUUGAAACUGUUCUAUCAUGAGAUUCCUACAAAUGGCAAUAAAGAAAAACAAAAGUCAACAGAUCUUUUCCCUCAAAUAACAAAAUCAAGCGAACUGCACAUUAACAUUCACAAGCUAGCUAAAUGUGUAUGGCAUACCUGAAGCUUCCUGGAAUUAUCCUGCAAUGCCUUCAAAGCAAUCCCUGCUUGUUGUUGAAUGGUCAGGGUAUCCAGCCGUUGAGCUGCCCCAAGAACCCCUCCAAUGUUUGGAUAUGCACUGCUGGCCCUAUGCUGCAAUGAAGGCUGCUGCAUCGUGGCAGUAGCAUUAGUACCAACACCAACAGAAACGACUCGAGUAGUAGCAGAAUUAUCAUCCAUUCUCUUCCCCAAGGCCUUCCUAAACUGCUCUUCUUCCCAAAUCUUGUCCUCUUCAUCCUCAUCAUCAACUUCAUCAGCAAUCUCAUUCACCGAGGUCUGAGAAUUCAUAUAUCUGGCCGAAGCAGCAGUACUAGAGUCAACAUCCUCAAAGACGCCAUGAGUUUUGCUUUCCUUUUUGCCAACCAUAGCUACACGAGUUCUAAGCUCAAGCUCGUCGUCGUCACUGGACCCUUCAGCUUCAGCGUGAGAAGGUCCAUUAAGGGGAAUGAAGUCAGCCGCAGAAGCUCUAGACUGCCUCUUCUUUUCUCUCUCGGCUCUAAUCUUCCUAAUGGUUUCAGGAUCGGGAUAGUCAUCAUGGGGUACGGAUUUCAUCAACCCAAUUGAUGCCAAUCGAGUAUUGGCGUCAGACACAGCUUGGACGUCUUCAUCGUCAUCAUCAUCAUUGUCUAUGAUAGAGUUCGGGUGAGUUUCUAGGGUUUGGUUUGGCGACGGAGCAGCAGGCUUGACAAGGCCUCUAAGAAUGAUCCUAGGCUCAGAGGAAGGAGAAGGCUUUGGGGAAGGUUUGGCUAGAGUGCGGGUGUUCUUCUGAAGCUCGAGAAUGGCUUCUUUGGUGUAAGUUCCGGCCUGAGGAAGAACAUUGGAAGUCGUAGCGGAGGAGCUAAGAGGAGGAGCUCGGUCUCUGGAUGCGGUGAGCUUGUGUGCAGAACUAGGCCUGCCGAGUCUAGAAGAAGAACCGGAAGAAGAAGGAGGAGGAGGAGGCUUUCGCCGGCUAGAAGAAGAAGAAGACUUAGAGAGAGAAGAAUGAUUGAGAGGAGUUACAGCACCUUCAUCGCCUUCGUCGUCGGCGAAACUAAGGAGCUUCUUAGGCUUGGAAGCUGAGGAAGAAGGUGGUUGAGGUCUGCGGACGGUGGGCGGUGAAGGGAUGGCGGCGGAAGGGUCAGUUGAGCUAGAGUCUUCGUCGUCCAGCCGACGGCGAAAGUUUCGCGAUUUGCUGUUGGAGGAGCUCAUCCCCGAUUGAGAUUUGCGAAAGGAAACGGCUUUGCUGUAGAGUGAGGACGAAUAGAACAGAGAGGAAACAGAAGACGAGUUUAAUUUCUUGAUCGGGCUUGGGCUCAAAAUUCUUAUGGGACCGUUAUAUUACUAAAUUAAUUUUAAAAAGCCCACAACGGUAACUUUUAUUAUUUUUCGAUAAGAUUACCUCCUAAUUAUUAUGUUUACAGCUUUCUAUCCUGAAAUCUCUGCAGACAAAUAAUAAAUAUUCUACGCCAAAACCCAAUAUAUAACAGUUCUUCACUUCUUCUGAAUUUAUAUAAGGCAACUGACGAAGACUCAGACUGAGGGGCAUUUCCGAUCGAUUGUUAAAUCUCGAAGCUUCCGGUAGAUUCUUUAGGGUUCUUAAAGGUUUGAUCGGAUUCAAAAUUCACUUCCAGCAACAAAAUAAUGGAGAUCGUCAGAAGAGCAUCUCAUGCUGGCUCAUGGUACACCGAUAAUCGUAAGUGCCACGCUACUCCUCCUCCUUCCUUCACCCGCUCCGUUGCUUGAGCUUCAGUUUCUGAUCUAAGUGGACUGUAAAGUUUCGAAAUUUCUCUGCAAUCCGAUGAAGGAAAGGCUGAUCGUCGGUGGGGUUUCUGGUUUAAAAGUUUAGGUCUUUAAGGUGAAACCUUUAACGUGGAAGCUUAGACAAGUAAAUUGUGAUGAUAAUGAUGGUAGUUUUCAGUAACUGUGAUGUUGAAUUUUCUAUUACAUCAUCAGCGAGAGAGCUAGAAGAAGAGCUUGAUGGGUGGCUGAAUGCUGCUGGACUGCCGAAAUCACCUGACGUUCGUGGAGUCAUUGCUCCGUAUGUUGCUCUUAGACUUAAUUCUUUCCUGUUUCUGUAAUCUGGCUCCCUUGAAUUAUAUGGUACUUGGUCUUCUUCAGGCACGCAGGUUACUCAUAUUCUGGCCGUGCAGCUGCUUAUGCAUUUGGAAACAUAGAUCCCACCAACAUGUGCGUUUGCUUUCUCUCUUUCAUUUGCAUUUCAUUUCCAGAACAUGUACAAUACAAGCAGCAUCUUAUGGUUGGUUUCCUUUGUUGGAUUACUUUGUGUCAGUUCUCGGAUAUUCCUUCUCGGCCCAUCUCACCACUUUUAUACUCCCAACUGUGCUCUUUCAAGAGCAACAGUGUACAAGACACCAAUUGGGGACUUACCUAUUGAUCAGGAAGGUAACGAAGAUAACAAAUACGUUCAGGUUUGCUUAGGAUCAGUAAUCUAAUGUCUGUCUUUUCAGUGAUUGAGGAGCUUAAGGCUACAGGUAAAUUCGAGUUGAUGGAUCUCCGAGUUGACGAGGCAGAGCAUAGCAUGGAGAUGCACUUACCUUAUCUUGCCAAAUUCUUUAAAGGGUACAUUCUCUAUUGCAGUUACGGAAAUUUCACUUCAUGCAACUGAUCACUGUCUGCUACAGGCACCAAGUGAAGGUUGUGCCGAUUCUGGUCGGUGCUUUAAAUGCGGAGAACGAAGACAUGUACGGGAAGUUGUUAGCAAACUACAUAAAUGACCCCAAAAACUUCUUUUCGGUAUCUUCAGAUUUCUGCCACUGGGGUACACGGUAUAGAUCAUCCCGAUACUUUGUUCGUGAGACGCCGUUCAAUUUCCUUAGUUAACUAUACAUGGUACUUUGAUGUUCAUUGUGUCGUGUGCCUAGGUUCAAUUAUACUCACUAUGAUCGAGAACACGGUGCAAUAUACAAAUCUAUCGAGGCACUGGAUAAGAUGGGCAUGGAUAUAAUCGAGACUGGAGACCCGGAUUCGUUCAAGCAGUAUCUGCUGGAAUAUGACAAUACCAUCUGUGGACGUCACCCGAUUGGUGUUUUCCUCCAUGUAAGUGCCUCCUAACAUCAAGAAUGUAGCUUGUUGGCCAAAAUGAUUGCUUCUGGUGAUCUAUAACACAUGGUUGCCCUGUGAUUUCAGAUGCUGAAGAAUUGCUCAGCAAAGAUUAAGAUAAACUUCCUCCGUUACGAGCAGUCUAGCCAGUGCAAGACUACAAGGGAUAGUAGCGUCAGCUAUGCAUCUGCGGCAGCAAAGCUGGACUGACCGAGUGAAGAGAGGCGUAAAAGCUCCCUCGUUCGCUCCAUCGAAUCUGUAACUGUGUGGAAGUUGUUCUGUUAUGAAUUUGGAAAGACAAAAGACAGGCGUGCUUGGUAGGAACAAUACCAGGCUUUGCAAGAACAAUAAAAACAUCAAUUUGCCUAUUGUAUCCCAAGCCGAUCAUUGGAACUGGUUAGUUGAAACUGGCAACGCGUAAUAUCUUCUAAUUGCAACCUGCCAAAGAUACAAGAAUUUGAUCAGACCCCGAUGGCUUUGAUCUGUACUUGAUGACUGGUUCGAGUUCGAGAAAAUGUAUACCAUGCAGCCACCUGUUGAUCUUGAUCGAUUGAAAAUUCUUAAUCAAAUUUGAAAUGAGAUGACGGAAACUGCUUCGUCAACAAAUCACCCUGUAAUGCUUUCUCACCUCGCAACCUCUCACAUGAUCCGUACUGGUUAGUUACCACUGACACUGGUUAGUUAAAACUGGCCAUGUAAGUGUUGGCUUUACGUCCACAACUUGCAGCCCCUCCCGCGUUACCCACCACCUCUGCAAUGCAGACUACGCAGUGCAGACAACGAACCUAGUAAGUAGUAAGUACCAUCUCCCUAUCCACUAUCUUACCUGCAGGCUGCAGCUGCCUCACAGUCACUGAUCUCUAACCAACAAAAGCCAACCCGACUUUCCCCACAUUCUGACUUAUUUCCCAUCAUCAUAUACGGUUACUCUUUCAUUAACUUAAUACAUCUCACGAAAUCACUAUACAUUCUGACUUGUUCUCUGCAACUCCAGGUUAAUUUCUAUUACUCUGUUCGUGUAUAUAUAGGCCUUUUCUCCAUAGAUAGACGCAAGCACUACACAGCAAAAAGAGUUGUAAGCGGAGAGAAAUCGGAUUCACUUGCAGGCCUGCAAUUGAUUGUUGAUUCUGAGGUUAUCAGCCGACAGCGCUGGCUCAUCCACCUCCAUCUCCGGUGCCCUUGGCGAUGUCCGGCGACUCUGACUUCAAUACUCGUCUUUAAAAUAAAGAAGGAUAAAAACGCAGAAACCCUUCCAAACGCGGAGAAACGUUUCUUAUUUCCGGAACCGAACUCGAAACGCCACGGCGGACUGCACGGUUAAAUUGGAAACCCACGGAGAAAGAUUAAAAUGACAAAAAAACCCCCGAAAUGCGAAACGUUUCGAGAUCCUCAAACCAAAUUCGAAACGCGAUAAACUGACGAUAAAGUGAAAUUGGCAGUAUGACUCGUCAGGCGGUAUACCGCGAUAAUUAGGUGAUUUGUUGACUAUUUUGCAAGAUGUUGACCGUGGCUAUAUUCCCUUAUAUAAUUUUAUAUGGGGCGUCUGUGGCAGUGCAGGCCUGGCCCAGUGUAGUUGCUGAAUUGGUCCAAACUGAAUAGCCUUUUCAGUGCGAUUUCUGGCCCAUUUCUUUUGGCUCAAUUGUUUUAUACGCUAAUAUGAUCAUUUUUAAAAAAUAUUUUUUCUACUAUUCCAAAUACUUUGUUGAUUGAUUUAGUACCCAAUAUUAUAUUGGUUUAUUUUUUUAAUUGGCGCGAUUAGAAAACAAAUUGGCACAAAUCACUAUUGGUUUUUCAAACUGAAGCCUAAUAUUAACGCUUUUGUUAUUUCAUCUAACAAGCUUACGGGUUAACAAGGGCGGACAAACUAACUAGUUGAGAUUAUGCGAGCUCGCUCGGCUCGAUCAUCCCAUUUGCAUUUUUAACUAUUUGAGUUAAAUUUCUGAGGUUAACUCGAAUGAACUUAUUAAAAAAAUAUAAUAUUUUGAAAUGGUUCAUAUAGUCUAAAUAAGUAAUUAGUUGUUAAGUUAACAUCAUUAAUUGAGCCAUCACUCUAUUCUUAAUCGAACUGGUAAUCAAACCACAAACGAACUAGCUAGCGAGCCAAGCUCGUCAAGAGCACAAGCUGAGCUCAACUCGUUUAUCAUUGAACUGCCUCCCAAGACAACUCAUUUAAGAUCAAUUAUGAUCAAAUUUUUUACAAGUUGAACAAUGAGCUGCUCAUGAGUAGCUUGGUUCGCUAUCUAUAAUCAUCAUGGUUGAAGAACUUGAACAACAUUUUGGUACAAAGUAAAUUGAUCUCUCGUUUUGGAGGGUAGAUUCCUUGUUGAAGAAGUUAUGUAUCUUUGUUGGUUUGUAAACAUGGUUCUCUGGAGUAAUGGUUUGCAUGAGUUUUGUACUUUGUCAUCCUCUCCCAUAUUUCUGGGGGUAAAAGCCGGUCUUAAACAAGCAUUUCAACAGAGGCCAAAAGCUCAGAUGACUGAUCUACUGUUUGUUUAUUUGUCUUGUCUUGAUUAACUUAAUUCAACAGCCGGUUUUGUUGGUUGCUGACGAAACCUCAUCAUUGUCAUCGUUCAUCCAUGAUUCGGUAUCAGGACCUUGGGGCUCAACCACCGCAACUUCACCACCGGUGUAUCCUACUGCAAACUGGUGCGGUUUCUGAGGGUGAGCUGCGAUGCUCACCGGAUACUCACCCACCCUAGUAGGAAUCCAACAACGGAACUCAAGAGAUGAAGAAGCAUAUAUGGCUACACUCCCAUCCAUAAGCCCGACAUAUAUUUUGCGGCCAUCGCAUGAAAAUGUUGCCUGAGAAAUGGGGAGCGAGCCUCCCGGAAUCCACUGCAAAGGCAUAUAAAGAGAAGAUGUUGCGAAUCAGUUUUUACGUUAGAUGGAUACUGACAUCAUAGAAAGAAUUAAGUGGAGAACCUCCGCAACACAAUCCAAGCCGUGGGCGGUAACAAAGACUCCCAUAUAGGCUCUGUGCACGGCAAGGCAUCGCGCUUGGUUGGGGUGAAAUUCGACGUAAGUAUCCGAGUCUGACUUGACUCUAUCUGGAAUCUUUAAAAUUCUGCUUCCUUCUCUUUCCCAACUUUCGGCAUUCCAUAUAGUAAUCUGCAUAUCAAACAUGCACAAGAUAUAAACAGAUCUCUCAAACACAGAUUGAAAACUCGAACCGAAGACAACACAUUCCAUCUUCAAAUGACAAUGGCCAAUGCUGGCUAACCUGAGCAUCUGCUCCAGAAGAUACCAUUUUAUUGAGAGAAGUUGAGAAGGCCAGCCCAGAGAUCCUUCCCGUAUGGCCAUAGAGUACAUCAAUACACUGCAAAAAGUAAUCCAUGGGGAAUGAGAAAAAAAGCUUGACAGGCUUGAGAUACCAUCGUUGGCAGGAGGAGGAAAAGGUACCUUGUCCAAACGGACAUUAUGGAUGAGAAUUGUGCAGUCGUCCCUUCCGACAGCAAUAAUGUUGUUAUCUUUCGGGUGGAAAGCAAGGCAUGUAGCUGCUGCUUUUGAUGGCGCGACAAAUGAUAUAGUCUGCAUAUCCGCCAUUAGUGAGAACAGUACAAAUAUACAUAUAACUCCGACAAAUACUAGGCAUGUCUGCAAUCUGAGAAAAAAAUUACCUUGAAUGUCAACAUAUUGAAAAGGGAAAUUUUCCCGCCCGAUGCUGAUAUGAGAUAGCAAUCGUUCUUUGACAAUGCAAAACAUGGUAAAGCCUCAGGAUUUUCAGUCAGAUCAUUCUUCAUCGUCGCUGAGGAGUUCUUUGGUUUCCAUAGUUGUGGAAGAACUUCAGUAGUUACCUAUGUUAACCUCAGUUCAGAUGACAGCAUUAAAGCAAAAUGGCCAAAACAGAACUGGAACAAAGAUAUUCCAUCUCACCUGCCCAAUCAAAUUGUGGUCGAUAACUGGCCAUUUCCAUAACAAAUGAGUGCCGUUCGAUGCUAAUGCCAAAAUAGCAUUACCUGAACUCCCGUAAAUCAAUUUUGAUAUCUGCAUUUAUCCCAGUUAUUCAUUUAAUAUCAAGAUAUCGAUAUGGGGAAGGAAGAAACUUAGUUAUAUGAUAGGUUGCUGUCCAAAACAUGAAGCUGUUUUGGGAACUAGAACUCAAAGGAGAUAAAAGCAAAGUAAAUGCAGUUUCCGUAACUGCGAAAUCAUUCAACGCUAAUUGAAUAUCUAACCUUCUCUACUUUCACAUGGCAGGGGAGCACUGGGGCUUUGAAACGAGGUGGUCUGUUCAUUUCAAGAGAUGUAUUUCUAACAGCCUCCGUGUCUACUAAACGUCCUUGCUGCAGAAAAAUUAAAUCGAGUCACAUAGUCAACAAUAUCAGAUAAGCGGUGAAUAAAUUCUUAAGACAUGCAAGGAAAAAGCUAUGAACACUGACCUCCCCGCCAAUUCUCCAGAAGUCAUCAGAGCCACUUCUGCAUAUACCAAGCAACUGAAGACCACUAUUGCUUGCCAAGAUCUUAAUUUUAUUUUCCUUUGCAAAAACAGCCAGGAGAGUGCUGUCCUUGUUGAAUCGGAUAUGUGGAUUUUCCUUGAUUAAGACCAUUGUGACAACUUAGAACAAGGUAAAACACAGGUUUUGUUGAUUAGUACAUAUCCAAGUAUUACCGGAACAAGAUAAGCUUACAGGUAAGUCUCCCUCUGCAUCAAUAGCUGUCAUGUGAAUAUCAUUGUUCAAACUCCAAAAUUUAAUCAGAUGCUCAUUGCCAGCAGCCAAAAACUGAUUCUUCAUUAUGUCAAACUUAACUGCACCCAAAGAGCUCUUCUGCAAUCCAUGGUAAUUUCUUUUGAUAGCCCCUUCACUCUCAUCCCAUUCAACAAGGAAUGACUCCCCAGAUUUACUGGUUCCACAAGAAAAAAGCCUGCAAAUGUUCAACUGCAAUAUUAAGAAAGUAACCUAACCAUUUAGCUGACUGAAUCAAACUAAUAUUGGUUGAUCCUUGCAAACCUUCUGCCAUCAGUGGAGUAAGCCAGUGAUGUACUUGCCAGACCAGGAGCCUCAUAAUUAACUCUAGGAUCCGAAUCACCAUAUAGCCAUAUUUUUAUGUUCCCAUCCACUGAAGUUGAAAAAAAGAACUGAAACACAGGAAAUACUAAGUAUCGCCGAACAAACCAAACCUCGGAGCAAUUCACUUCCUGGAUAUUAAAAACUAACUAAUGCAUGCAAGUUUUAGAUUUACAUGAACGCUGUCCUUGCUGUGGGGGCAGAGUGAAUACACUGAUGAGUGAUGUCCUUCGAAUUUAUACAUCCUCCUACCGUCGGUCACGUCCCAUGCCUUGCAACAUUCAGCAGAAGAAGAAAACAUGAUUUUCUUUACAACACACUAAGAGAACUUAUUUCUCAAGAUCGCCAGCAAACCUGAAUUGUUCUGUCAUCACCACACGUUAUGAUCAGAGCUAGUUUAUGGGGUUUGGCAAAUGCAAGAUCAUUGACACCACCAAUAUGAGCAUCAAUCUUAACAGAGAAAACACAGAGGAAAAAAGUUAUAAGCUAACAAAGAAAUGUACAUUUAAGAUUAACGACAAGAGAAUUACUGAAACCUACUUCCAAUCGCUGCCGUAUGUCAGAGCCACCAUGAUAAGCAUAUAUGUGCACAAUGUGUUUUGAAUAUGCAACCCCUGUUUAUAAAAGCAAAGCAGAGUUAUGCUUUCCAAUAAACAAAAUCCAAAGUCAGAACGACAAGUGCAUGCCACCUUUCGCUCCAUUAUCCAUAAACAUACCCAAAAGAGAACCAUCCUGGCUCCAAGUAACACGGUUGACCGCAACACGUGGAUCUCUGACCAAAGCAGUCUGGAUAUAUACCCAAAGUUGGGUUAGACCCAGGGAUAUAUUCUAUUGUUAAUGGGGAAGAGAGCAUUAUGUAUUGACAAACCUUGAAAACCCUUGUGCAGGCACUUAUAUCCCAAACCUUGAAGUUACUUGUGAUCAGUUUUUCACCAGAAGCAACAUCCCACAAACCUAUAUCCCCCGUGUUGGUUCCAACUGAAAUUUCCAUAUACAAGCAUGUUAAAUAACAUUAUUAGGUCAAAGCAGAGUACUUAUCCAAGUGUGCUAGCUUAUCGGCGAACCUAAUAGAUGAGUAUGCUGAACAGGAUGAAAGUCCAUGCUUGUUGGAGACGAGUCUUCAGUCAGUUUUCUUGCGACAAUAGUUGGCAAGUCAGCGGUGCUUGUCAGUCCACAACUCCCAACUACAGUGUUAUCCAUACGAUUCCUACAGACACCGAUAGGAGAUAUCAAAGAAGCUUGACUAGAGAGGGUGACAUUUUGUGCUUCCUGCAAAACACACAAAAUAAUGAGUAAGAGACGAGAAAAGAAUACCAAUGAAUGCUGGAAAUCAAACUGCAAGUUUGUCCAAUUGUACCUUAUCAACAGUACCACACAAAAGUUUUUUGGAUGCAAACUCAGCCGCCUCAGACUCAUCUAUGUUGGUCACGGGGAAGUACCAAGAAAUUUAUAUUACUAGAACAUACUUUUACACAACAAUAAAACAGUAAAGCUCAAUCAAUAGACGAAGAUAAAUGAUAUGGAGGUCGGUACCAGGACACGAAGUGAUGCCAGAGAUUCCAGAGUCAUUAACAGUUGAUGUCGAACUAGCAGAAGUAGACUAAACAUAAAAAAGAAAAACCAACCAAAACCUAUUAUCAGAUAUACAAAAGGGAUCAUGAACCAUUGUAAACGCACUCUGUUGUAUUAGCUAAUAAAAAUAUCAACCAUGAGUAGCAUAUUAUACCUGAGAAAUAACAGCAUUCACGGCCAAAGGUGCAUGUUCAUCCGGAGGUGAACACACAUGAUCCGCAAAGAGAGUUCUAAUAUUAGGCUCGGGUUGAGGAUUUUUACAUUGUAAAUGCUGCCAAUUCAAGCUGUCAAACCAAUUGUCAACUAUCAUUACACAUCAAUGUCAAAGCAGGAAUCAUGACGCAGGACUCAUAAAUAUUCUGUGGAUGUUAUAUAAGGGUUCUGUAUGGUGGAAUAUCUAACCUCUGGUUUACAAUGCGUCUUAACCUAUGACCUCGGAUGCAGGGAAAAUCAACUUUUCCCUUAAAGAUGGGAUUUGCUCUGAUGAGUUUCUGGAGUUCUCGCAUCACAAUUGCUCUUGCAACCUCAGUAUCACCAUACAUCGAGAGUGACCCAUGCUCCCUAUCCAAGUUGUCACAAGUAAGCAUCUGGCUCCCUUAGAAUCUCCAGAGCCACUUGCACCCACAUUCAUUUUGCUUAAAAAGAACAACAUGAAUGCAUACCUUAAGUUGUCUAAGAUCAAAAGCUGCGUCAAUUCCUUAACUAGCUCCUGGUUUUCAGGGGCAAAAACCUUCAGAUCCUUGACAAGAAUGUCUAAAGCCUUGGCUCUAUCAUUGCUGAAAAACCCAACAAAUAUGUUCACGAUCCUUGCAUCUUUGUGUAACAAAUAAAAGGGAAAACUCAAAAUAUGAUUAUAUGCAUGCUUACUUAUCUAAUGCCUCAAGGAAAUUAUGCUUCCUCAUUUCAAAAUAAAUCUUGGUUGAGUGCUUAUUGUCACCAAACUUGGUGAACCCGUAAAUAUAAUCCUCAGCCCCAACCCAGUCUCCCUUCAGAACCAACUCCUCGAAAUGCUCCAUGUUGAAGAAAUACCCGCUAUUCCGCUCAAGCCUAAAACAUCACAAAACAAGAGCCAUAUCUGUGAGCUGGCGGUAAGGUUGGCUCCAUUAUUUAGAAAUAAGGAUGGAAAAUCAAACUUACGCUCUAGCAGCCUCUUUCCAGCCUUCUUCUUCUAGGAACUGCAGCAUCAAGAAGACCAGCUCCUUACAGAGAGUCGACAUUCUUUCUCCUCAACGAAAGACCCUGGGAUUUCAUACGGAAAACAUCAGGAACUCAAGACCUCACUCGUCACUCGAUCAUAAAAAAUUCCAAUACAGACGACCGUAACCCAUUUGAAAAAUUUCAUCAAUACAAACAGAGCCGAAGCGAAUUUGCAACAAUCGAUAAAAAAAAUCGAUCAGUGGAUCAAACGCACCUGUGCGAGGAUCAGCUAGAAUACAGUUUUUACAAGUGAUUCGUUGUUAUUUAUAAUAAUUAAUAACAGAUGACUUGUCAAAUCAGCUGGAUUUCUUUGUUAAUUAAUUUUUUAUUAUUUAUAAAAAAGUGAAUAUUUAAAGAUCAUUUAACAAUUAUCUUUUCAAUUAUAAAAUUAAUGGUAUAUUAUGGAGUCUUAAAGGUUGUACUAAAUCAUAUUUACCCAAACGUCUGGUAAGAAUAGUCUACCUGAUGGCUUCAUGCCUUGGGCUGUAACCAAUGUUAUAAGGACUGAAUUUGAGUUCAGAUCCAUUUGAUCUGCUAAAUAAUAUCUCUAUAAAAACUCGAUGCUUCAUGUCAUUAAUUAAGCGGUUAAUACAUUUAUAAAUAAUUUUUUAGAUUUUUGAGUCGAAUGAAUAUGAUGAUUCGCUCUAUGAUGUAUUUGUUCCCGCCUUUAACCGGUUAGGUGUAAUAGUGUUUAGUUCAACUUAGAGGAUUGAGUGGACCGCUUUUUCAAUCUCGAAGUCGUGGAUAAUUAGCUAACAAAAACAAUGAAGGUGAAAUUGUGUAGAGCUAAAAUAGUGUAUCUGGCCUAUAAGUUGUAACCAAGGAGUGGACUUGAAAACUCUUGAACAUUCCGUGAGAUCAAUCUAAUUCACUAAAUAACUUUUUAUCUUAAAAAGCAUUCAUGUUUGAUGUCAUUGAAUCGGUAAUACAUUUUAAAAUCAUUUAACCUUUCGGGUCGAGUGAACUGAUAAUUUGUUUUAUAACUCAUACAUUGUUAGAUCAGAAAGGAUUACAAAUAUUCUUAGAUCCAACGGUCCAAAAUCGUCCCAGAUAUCCUGUAAUUAAUGAAAUCUUGGACUUUGAACAGCUCCCUUUCCAAACCCUAGCAUAAACCCUAAUUGAGAAAGAAAACCCCCAAAUUUCUAGUGCUUGCCUCUCGGCCUUUUAGUCGUCAAAUACUCUGAUUCCCGGUUGCUGUCGCGAAUCUUCACUCUAGAGAGGAGAAAGGAAAUGGAGACUGUGCUCUGCUCUGGCAAUGUCGUCCCAGCGAGGAAUCUCUGCUCUGCAGUGGAAGCUAUCAUACUAGAAACUGCCGUCGCUGCUGCCGGCUCUCUUCUUUGCUCGCUUCUCAUGGUAGAUUUACUCUCUGCUAUUGUUUUCCCUCUCUAUCUCCAGUUUAUUUUGGCUUCAGCCUACUUCACAGUUCCUUUUGACAGUGACCAUUCUUAAAGAUAAUGCGUGUUCCUGUUUUCUCUAGCAAUUUUUAGACACUAGGAUUCUCCUGUUCUGGGUUUUUUAUUUUGCUUCAAGUCUUCAACUUUAUGAUCUACUACGCCCUAGCUCUACUAGCUGCUGCUGUUCCAGCGCUUGUCUUGACAUAUGCUGUUUUCUAGUGUCGUUGCUUCCUUUAUUCCCCGCGGAUUGUACUUUUGCUAAGAGUAAUUUUUUAUGUGAUUAGUUCAAAAUGUAGCUUUGCUCUUGAUCUGAAGCUUGUUCACUAACUCACUAUAGAAUCCUGCAUAAGCUGAGAGAAGAAAGUUAAAAGGACAUAAAAAAGCUAGUCAAAUGGGAAUUUUAUGGCUUUGCCCUAAACAUCCCUUCUGAAACCGGUAUGGAACUAAGUGUAGUAUGGCUUUGAUUUAUCUCAACUGUGGAAAAGAGUGGUUAGUUGGUCAGUCUAACAAAUAGCUUAUUCAGAAGAUCUGUGCUUUCUCUGUUGAGAUUCCACUCCACUGACUAUGCAGUCUGGCUCUAUAAUAAUGAAGUUCUGCUCUAUGCCUUAAGCUUGAAACUCUGCAUCUGGGAUAUCUUUCCAAGCCUGUGAUUCUGCAAGCAUAGAGACUUUGUGCACGUUGCCCUGAUAUCUUAACAAUUAUACUUUGUUUCAAACUUUUCAGCUAGGCGCAGUGAAUGGACCUCAUCACUUACCAACCUUGUCUGGAGCAGUUAAGGGGUUAGUAAUAUAUAACACCCUUUUGAUAUGGGGUUAGGUGUUUCUCCUCUAAUGAUGUAAUAACUUUGCUGAAGUCAUAUGUUUUCGGGUUUUUGCAGUUUUCCGUUGACUCAACUUGUCCCAGCAAGGAAGCCUGAUCCAGACAACAAAGAUGCUGGUGAUGACAACGAUGAUGCAACUAGUGAGGACGAUGAUGAUGAUGUACCUAGCGAAGGGGAUGGUUCUGGAGAUGACAAUGACGACCAAGAAGACGGCUCGAGCGAUGAUGGCGGGGGGAAGGAUGAACUGAAGGUCAAUGGCGAAGGUGGAAGUGAUGAAGAAGAAGAGGAUGAUGACGAGGAUGAUGAUGAUGAAGAUGAUGAGGACGAGGACGAUGAUGACGAGGAUGAUGACGAUGAGGAGGAUGUGGACGAAGAUGAUGACGAGGACGACAUCCCUCAGCCACCAACCAAGAAGAGGAAAUGAAGAGAAUGGAUGAGGAAGACUUAGCAGACUUCUGCCAUUGUUGUUCUAUUAAUUUGUAACAUGAAAUGGAUAUUAUUAAGGUUAUGUGUCUAGAACUAUAACAGCGAGUGAGUUCCAAGUAUCAGUGUUGUCCUAAUGUUUAAGCUACUGUGGAUUUGAUGUAGUUAUCAAUCUUUGCUCAUGUGAUUGGUGGUUGUGUCGGGUGAAAAAAAAGCUGUAGUUGGUGGUGAAGUAGUCAUGGUUUUGCAAGUGUGCUGUGGACUGAAUGAUUUGAAAUAAGGGAGGCAGUUGACUUGACAGAAACAAAGGUCAAAUCCUUAAUCCAAUGGGAUUAUCCAGUUCCAGCUGGAAACCACUUCUCCCCUAAUGCACAUUAGAGCGAUUGAGGUUAAUCUGGUUGUGGAUUUAACAAGUUAUAGACAAUAAUUUACAACGGUUAAUAUGGUAAUCACUUUAAAGAGUGGUAUGAUGUGUUAGUUGGAGAUUGCAAUUAACCACAUUUUGGUAGUACAAUUAACCGUAACUUCAGUUAAUCGGUUGAUUCAGAGUACAUUACUAUUUCACACUUAUAUAAGCUUGAAAGGUUUUAGUUUUUAUUAAUCUGUCAUUAACCUGCUGACGUGUCUAGUGUCCUCUUGUGAAUAUAUAAUUUACAGUCAACUUGCAUAGAGUUAAGUUAACCAGAGUGAGUUGAUUCUCUUUAUAAUGUGUUUUGGUUAACCAAGAACCAAAAGGAGUAAGUAGAAGAAGGGAGUGUGUUCAUCAAUGGAAGUCAGAGAAUUGGAAGAACAGACUCCGAUUUCAUAUGCGCGACUCUGGAUUGGUGGCCUCCUGAGAAAUGCGACUAUGGAACUUGCAGCUGGGGAUCAGCUUCUUUCCUUAACCCGGUGAUCAGUUUCUUAGCUUCCUCAUUAGUUUGCUUCCAAAUCUUUAGUUUUCAUGCAAUUUUCAACGAUUGGCUUUUCAUCUUACGUAGGCUUGAGAUUGACAUACCUAUUGCCAUUAAAAAAAAGAAACUACUGACCGGAACUCGACUCGAUAUUAAAUGAGUCGGUUUGAUGACGAAGGAGCCAAUCUUGGCUCCAUACUGUAAAGCUCGACGAGCUAAGCUUUCAAAUUGGCUCAAUAUAGUGAGUUAGCUCAAUAUAGGUAGCUCGCUAACCAGCUUCAUAAGAACUCGGUUUAUUGACUAAUUUCUAACUUGAGUUGUUGAUUAUAAUAUUUAACAAACUAGUUCAUUAUAGGCUCAUUUUGAACCGAUCUUGAGCCAACCCUUAAACCAAGCAUAAGCUAAAGUUUGUUAAUCGAGCUGAGCUUAAGCACACAAAAAAAUAAUUGAGCCAAACCCGAGGUGAGCAAGAGCUCGGCUCGUGAACAUCUCUAAGUGAGGACUAGCUUGGUUUGACUUAGCGAAACGAUUCCCAACCUAAGAAUUGGAUGAAUCAAUUUCUUGGCUCGUGAACAACCCUCUAAUAAUGAUUUGGAUUAUUGGCUCGCAAGAUGCCCGAUUAUGAGCUCAAUUAUUUAACUAGCGAACCAUCUACAAAAUGAGCUCGAUUACUCGGUUGGAAUUCGAGUCCAUCAUAAAUGUUGGUUUUCUUAAUUUCAAGCUCGAGUUCAACUUGAUUAUAAUGUGUAACAAACUAGUUAGUCCGUUAUAAGCUCAUUUUCAACCGAUCUUGAGCCGUCUUUAAUCGGAUUAGUCAAUUUCUUAACUUCCCUUCUUCUUCUUCUUCUGAUGUUAAACCUUUUUUCUGCAGGAUCUAUAAAAUCCAACGUUACUUAACGCCGUUAAAGGUAAACAUACAGAGUUAUAUUAUAUUUCCCCUUACUUCUAUGAUGAAGUUAAUUAGUCAUAAUUGUUUGAAAAUCGUUGCUCAGCUUUCAGUCCUCUGAAGAUUAGACUGGGAGGCACUCUGCAAUUAGACGAAGUCCUACACGAGACACAAGGGCAAACUUGUAAUCCUACAUUUCUCAAGAACUCAUCUCAACUCUUGGGAUUCUCCCAUGGCUGCCUGCCCAUGUCCAGAUGGGAUGAACUCAACGCUUUCUUCAAAACAACUGGGUCAGCUGUUGUGUUCGGUCUGAACGCCCUGAACGGCAGGACGAUAACUUCUUCUGCAAAAGGAGCAUGGAACUCGACCAACGCCGAAGCUCUGAUAAGAUACGCUGUGAACAGAGGGUUUACAGUUGUCGGUUGGGAGCCGGACCAAUAUGCAUCUGAUCUAACCAAUCUUCAUGGCAUCAUACAGAAAGUUUACUACACUGGGUUCAGGAAGAAGCCGCUGGUUAUAGCGCCGGGAGCUAAGAUGCGAAAUGGCUCGCGAGUCCGUUAAGAGAACGCCGAAAGACUUCCUCGAGGUUGUUAGCCACCACAUCUAUAACCUUGGACCAGGUAUCACAUCCAUACCAAUUAAUUAAACGACCCUUAGCUUAUUCGACAGCUAGCUGGGAACAUUGCUGUUAAAAUGGCUUUUUUUACUAAUACAUUAGGUGUUGAUACUCACUUGGUUGACAAGAUCCUGGAUCCGAGGAUCUCGACGGUGAUUCUUCCCCUUUCAGCGGACUCCAAGGUGUUCUGAAUAACGCCGGGAGUCCAGCUGUGGCUUGGGUUGGUGAGGCAGGAGGUGCUUACAACAGUACUGGCCGUAACCUCGUCACUAAUGCGUUUGUGUUCAGUUUCUGGUAUUUGGACCAGCUAGCUAGGAAUGGCUGCUGCAUCAUACGACACCAAAACUUACAGCCGGCAAUCAUUAGUCGGCGGCAAUUAUGGCCUUCUCGACACAACCACCUUUGUCCCCAACCUAGACUACUAUAUAUAGGUGAGCUUACGUUGCAACCAUGCAAUUUUGAAAUCAGCUUUUCCUCUACUUACUCAGUAUUUUGUUUGUGCCCUCUGUUGACAAGUGCACUACUUUGGCACCAUUUGAUGGGAAGAUCUGUGCUCCCCGUUAGUUUCUCUGGAACCAAACAAAUACGAGCUUAUGUUCACUGUUCAAAGACUUCUGUAAGUAAGGAACUAAAAGUAUGGUGGAUUUAUUCAUGUCAAGUUGACUAAUAUACUGUAACAUGCAGCAAGGAAUCACAUUACUGUUGAUCAAUCUUGACAGCAACGCUACGGUCAGUAUUCGCGUUUCAAACAAAGAUGUCGUCCCCUCUCCUACAGCUGUCAAACACUAUCAGAGUCGAAAAAAAAACUUUGCUAGGAUGGGGAGAUCAGGUUCCAAGAUGGAUGUAAAAUUGAGGGAGAAGUAUCAUUAACUGCUAACGAUAGUGAUCUAUAUAAUCGGACUCUACUUUUGAACGGGGAAGUGUUAGGUGGAUACUGUUUCUGAAACUAUAUCUCAGUUGGAACCUGUCCAGGUCGGACUACUGGACCCGAUAACUAUUGCUCCGUUCUCUACACUGUUUGUGUGCAUUGCCAACAUGACAAUUCCAGCUUGUAAGUAAAGAAAGAUCGACCACUAAUAAGACCGACAUCAUCCGGUCAAUAUGUUUGUACAUACUCAUCUUAAAUAUGAAUAAUCAAGUCUGAAAUUUGUUGUUUGGAUGGGGAAUCUAAGAUCUUGGAAUUUAAGACCUUGCCAAUUUGUAUACCAAAUAUAAGAAAGAGCUAGUUAAGCUCAACAUAGCUAAUGCCUAAUAUACACAUGAAGAACUCGUAAAAACUCACACCAAAAAUAACUUUUUGACUUCAUUUGGUUAAAAUUUGGGACUUUAACAUAGUGCAAUUUAAUUUUUUAACCAUUUUCAACAACAUUCCAAAAAUUAACCAAUUUGAUUCUUUUCCCAACUUUUAUAAAAAAGCUCAAAAGUCCUUAUUAACCCCUACGGAAAAUGAUAAAAAAUCAAGCUAAAAAAUAAAGGUUGCAUUUUUUUUUCAUUUGGCUAACAUUUGACAAUUUAACAUAAUAAAAUUUGAAUUUUUAAUCGUUACCAACCAGCAUAUUAAAAAUCAGCCAAUUUUAAAAAUUUCAUAAAAACCCUAAUAAUACCUGAAAAACAUUAAAACACAAAAAUUGCACGUUUAACUUCAUAUUUAACUAUCAUUCAAAGAAUUGAUAUGGUGGAACUCGAAAAUCUAACCAUUUCAAACACACACCCGAAAAAUUAGCCAAUUUGGUUGAUUUAUUUAUAUUGAAACGAGUAACUCUGCUAUAACCUUCUCUAGAGAUAUGUCUUCUUCUGGCAUAACCUGGACGUGAUCUUCCUUAGCUCGAGAAAAGUUAUUUCUCGUUGUGGAUUGGAAUGUGAUAAUUCGUUUCUCGGAAGAUUGAUCCGGUGAGAAGAACUGGACCGGGGAGAGAUCAGACGAAUAAUUUUCCAGUAAAGAGACUCUGUAAUUGAUGAAUCGUGGGAAUUGCAAUGCAGUGAGUUUUUAAUUACCUUGGGGUGAUGAUGAGAAGAGGUGGGAGGGAGGGAGAGACGGAGAACAGUGGAAUACGCCAUAGUUGUAGUUUGGGAGCUCGAUUAACGACGAUGACGACGAUGUAUGGUUGCAGGCGGGAAUAAAAAAGAGCGGGAAUUGAUAGGUGUCAGUUAGUAGUGGACUGCUAACUUACGCCACAGGUGAUAUAAAGAUCCAGCGAAUCUAUUCGACGACAAAAAAAUGCCCCACGUGGACAGCUGAUGUGGCAGGUCAUCAAGAUUCAAGGUAACCAUCAUCCCUACAUUUUAAAUAAAACGACUGUGCUAGAUUUUUUAAAAAAGAUAUUAUUCAUAUUUAUUUUUAACUUUUUUUUUUCACACGGUACAUUUCUAUUUAAAAGUCGAUAACUUUUUAUCGGCCGGACCGAAUUUUCGGCCAAAAAACCAUCCGGCCAUGGGGAAGGUCCAGCCGGCCAGUUGUUUCGGCUAAGUUCACUUAUAUAUUACACAAUUUCCUAACAAAAUCAAUUAUCAACUUAUCAAUUGAUUACUACACUAAUUACUAAUCCCUUAAUUAAUUUUAGUAAUAGAUUACAGUUAUCACUAAUAAUUACAGUUAUAUAAUUGCAUUAAUUAUUCACUAACAAUUAUUUAAUUACACUAAUUAUACUAAUUAAAUACAUUAAACACUUAAAAUUAAAAAAGGGUGCACAGGCCCCGCUGGCCGCCGGUUUUGGUUGGAAACCCAGCCAGCCGGCAGCUGGUUUUGGCGGGAAACCGAUGGCCGGGCCUAAUCACCCUUUUGUUUAUAUUUUGUACCUUGAUAGAGUUUUGGAUAUUCGAUUUCUCCUUCAGAUCUUUGUUUGAGAGUGUUUGAGUUAGUCAAUAUACACAACUUCUUAUAUGGAUUUCGAUUUUAUGAAAAGACAAUAACAUAAUUUACUCAAUCUAGGGCGCUGUUUUAUUCGAAAACUAGGCGUCAAAUAGAGAUUCAGUUGGUAAAAUGGUAACAUGAAGUGUGGAUAUUGAUCAACCAAGUGGCUCUCGGAAAAAGUUGGAUCAAAAUUCGCCUUAAUCUUAAACGAGUCAGCUUGCAAGUAAGCUCGAUAAUAAACGAGCCGAGCUCGAGCUGACACUAACUCGGCUCAGCAGGCUUGCGAGCCAGCUCUUUUGAGGCUCGAGCACCAAUUCGAUCAAGGCUCGAGAGUCGGCUGGCUCCAUUGCAGGCUCGAUGAGUUGAUCCAGUGAUUUUAGUGUAUGAAAUAUCAUAACUAUCAACUGUAUCAAUCGUACAACCCAACGUCGUUAGUCCAUUGCCUAGUGAAUCCCAAAAACAUUGAUUUCAUUGCUAAGAAAAAAACAUACAACAAAAAUUCAAGUUGUGCCAACUUUCUGCUUCUUGUAAGUCAAGCGGGAUUGCCGGUCUCCAAGUAGUCCCUUCGGGACUAUCCAUAAGAGCAAUUCCCACAGCAGCUAAUUCUUUCCUAAUCACAUCCGACUUCUCAUAAUCUUUGUUCUUCCUUGCAUCAGUCCUUUCCUCAAUCUUUUGCAUGAUCACGUCUUCUGUUAUCUUCGCACGCUUCAGUGCCCUUUCCUUUAACUCCUCAAGAGCCUACAAAGAAACCCCUAGAAAUAAGUACUCCCAAAACAAUUGAGCUCGAACGAGAAUACAUGUCCGUAGGCUUGCCUUUGAAUAAGUUUCCGGCAUCAGUCCCAUGACAGUAAGAACUUUGAAGCUGAUAUAGCAGCCAAAACCACAGGAGCGAGCAGAUCAUCAGACAUUGAAGCUGUGAACACGUGAUUGAAUUUAACGAUGCAGUCCGUUGUAUUGGGAGGGAUUGCACUAUCUGCAGAGCCUGCAUCGUGCUGUCGGAUAACAUCCUCGCAAUCAUAUAAUGUCUGCAAACAAAAUGGACACUGUUUAAACCAUGGUACUAUAUUUAUGUCCAUCUAUAACAUUGGAACAUAUGAAAAAUCGUUAUCAAUGUAAAAGGAAGAGUCUUUCAGGCACCUGAUAAAUGUAAAAGAGACGGUCGGAAGCACUCUCAAGCAGUGCAUCGGCAUAGUUGAUCGGAGAUCUGUAGUGGGUCCCCAACAGGAAAAAUCUCACUGCUAACGGAUGGUAUAGAUCUAUAACCUGGAGAAAACAGAAAGAGUUGAAACAAUUACUACACAAUCACUGGAAACAAUUCAAUGGGAGGCAAAAGUUGAAACCAUUCCAAUGCAAGUAUCCUCAUUACCUGCCUGAUGGUGAAGAAGUUUCCGAGAGAUUUUGACAUUUUCUCUGACUCAAUUGUAACAAAUCCAUUGUGCACCCAAUAGCUAAUAUUACUAUCUCUACAAGCAGCACAACUCUGUGCAAUCUCAUUUUCAUGGUGAGGAAACACAAGAUCCAUUCCUCCACCGUGUAUGUCAAAGGAGUGACCAAGGUAGGCAGCACUCAUUGCACUGCCCUCAAUAUGCCAUCCCGGUCUUCCAGGACCCCAGGGACUCUGCCACGACGGUUCACCCUCCUUUGCAGACUAAGAAAAUAUAUAAAAAGGCACAGUUCAUAAGGAAGAACCAUAAGGUGCACAUUUGAACCGACUAAUUGGAAACUUACCUUCCACAAGGCAAAAUCAGCAGUUCUUCUUUCUUGUGUCAACAGUGACCCGCUCAUCAGCUCGAUUAUCUUCCAGAUAAUUGGCCGUACUCUGGGAACUUGUCGACAGAGAAAUAGACAUCUCCGUCAAUUCUAUAGGCACAUCCAUUGUCAAGAAUCUGAUAAGAUAAGAAGUCAAUAACUGGUUAUUAAAGGUAUGAAACGCUUGAACGAUUAAGAGUAGAUGGUUUCCGUCACCAUAUGAAGUACCUUGUUGAUCAUGUCAACGAUGUGAGGGAUGUGAUCUGAUACACGUGGCUCGACUGAAGGAGGAAGACAUUGCAGUGACACUAUAUCAUGGUGGAAUUCUUCACAGUAUCGUCUACUUAAGCUGAUCGGAUCCUCUCCCAGUUCAAUUGCUCGUUUGAUUAUCUGCAUAAUUUGAAAAAUCACACUCAGCUAUUCAGUCAUUCUACAUAAGCUUGAAGCUCCACGAACUAAGUCUCCACAUUAAGGAUUCAAAUUCAAACAUGCAAGAAAGCACUAACGAGCACCAAUCAACAAUUCACGAAGCUGAAGCAGGAUCUUAAACUAACCUUAUCAUUAACAUCUGUGAAAUUUCUAACAUAGCUGACAUCGUAUCCCAAAUGCUUAAGAUACCUGCCUAAUUCCCAAUCACCAAAACAACAAAAAAAGUAAUAAUCAACUCAUCAGCUUCUAAUUCUGAAAUGAGCAACCAGUUAAGACAUAGUGAACACACAGCGGCAGCCAUUGAUGACCUGUUGAGCACAUCGAAGGUGACGUAAACGCGAGCAUGGCCGAUAUUGCUAAGAUCGGACGCCGUAACACCGCAGACGUACAUUCCAACAUUUCCUUCCGAUUUCGAUACAGCUCCUUCUUCCUUGUCAUCGUGUUGGCCGGUUGAGGACUCGCGGCGAUUUCGCCGGAGCUCUUGCCGUUGGUUACCGGAUGGGAUGAGGUGAGAGAAGUGAAGAGCUGAAACAAUUGCCUUCUCUUUCCUAUGACCGGAGCUGGUGGGGGAGGACGUGUUCUGGUGUGAACAUAUCGGAACGGCGAUCUGGAGAGUGUGGAGAUGAAUCGGAUAGAGGAGAAGACCGGUCUGGGGAACUUGAACAGCGUGCCCAUUGUUCGUCGGGCUUUGGGUUUAUUUUUCUUUUUAAUAAUUAAUACAGAUAUUGGAUGGAGAUAAAGUAACUGGCUAUUCAAUCGGUUAACUCGAAAUAAUUAGAUUGGUUAAUCUGUCAAGAAUUUGAAAUUAUUUUGUAACGGAAACAAAUUGCUGAGCGACUCUCUUAAUGGGUAUACCUAUUUUAACCGAAACCUACUUCGAUCGAUUAUUUGGUGCUAACCAAUCCUCACCAUGUCAGUCGGCUAAUUGCUUAUCCUAUGUUGUAUAAAAUCCUUAUUAAUUUGGUCGAUUAUUAACCACCCCACCCCGAGUUUUAAUAAACAAUAAGACAUCUGGAUUUACCACGGUAAUUCUUACAAGCUUUUCUCUAUGAAACCUUCGUCACUGGUGAAUUUACAAUCACAGUAAAAAACUAACAAACAAAAAAAAAGAAAGCCUCAUGAUACAAAUCAGAUGAAAGAGCAACCCUCUUCCCUAUAUGAACCUACUUGGCCGGUGUUCUUCCGCCGCAACAAAGGAAUCUGCAGCCAGUGCCGCCGCCUCUGAAUGUUAACAAAGAAUAGUAUGAAUCCAUAGCCCCUGGACUAAGCUAGAGCAUUUUUGUCAAUAAGUUCUUCCCCCAGAAAUGAAAGAAUCACGAGACAGGAACGAGAAUCCAUGUUCCUCCAAAUCAGGCCAGGGAACAGACCUUAUCUGCAGAUUUAACAAGUCACGAAAAUGAAUAACAAUGGCCCUGCUGGGUGCUGGACAAGUUUUAGUACGGCAAAAAGACAAGAAUUUCACCUUGCUUUAUGCUAGAGCAGCAUAGACGGUUGUCAUCUAUGUACGUUGCUUGGAUACCCAUCAUCCAAGAUCCGAUUGAUGUAUCGUCAUAAGCAUACGUCUUCAGAGACGCACUGGAAAUUAAAACAAAGUGCUGCUAAGGAUGCCUAACUAAUGGUAACGAGAGAGGGAUCAUAGACAACACGUAAUCUAGAAUUAUUUGAAGACUGUAAGCAUCAGAUAAGCAACGCGAGAAUGUUAUUCUUUAUAUGAUCUAAGGGUUAUUCUCAAAUAAAAAUGGAUCAGGAUUAGACAGCAAGAUGAACAAGGCUGAAGCGUUCAAGCUAACCUGUUAAUGUUAAUGUACUGAGACAAAUUUUUUGAGAGUAUAAUAAGUGGGCCAGCUGCAUGCCGGAAGUACCUGAAACAGCAAACGAUCAGUCACCAGUCAAGCUAGCUAAUGAAGCUGUUAGAAUAACAUAAUUUGAAAGGAAGAGGAGAGGUGAGGUGAGGGUGUCAAUAACAUAAACAUGCAGGGAGACACUUGUCAGUACUCUAAUUAGUUCAUUAGGUUAGUGGACAGCUUUAUUAGUUAGUGGGGGGUAAUGAGUUACAGGUUUAUAUGAACUCAGAGUCAAUUUUCGAGUGGAAUUAGAAUUAGAGACAGUCGAUAAGAAACACACCACGAUCACCAGCUAGAAGAACUUACGAUUUCUCAUCCCCAAAUUUCCACCAGUCCGGCUCAUACCAUUGUUUUCCUCUGAAAAGCAACAAAUGCUACUUAAAAGUUGUAUAUAUAGUAUAGUAUCACAAGAUUUAACAAUCCUUCAACCAGGCAUAAUAAGUAACAGCCAUCAAAUCUAUGUGAAAGUAAAAGAAAAACAAUUUAAUACGGGGGAGCUUGGCAAAUGUAAAGCAUAAGUAGAAAUUCAAUCAACAGAGAAAUAAUGUGCAUGAAUGGACAAGUAGCCAAGAAAGCUAUGUCAUACUGAUAUAGAUAGAAUAUAUAUAUAGAACUUAGUUUCCAUGAUUCCAUCGACACAUUAAAAAAAAAUCCUACUUAAAAAACAGAGAUGCUAUAGAAUUCAAGCAACAAAGUAAGUGGAUUUUAGGAUCGUUUAAGCACAUACUCUUCAGUUACCACAUCUCCCGACUUCAUGCAUCCAAUAUAAGCGCUGUCUUGAUCACGACGACGUUCAAGGAGUCCAAUUAACCCAUCUGCAAUCGAAGAAAUACAAAUUAAUUAAAGGAAAGGAUGAUGCAUAAACUGGAUAGCCUCCUACCAGACGAAAUCAUGAAACUAUACCGAGAUCAAGGUUGAUUUGGUCAUCAACUUUGACGUAAAACUCUGCGUCCCAGUUCUGCACUGCAGUACUGUAGAAGAACUUGGCUUUUUUGGGCAGCUCUUCCUCAGCCUCCUCGUGACCUUCCUGAUAAUUUGACAGCAGACGAAUUAUAACUCAGCCCAAAUGUUAGACUUGAGAUGGCAUAAUGAACAUUUUUAGGUGAGUCUCAACGAUGUUCCUCAAUGCACUUAAGUGUCAGGUAUAAAGAUUGAAGAAUAUGAACCAUAAGGAGCCUUAUUCAGAGAUGGGAAAGUAAUGAAACCUUAAUAAACCAUGGGGAUUUCAGCUAAAUAACCGAAAUGAGAAACAAACUUGAUCGCUUACAAGAAUUAAGAAAUCCUUUGUCGUGCUAUUCUCCUCAUCAAUGUUCCGAUCUAAGCUAUCACCUCGAUUAGCACUGCAGAUUUUGAAUCAAAGUGAUUAUAUGGAACUCCAUCACAUUCUUAAGUUACAACAAUUGAUGCUUGGAAGAUGCAAGAAGCAAAAACUCAAAUCAAAUAGUGAUACUAGAAAUGAUGUUUAAGCAGGAUGAAACCUCCGACCAAUGACGAAUCUAAUUACUAUUCCUCUUUCUUCCAGUUUCUUUAAAGCAUCGUCACCUACAAAUUAACCAACAAAAUACGUUAAAUAUUAUCAAGAAGUUGAAGAUAAGUGUUCGGAAUCAAAUCAACACCAUUCUCAUAAGCUCAUGAUAAACUCCAUGUACCUCUUGGCAUCCAAGAGCCUCGGAAGACAUUCCUGCUGAGUCGGCUACCGAAUCCAGUGUAUACUCCAAUAACUGCCAGAAGCUUUUGGCCAGAAGCUGACUUGGACUGUGGCAACUGGUACUUGAGAUAUCCUUGACUUUUGGCCAUCGUCAAUUCCAUCUCAGCUUCCACAAUCCUCCUCUCCAGGUCUCUACAAGCCAAUACGCAUUAUCAGAACAGAACAUCGAAGAGAAGAACUCUCCAGCAUGUGUGAAAAUUGGUUUCCAAACGUACUUGCAUCCAAGAACAGCUAGCUUAUCAUCCACUGAAAGCACCUUGGGCCUCUACACACAAACCAACGAAAAAAGCAACGAGAUCAUAGACAUCAAACGACUACAGUGGGAGAAAUGGAUUAAACGUUAGCUUUAAAAUCAUACAAGAGACGGAAACAGACCUGUGCAGAGUUCGUCUUAAGCAGACUGGUGAGCAACAUUCUGUUCUCCGCAUCUUGCCACAACCUGGUAGAACGAUCAAUUUGAACCAGAUUCAAAUAUUUUCAAAUAGCACAAAUAUCAGCAGCAUUUCUGAUCCGAUAGACGGAUACCGGGCCCUAUUUCAGCAAAUGCCACAAUUAUACAUAGCAAUCAUCCGCGGAGCAAGGAAUGAAGGAGGGGAAUGACCUUCCAGCAACGUAGAGCCAAGCGAGGCAAGAGAAGAAGGCCAUCACGAGAGACGGCUUGGAAGUCUGAAGAUUCUUCGAUCUCCAUCGCCGGUCAGAUUUUGACGUCGUCGGCAAGGUGUCCAUCUCCGGUUCUACCCGACUCCGAGUACCGACAGAACUCCGAGCUCACAAACAAUAAUAGUGAUGAUUAGUGAGAGAUCUGGAAAUUUGAAACGGAAGAAAAUGCGAUGGAUGAACUAGGUGGAGUGAAGAACAAAUCACAGAGAGCUACUGUUGCUUCAAAUUUGGCAGAAGCUAAAGCGGGUGGGACAAGGGGACAAAACACCUGAACUUUGGGCCAAACAAGCCAAUCUCUUCAAAUGGGCUUAUUAAGCCUACGCCAGUACGCCUACUAUUAUGGCGUUACUAUUUUCAAAAAAAAUUAGGCAACUUCAGUACAUACCUGAGAUGAUAAAAUACUAUCUACCCAGCUGAACCAAACCGGUCAGUCAGACAAAGAGAAUCAAGAACCAGUCGUUAAUUUCGGUAUUAACUAUUGUCAUUACUCGAAUAAGAUCGUUAGUAACCAUUUUCAUUAGUCAAAUAAGAUCGUUUCAAAACCAACACAACUGGUGACGAUGAGGUUAUUGUCUAGUAUGUUUAUUUGAUUAUGCAAUACAACCGCACUUUAAAAUGAUUUUUAAUCAAAUUGAUAACCCCUGGUUGAACCUCUUUCUCGUCUUAUCGUUCUGUGACAACAUAGGUGUCCAUAAUGUUGACGGCUAUUAGUUCGAUACAAAAUCCGGCCGGUCACUAUAUUAGGUGCUGGAUUCAGUUAUUAAGAACAUAAAAGGGAAGAAUAACUUGUUACAACCAAGUCAUUUAUCGAAAAACCAAGAAUCAACAUACAUACAACCAUUAGCAGAGAACACUACCCCAUACGGCUUUAACAUGUGCAUAAGAACAUCUCAAUCCAUUGUUUCACAAUUUUCUAGUACCUCCACUGGAAUCACUUCUGACUUGUACCUAGCUUCUAGCAGCUGGUUGCAAGAACUUCGCCAGAGACGGCAUUUCUUCUUGUGCUCGCUUCAUUUCUUCAGGAUCUGUUCCAAGAUGCAACAACACAGUAGCUCAGCACUAUAUCUUGUUGCGUAGAGAAUAGUUAACUAACUAUGUAAACCUGUCAAGUCAACUCAAUCAAGCCUAGGGGACUUGUUGGAAAAGGAACUGUAAAAUCGAAAUGCGAGUAUUUUAUUUAUUUACCCAUGUUCUCCAUCAAUUUGGGCAUCAAGAACACGACGACCACCAUAAAUCCGAUCAUCAUCCCCAUUGGGCUCUUGACAAUUGACAUCGGGGAGAAGGGUUCUCUAAUCUGCAAUGGACGACAUGAACAAGAAAAGUGAAUAACAAAUUACUUGUGAACAAGGUGGAAAGUGAGAAAGGUUUGGAUCAAACCUCGUAGUACUGUUCCUCCCUCAGUGGCUCCAACACCAGCUCAGUCAGACCUCUUCUGUUCUCUGUUAAUGCUGCCUGAAUCUUGCCUGGGAACCUGGCACUAACAUCAACUCUGACCUAAAACGGAUCAAUUCAAAAAAUGAGAAGACAAUCCAUCACGGGGAUUAUUGAAAGAACCAACAAGAAUUUGCAGAUGAAGAUCUCACUGGAGAGAAGAAAUAGCCCAUUGCAGACACUUCAAUCAAAUGUGUUCCGGCUGGAACAUUAUGGCUACAAAAAGGAAGGACUAUUAGCACCACACUGAAAGUUAGCUGGAUUCUAAUGAGAGGAAAGAAGAGGGAAAUUACAAUGAGAAGUAUCCAUCAGGCCUUGAGAAGGUAACAUUUUGGCCACCGUUCAGAAUCACUUUGACAUUCGAUGUUUUCCCAAGAAUACCAUAUCCUUUGGCUACUGCAAGUCAAAAAUUAAACACCAGGUCCAAAUCAGUUGAUGUGUAGUUGAGAGAUUCAAAUAAUACAGUUGAGAUGUAGUUUGGAGAUUCAAAUACUACAGUUUGCAUGUAAUUAAGCGGAUUGCUAAGCUCCACAAUUUAAUGGAUCUUUAAGCAACUCAGUAAGAAAAAUAAAGAACCAAGAGUCGAAUUGCAUAGCACAUCUGACAAUGAGGAAAAAAGCAGCAGCAUACCUGGAAUUUUAAUUCGGCCAUUGAUGGUGUACCCAUCAGCAGACCUGGAAGAUAAGCAACAGGCGAACCCAUCAAUUACAAUUAUCACAAAAGCGACUCAAGCAGAAACACUACACUUCAUUAUUCAAGCUGUCAAUCAACAACGUUGCUAGAACCGCAGAAUGCAUUCAAUUGAUUUGCAAAAAUGUUCACCAACGGAUUCAAACACCUAACAGACUCGAACGUAAUAAUAACGAUGAAGCGCGUGCAAUAAACGACAGAAGAAGAAAUUAAGGAAAGCGAACGGAAUAAUCGAGCUUAACCGAUUGAGAUCGUACCCGGACGAGAUCGCGCGAGCUGGAGAGAGAACCAAGAGGCAGAUUUGCAGCAAAAGUAGGAGAACAGAUGGCCUAACUCUUGCUAUCAACGCCAUGACGAUGUAGCAGAGAGAUUCGCUUUUGCUGCAGCAGGACGCGAAGUUGGGUGAUGAACAGCUGAUCGAAGACGACGGGAAACUUCCUCUUUUUGCCCGUCUCUUGUGACAAGUUCGACGCGAAGAACUUGGGAUAAUACUAGUAAAAUGCGCGAGUUAUCAGUGAGCACGCGCCACUUUUUAUCUAGCCGCGCGUGCGAAUUUGGAAGGGAGUGAAUCCCACUUUCUCUAAAAUUCACGCGCGCGUGUCAGAAAUUAGGCGCGUGAGGUUCUAUGGCGCGUGAACAUCACGCAUGAAACGAGUCGGGUCGAAGCUUUUUUCCGGGUCGGGUCAAGAGCUUUUGCAGGGUCUGGUCGUUUGACCGUGCGAUGGCGGGCCUGAGUCUACAAAUUUAGGCCAUUCUCAUGUCGGGUUGGCCUUUAAUUUAAAAGCCCAUAAAAUGGGCUCUCAGCUCCAGCAUUUUUAAACAACAGUAAAAAUGGGUCAAUAUCGUUUUAAAGCCUUUUUCAUUUGACCGUAAAGCUGCAGGCGCCAGUCCAAAAUAAUUGGGCCACUUCUCUUUUUGGGUCCGCCCAAAGCCCAGACCCCUUUAAAAUCAGGUCUAUGCUCCAAUUUUUUCCAACAACUCUUAAAAAUAGCCGUCGGCUCUUAUGGCGCCGUUUCACGCCGAUAAAUUUCAGCCACCACUUAACGCCGAUCAGGUAAGUUACAAACGGAUUCUGCAAAUACAAUUACAAACAAACGAAUAAUACAAGAAAAGGAGAAAAAGGUCGCAAAUUUCAUGGUGUACAACCCCAGAGCACCUCAGCCAAAAUCGAAGCAGCUUCAGCUUCAGAAAUUGAGGCAUCCCUCACUCUCCCUACAAUUUCUCUCUUCAGAUCUUUCCUCUCCGCCCUAGUCAACCCAUCACCCACCUCCACCUGCACCGCAAACCUUGAUACGCAGCUUCCAAACGGCCCCGACCUCUGCAGCUCCACAAGCUUCUUGAUCACUCCUAGUUGUAACAUCGCUUCGAUCACUUCUUUCCUCCCGUGAUACGCAAUCUCGCAAACGCAGUCGACCACCGCCGACUUGAUCACCAGAUCGUCGUCGUGGGAACCUAAGAUAGCAACGAUUCUCGGGAGCUGCCCGUCGAGUUCCAUCUCGUCGAUCAACGGCGUCCUGAUUAGCGAGACGAGCACAGACAGGACUUCAAUCGAACAAUUGGUGCGCAUAGAUACAAGCGCCCGGAUAACCGACCCCAUUAGAACCAACCCGACAAACACAUCCUUGUUGAACUUAACUAACCCGACGAUGGCUCCAGCGCCGCGUUCCGCACUUCCAUUACCCUAACUUGAUCAUCGUCGUCGGUUCCUUGAAGCGUCCUCACAAGCCUCUGCACUUCCUGCCGAUCGAAGUACAGUUGGAUUUCAGCGGCGAUUUUGAACGAGAGCUGGUAGAUUUUGUAAGCGGUGAUUUGGCGGCGGAGGAGGGAACUGAUCCCGGUUAAUUUCUCGAGAUUGCGGUAAAGAGGUUUGAGGUCGUUGAGCAAUUGGGAUAGUUUGAAGAGAUUAGGAUCGGAAGAGAGGAGAUAGGCGCCGAAUUCGUGUUCGAGCUCCAAGAUUGCUUCGAUGGCGGGUUGGGCGGUGGAAAGGGAGGAGAAGAAGGGGUUGUUGUUCUUGUGCAGAUCGUUGGCAGCUCCUCUGAGUGAGUGGAGAAACGAGGAAAUGAGUUGGGUGUUGGUUUUGGUCUCUGAUUCGUCUUCCAUGGUUGGUCGACGGCGCCAAGGUCGGAGUUCAUGAGAGUAGGAGGUUGGGUGGAUAUUGAGGGAGAAAAAGGAAGAACGGAGGCCAACGCAACGGAGUUAUCGUGGUGGAGCUGAAGCCAGAAGGUCGGUGGAGACUGGACCUACAAUCAACCAACCAGUCCUCACGAAAUUAGGACUGCUUUGCACCUUUGAAAAUUUGUGAGACUGAUGUGCAACAUUUAAAAUAUUUUAGACUGAUGCAUAACCCCGUUAAAGUUACAGGAUGAAAUGAGUCUCUGAAGUUUUUGCUCAUUUCAUAUCUAUUCAUUAAUCAUUUAAUCUUACCACUUAGGGAAUUUUGAAUCACAUAUGUUAUAAUAUUUGAUAGUCAUGGACCAUAUAUGACUCAUGGUAUAGGUCUAGCCUUCUCAUACACGGUAGUCAAGCUCCUCAACCAAUGGAACCAAAGAAGACAUGCAAAGGAAAUCUUCUACGCAAAGAGAAGGAAAAUGCAGACUUUAUUAACUUGAGGGAAUGAUGUUGGAAUGUCCAAGUGCAAUCAAUGGUGGCAAAGUAACCAUGUGACAUACAUGUUAUGAACUUCUGAUUUAUGAGCUAGUAAAGUAGUAAUCAAUAAUAAUGUUAUAUCUACAAACUUGGUGACACCCUCCACGACAUUAUGUAACAAUACCACUAGCUAGAGAACCAUUUCAAAUCUCACUGAGUCGUAAUCUUCAUUUCAAAUUACCUUUAAUUUGAUGAUCAGGAGGAGCAACGGCAUUAAUCUCACUAGCGGAAGCGUUUAUCGUAACGCCAGAGCAUUAAGCACUUGUUUCACAAAUCAUAACAGUCGCCCCCUUCGCUUUCAUGAACCGUACCUUUUAUUCUGCCUUUUUGCAUUCAUUUUCAUGGGUAAAUAUAUAGAAAGCAUCCUUUCCUCACAAGGUUUCUUAUUCAAUUGAGGAAAAAUCGUUCUUAAUUUGUCGAUGGAGAAGAGAUUCAAGGUAUACGUGUACAAGGAAGGGGAGCCACCGAUAGUCCACGACUUACCGUGCAAGGACAUAUAGACGGUAGAAGGGAGGUUCAUACACGAGAUGGAGCACGGGUCGAGCGGCCGUAAGUUGAAGACGGAAGACCCAUGGAGAGCCCACGCCUACUUCAUGCCUUUCAGCGUAACGUGGAUGGUCAAGUAUCUCUACACCCCACUCUCUUACGAUCUCGCCCCUCUCCGGCGCUUUGUGGCUGAUUACGUUACAGUCAUCUCCUCCAAAUACCCCUUCUGGAACCGGACUCUCAGCGCCGACAAUUUCAUGCUUGCUAGCCACGAUUGGGUCGGUACUAUUAUAUCCUUGCCAUUCUUGCUUGCCAAUAAAUGUACUUUUCCCCUACCAUAUGCUUGAAAAAGGUAAUAUAUUUUGUUACAGGGUCCCAUGCAUCAAAAGGCAAUCAACUAGUCCAAGACAAGUCAAUCAGAGUCCUCUGCAACGCCAACACUUCCGAAGGAUUUAACCCAAGAAAAGACGUCAGCCUACCCGAAAUCCACCUCUACGGCGGAAACAUACCCACCGAGCUCCUCCUCUCUCCUCAGCCCAAAUCCCACCGCCGUCCUUACCUCGAAUUCUUCGCCCGAGGCCUCCACGGUCCAAUCCGCCCAAUCCUCCUCAGCCACUGGCGAAACCGAAACGACCCACAACUCAAAGUCUUCGAGUACCUACCCAAGAACGUAAGCUACUACUCCUUGAUGUUAAAAUCCAAGUUCUGCCUCUGCCCGAGCGGCCACGAGGUCGCCAGCCCGAGAAUUGUGGAGGCCAUCUACGCCGACUGCGUCCCCGUCAUCCUGUCGGAGAACUACGUGCUUCCCUUUAGCGACGUGCUGAGGUGGCAGGUCUUCUCGGUGGAAGUUCACGUGGCAGAGAUUCCGAUGCUGAAAGAGAUUCUGGGUUCGAUACCGGAGGAGGAAUAUUCGAGGCUUAAGAAGGGGGUGCGUGCUGUGAGGAAGCAUUUUGUGUUGAACCAGCCGGCGAAGAGGUUCGAUGUUUUUCAUAUGAUUCUGCACUCCGUUUGGCUGAGGAGACUCGAUAUCAAGCUCUAGAUAGAUAGAUAGAUAGACAUAGGUUUUGAUUUUUGGACUGGUUGCUGCUUAGUUUGUUGGUAAUUAGGCUUGAUGAGAGUGAUAGAUGACGACGAUCAUGCUAAUGCAAACUUACGUUGUUUUUUCACAAAAUAAAACGGAUUGAUUGGGUUUAUAACAUUUUGUACUCAGUUCGGUUGAUUGAUUGUAUGAUCAUGAAUUGCGCUUUCUAAAAUAAAUAUCAAAGGGCUAUGAAAAGAAUAUUAAAGCCAUAACAUAAUUUUACUAUUGCAUUAUAUUAGCCUCUCUUAGCUUAUCUUAUAGUUGGACUAAUUCUAAUUUAACUUUAUUUAACUAUUAUUUGAACGGUUUAAUUAUAAUAAAAUUUUAAUUUUUAGUCAUUCCCAAUAUGUAUGUCAAAUAUUAGUCAAUUUCAAAAUUUUUAAUUUUCAUGUCAAAAUUGUCUAUUCCAAAGGGGUUAACCUAUGGAAACUAACCAUUUUCACAAAAAAAUUUAAAAACUCUUAAAUCGACCAAUAUUUGACGUGCAUGUUGGAAAUAACUAAAAAAUCAAGUGGCAUCAUGGAAACCCUGGUAAACAAUGGCCAAAAGAAGCUAAAAAUCAAAUUUACUCGAUGUUAUUUUAACAUGUUGAAAAAUGGUUUUAACUUCAUUUGGCUAUCAUUUGAAGGGCUUAACAAGGUGAAACCUUAAUUUUUAGCCAUUUCCAACAUGCAUGUCAAAUAUUAGACGAUUUGAAAAUAAAGUGGCAUCAUGGUAACCCCGAUAAACAAUGGCCAAACGAAGCUAAAAAUCAAUUUUACUCAGUGUUAUUUUAAUAUGUUGAAAAAUGGUUUUAACUUCAUUUGGCUAUCAAUUGAAGGGCUUAACUAUGAUGGAAUCUUAAUUUUUAGCCAUUCCCAACAUGCAUGUCAAAUAUUAGUCAAAUUGAAAAUUUGAAAAUUUUCAUUUGAAGUUUAUCAAUUUCCAAAGGGGUUAACCUAUCGAAACUAACCAUUUUCAAAAGAAAAUUUCAAACAUUUUAAAUCGACUAAUAUUUUACAUGCAUGGCCAAAUGUAACUAGAAAGUAAUUUUACUCUGUCUUAUUUUAGCAUGCUGAAAAAUGGUUUUAACUUCAUUUGGCUAUCGUUUGAAAGGCUUAACAUGUUGAAACCUCAAUUUUUAGCCAUGCCCAACAUGCAUUUUAAAUAUUACCCAAUUUGAAAGUUUUCAAUUUUCAAGUCAAAACUGUCAAUUUCCAAAGGGGUUAACCUAUGGAAACUAGCCAUUUUUCACAAAAAUUUAAAAAAUUCCAAAUCGACUAAUAUUUGACAUGCAUAUUGAAAAUGGCUUAAAAUCAAGGGGCAUCAUUUUAACCCAAAUAAACAGUGGCCUAACGUAGCUGUAAAGUAAUUUUACUCUGUCUUAUUUUAGCAUGCUGAAAAAUGGUUUUAACUUCAUUUGGCUAUCAUUUGAAAGGCUUAACAUGUUGAAACCUCAAUUUUUAGCCAUGCCCAACAUGCAUUUUAAAUAUUACCCAAUUUGAAAGUUUUCAAUUUUCAUGGAAAAACAGUCAAUUUUCAAAGGGGUUAACCUAUGGAAANNNNNNNNNNNNNNNNNNNNNNNNNNNNNNNNNNNNNNNNNNNNNNNNNNNNNNNNNNNNNNNNNNNNNNNNNNNNNNNNNNNNNNNNNNNNNNNNNNNNNNNNNNNNNNNNNNNNNNNNNNNNNNNNNNNNNNNNNNNNNNNNNNNNNNNNNNNNNNNNNNNNNNNNNNNNNNNNNNNNNNNNNNNNNNNNNNNNNNNNNNNNNNNNNNNNNNNNNNNNNNNNNNNNNNNNNNNNNNNNNNNNNNNNNNNNNNNNNNNNNNNNNNNNNNNNNNNNNNNNNNNNNNNNNNNNNNNNNNNNNNNNNNNNNNNNNNNNNNNNNNNNNNNNNNNNNNNNNNNNNNNNNNNNNNNNNNNNNNNNNNNNNNNNNNNNNNNNNNNNNNNNNNNNNNNNNNNNNNNNNNNNNNNNNNNNNNNNNNNNNNNNNNNNNNNNNNNNNNNNNNNNNNNNNNNNNNNNNNNNNNNNNNNNNNNNNNNNNNNNNNNNNNNNNNNNNNNNNNNNNNNNNNNNNNNNNNNNNNNNNNNNNNNNNNNNNNNNNNNNNNNNNNNNNNNNNNNNNNNNNNNNNNNNNNNNNNNNNNNNNNNNNNNNNNNNNNNNNNNNNNNNNNNNNNNNNNNNNNNNNNNNNNNNNNNNNNNNNNNNNNNNNNNNNNNNNNNNNNNNNNNNNNNNNNNNNNNNNNNNNNNNNNNNNNNNNNNNNNNNNNNNNNNNNNNNNNNNNNNNNNNNNNNNNNNNNNNNNNNNNNNNNNNNNNNNNNNNNNNNNNNNNNNNNNNNNNNNNNNNNNNNNNNNNNNNNNNNNNNNNNNNNNNNNNNNNNNNNNNNNNNNNNNNNNNNNNNNNNNNNNNNNNNNNNNNNNNNNNNNNNNNNNNNNNNNNNNNNNNNNNNNNNNNNNNNNNNNNNNNNNNNNNNNNNNNNNNNNNNNNNNNNNNNNNNNNNNNNNNNNNNNNNNNNNNNNNNNNNNNNNNNNNNNNNNNNNNNNNNNNNNNNNNNNNNNNNNNNNNNNNNNNNNNNNNNNNNNNNNNNNNNNNNNNNNNNNNNNNNNNNNNNNNNNNNNNNNNNNNNNNNNNNNNNNNNNNNNNNNNNNNNNNNNNNNNNNNNNNNNNNNNNNNNNNNNNNNNNNNNNNNNNNNNNNNNNNNNNNNNNNNNNNNNNNNNNNNNNNNNNNNNNNNNNNNNNNNNNNNNNNNNNNNNNNNNNNNNNNNNNNNNNNNNNNNNNNNNNNNNNNNNNNNNNNNNNNNNNNNNNNNNNNNNNNNNNNNNNNNNNNNNNNNNNNNNNNNNNNNNNNNNNNNNNNNNNNNNNNNNNNNNNNNNNNNNNNNNNNNNNNNNNNNNNNNNNNNNNNNNNNNNNNNNNNNNNNNNNNNNNNNNNNNNNNNNNNNNNNNNNNNNNNNNNNNNNNNNNNNNNNNNNNNNNNNNNNNNNNNNNNNNNNNNNNNNNNNNNNNNNNNNNNNNNNNNNNNNNNNNNNNNNNNNNNNNNNNNNNNNNNNNNNNNNNNNNNNNNNNNNNNNNNNNNNNNNNNNNNNNNNNNNNNNNNNNNNNNNNNNNNNNNNNNNNNNNNNNNNNNNNNNNNNNNNNNNNNNNNNNNNNNNNNNNNNNNNNNNNNNNNNNNNNNNNNNNNNNNNNNNNNNNNNNNNNNNNNNNNNNNNNNNNNNNNNNNNNNNNNNNNNNNNNNNNNNNNNNNNNNNNNNNNNNNNNNNNNNNNNNNNNNNNNNNNNNNNNNNNNNNNNNNNNNNNNNNNNNNNNNNNNNNNNNNNNNNNNNNNNNNNNNNNNNNNNNNNNNNNNNNNNNNNNNNNNNNNNNNNNNNNNNNNNNNNNNNNNNNNNNNNNNNNNNNNNNNNNNNNNNNNNNNNNNNNNNNNNNNNNNNNNNNNNNNNNNNNNNNNNNNNNNNNNNNNNNNNNNNNNNNNNNNNNNNNNNNNNNNNNNNNNNNNNNNNNNNNNNNNNNNNNNNNNNNNNNNNNNNNNNNNNNNNNNNNNNNNNNNNNNNNNNNNNNNNNNNNNNNNNNNNNNNNNNNNNNNNNNNNNNNNNNNNNNNNNNNNNNNNNNNNNNNNNNNNNNNNNNNNNNNNNNNNNNNNNNNNNNNNNNNNNNNNNNNNNNNNNNNNNNNNNNNNNNNNNNNNNNNNNNNNNNNNNNNNNNNNNNNNNNNNNNNNNNNNNNNNNNNNNNNNNNNNNNNNNNNNNNNNNNNNNNNNNNNNNNNNNNNNNNNNNNNNNNNNNNNNNNNNNNNNNNNNNNNNNNNNNNNNNNNNNNNNNNNNNNNNNNNNNNNNNNNNNNNNNNNNNNNNNNNNNNNNNNNNNNNNNNNNNNNNNNNNNNNNNNNNNNNNNNNNNNNNNNNNNNNNNNNNNNNNNNNNNNNNNNNNNNNNNNNNNNNNNNNNNNNNNNNNNNNNNNNNNUACCCAAUUUGAAAGUUUUCAAUUUUCAUGUAAAAAUAGUCAAUUUUCAAAGGGGUUAAUAUAUGGAAACUGCCCUUACUCUGCUCAUUUAAGAAGUAAAUUGUUCCCUGGUAAUACUUUUCCUGGAGUUUGGGAGGAUGAAGUGGAGUGGAUGCUCAGCAAUUUCCCUGAUCCCUCUCCUGUUUCUCGUGCCGCGUACCUGGUCUGGAGAUGUAUGUGCAGUCAUCUUUGGAAGGAGAGAUGUCGUCGCAUCUUCACUGGAAUUCGGAUGGAUAGUGAUCAAUUGGGUCGACGGAUUUGUUGGGAUCUUUUUGUAGUUAAGGGUGAUAGUUGCAUUACAAGCUGCCUAGAUGCCUAUACUAAACUGAAUAUCUUCUAAAUGUAAUUAAUUCUGUAGCUGUAUAGUUUUGUCCUUCCUCUUAGUCGUCUGAGUUGACUUUGUAAACUUUGACUGUUUGGCGGUUUCGGUGAAAUAAAUUGAGAUUUACCGAAAAAAAAAA